This 104261-nucleotide long non-coding RNA is filed under the name Coffea arabica (coffee). Its description in RNAcentral is "long non-coding RNA (CARA_LNC007075)". The stretch from base 99947 to 100052 matches the Rfam family "Plant small nucleolar RNA R71". The record is from RNAcentral. Lineage: Eukaryota; Viridiplantae; Streptophyta; Magnoliopsida; Gentianales; Rubiaceae.
GGCCACCACCUCCGCCGCUGGUUCCGACGCCGAUCACCUCUUCCGGUGCCGAUCUUUUUUUUUUUUUUUCUCUUUCUCCCUCUCCCCAUCUUCCUCCCCUGCCAUCCUCCCCCUUUGCCCGAUUUUGAUCCUCUCUCUUUUUUUUUUCUCCCUCUCCCUCUCCCUUACUCCUCCCCCACCAUCCUUCCCCUUUCCCUUCUCCUCUGGCUGGUCGCCAGACUAGAUCGCACCUAGGGAGGGUGAGGGUAGCGGGGGAAGAGGAGUAGAGGGGGAGAAGGAAGGAGUAGAGGGGGAGAAGGAAAAUUGCAAAAAAAAAAAAAAAUUUUCAGGUGCCAGUAGAUUGAGCAGAGGCGGGCGAGGGAAGGGGGAUGGGGAGAGGGGAGGAGAGGGGUGGAGGAGGAGAAAAGGGUGGCGGGAAGGAAAUGGGUGGUGGGGGAGGUAGAGGGGAGGAAAUGGGUGGCGGGGGAAGGAAGGGGAAGGGGAGAGGGAGAAGAGGGGUGAUGGGGGAGGGAGAGGGAGGAGUGGCGGGCAGGAGAGGGGGAGAAAAAAAAGUUGCAGAAAAACCCAAAGCUGCAUUGGCAGUGAUCUGAAGAGGGAAUAGGGGAGGGGGAAGGGGAAGGGAGAAGAAGCGGGAAGGGAGGAAGGAAAAGAAAAAAGAAAGAAAGAAAGAAAGAAAAAAAGAAAAAAGAAAAAGAAAGAAAGAAGGAAAAGAAAAAGGAAAAAAAGUUUUUCAUCACACAAAAAAUUUUUCUACAACUUCUAAAAAAAGUUUUUUCAUCUUACAAAGUUUUUCUACAAUUUCUACAGUGAUCUACAGUAAAAUUUUAUAUAAACACCUAAAAAAUUCACCUUCCAAACAGGCCCAAUUCAUGUGAUUGUGCGAGUAACUUUGUUACACACGUAAUUUUUUUUUUUUUUUUGCACACUGAUUGAAUGUACAAGUAUAACUUGGUCCAUAAGUGUAGAAGUAUAACUAGUUAAAGUUUAUUAAAUUAUAUGUAACAAACUAUUAAGAUUAUAAAUAUGUAUCUCUAUUUUCGUGAAUAUACUCUAUAGGUUUAGUACUUUCUUGAACUAGUAUUAAAUUCUAAUUUUCAUUGCGAAUUUAACAUGUUGAAAUUACAACUAUUAAUGGCUAAUUAAUCAUAAUCAUAAAGAUAAAAAUGCUAAAUAACUUGCUCAAAAUAUUAGUAUCAAAUAAUCAAGUAAAACAUCAUAACUAAUUAUAGAAAGUUCAUUCAUAAUUUCAGGCAUAAAUUAUAGAAAUAUAUAAUAAACACAAAAUCAAAACUUGUAUAAUAACUAAACUUGGAAUCAAUUAAAAAAAAUAAAGAGUUGGGAAGGAAGAAAAAUCUUUGUCACAUGAGCUGCUUCAUUGCCAUUUUCGUCUUUCAACUUCAUCCUUAUUUAGUUAAUACACAAGAGAAGAUGAACUAACUAAAUUUAAAUUAUCCUACACUAACCUAAAGUAAAGAACUAAGAAACUAAUUAAGUUCUACAUUUAGUAGUGUUAUUCUUAAACUGCCCAAGUUCUCUUGAUUCUUGCUUAGAUGUGUUUCUGUAGAGAGAAAAUUGGUCCAAAAAGGGCAUUUUAGAGCUUCAAUUCUUCAACUAAAAGAUCUGCAAUUCCUUCCUCAAAAAUGUGAAAUUAUGGAGCAAAUUGUACAAGUUGAACCGCACUUUCGGAUGACAAUUCGGCUGUACAGUGCUGAACUAGAUUGAUGCUCUGUUCUUCUCUCGAAAAGCUGCCUGCCAUGCAUUAGUGAGCCUCCACUACGGAUCCAGAGACGGAUUCUUAUUUCUCUCUUUUCUUUGUGUGCAUUGCAUUUCUUCUAUUUUUACUUGGAAACUGCUUUAAAUCAUUAAGAAUCAUCCAAAAAUUUUCUUAUUUCAUUCCAAUUGAUGAUUGAGUCAUUAAAACAUACGAAAAUAUGAAGUUUUCACACUUAAGUUCAUAGAAAUGCAAUUUUUCUUACUUCACCACAAAAUACAAAAUCAACUAGAAAUCUAGUUAUUUAGUUCUUAUAAUGGCUAAAACAUAUCCAAAAUCAAGUAAUAAAAUACAUUAAAAAUAUGAAAAAUAAAUUCUUAUCACUACUCACUUAAAGGAAUCACAUACAAGACGAUUCUAGGCCAAAAAAAGAAUAUUAGCAUUUCAAUUUAUUUUAUCCAAUAAAUUUAAAAAAUAUUUAAUGGUAAAAAUAAGAUAUUUUAAGUUGAGCAUCCAAAUAAUCUUAUGGGGGUCUUUCCUUAUAAACUAUGUAAAAAGGCAUUUCUAUCAAUUCAAAUAUUUAAAUGAUCAACUUCAUGGGUUGGAAUAAAAUAAGGGGUAAAAUGAGAAGAAAUAAACAUUUAGGGAUAAACUGCAACUUUGACCAAACCUUAAGCAGAUUUUUUGUCAUUAACCCUUAAUGGAAGGCCAAUAAUUUACCAACAAUACAAAAUUCAAAUUGUAAAAUUUGUACUUGAAUAUAACAUCUGUGACAGCCCCACCUCACUCUAAGGCAAAUUAAAGGGUUCGGCAGACCGCCUGCCUAGCUCUCGCCGGGACUCAGUCAUACCUCCAUCAAAACCAGAAUAAAACUACAAGAAUCACGACGAAAUGGAAGGGCCGCCGCCAUGUAGGAUCCAACCAAGUACAAGUACACUUUGUUUGCCAUGAAAGAAUGUACAUUCCCGAAUAUAUAUAUAUAUAUAUAUCACAUAAACAUGAGGAAACAUUAUAAAUAUACAUAUUAAUAAGUUUACAAAUCCAAAAGGAAACAUUGUAUUAAGAUACAUUUAGGGUUUCCAAUUUGUCGAGGAGCUAUACCAAGAGAACAAAAAAAUUUCUAACUAGCUCAACUCAUUUCUCUAAACAUUGCAGUUCUAAAAGAUGGAUCCCUGUAAGGAAAACAAGGAUAACAGAACGGGGUGAGCUAAAAGCUCAAUGAGGUACCAACAGUAUAAACAGUAGAAUCAGUAGAAUUCAUGAGAAAGCACUUUGGAGGCAAAUAUUCACAUCAAAUACGAGAAAUGAAUGAACAUCACAAUGUAAAGGAUACAGGUGGCUCUCAGGAGCCGCAUCCCCAUUGCUAUACUUGAUCCAGCCUCAUUGACCAUCCAUCAAUGUUCGAAUAAAGAAACUAGUCCAGUAGAACACCACUUAAAAGCCAAAAUCCCGUUCACCAAACAUACCUAUUACCGGGUCCGAACGCCAAACAGAAACAUGAAUGGUAAUACUCGAGUAUACCGGAAUCAAGAGUCUCAAUACCCAAAGAUUCCCCAAGAACAGGUACCCAUGGAUUGUCAAUUAUCUUGACCAAGCCCUUGCUGACUCGAUUUAAUUAACUCCCCAUGAGGUUGAGCUCAAGUUUAACAUGACGAUCAAGUUUAACAGGACGAUCGUUGGACACACUUCCAAACGAUCGCAUAACAAGUACAAGUAACAAGUUCAAGUACAUAGCAAGUACGAGUAAUAGAUUCCAAUUCGUUCAGUACAGGCAAGAGAACGAGUGUGAUAAAGUAUACUCUCGUCUCAUACAAGAUAAACAGUCAGGAAAUAUAUUCAAAUAGCAAGUUGCAAGUACAGAAAAUCAGUUUAGCAAUAACUCAGGGGAGUGGUGCACUCACCUGAUCAAACAAGGAUAAUUUCAAAAGUUUUCUUCCCAAGUAUGGCUUUACUCGCCGGCACCUCCUAGAACAAUCAAGGCAAACAUUUAAGACUGGACUCCAAGACCUAAUAAGUGGAAUUCACAAGUAAAACUCGAUUACAAGUCAGGUGCCUAUCCAAAUGAACCAUUAAUGUAAAGCGAAGAGGUGACUUUGGAGUGAAAAGAUAACGAUUAGUCCUAAAGGCAUUAACAAUCUCAAAACCCCUAUCUACAAUGACUGACCAACUCCAAAUUUGAAAUAGAAAAUGAAAGUAAGAUCGAUACUAGGAAAAUAGGAUUUUUCAGUUUCAUGCAACCCUAUAUGAAAAAUCAUAUCUCAAGUUUUAUAGGUCCAAAAUUAGUAAAAGUUAUACCGUUGGAAAAUAAAUUCAAAGGGCUAUAACUUUCCAGAGAACACCCUCAUAAGAUUCAGAAUGCAAGUCAGUCAUAUUCAAGCCUCAAGUUGCUGCUUUAUUCAGUGAAAGACAGAACAGGUACAAUAUUUCAGUCAACUUUGAAAAUCACCAUAAAUGGUACAAACAUAAACAGGGUCUGAAAUUUACAUGGUUUAUAACCCUAUGAAUUUAGUUUAAAACACAACAAACGGAACUCAAUUCCGACAUUCCUACAUCAAGAUAUAGCAAAUUUCCGGAGACUGUGCAGAAGUUCCACGAAAAUUUUGACAGCAUUUCCCUUGUCUUUCCUUACUUUCCAACCAAACCUCAACACCCACAAAUCACAAGCUAUCAAACACCUUUAAUUAGAGCCACAACAAGGCUCGAAUACGAGUCAUAAACCGAAUCCACAUAUCACUAGAGUAAAAUCAUAUGGAACGUAUAAGUGCAAAAUCAAACUAGGACAUAUGCGGAAACGAAGUUUGGGUUGGAAAACAAAAGGCAGAUUUGCUGUUGCUUAGCGGAAUUAACACAACUGAAGCUAUCCUCAUCGGAUUGAGGUGUAAUUUACACCAUUUUGAAGCUAAGAGAAAUGGCUACAAUGUUGAAGAAGGCCACUCAGUCCAGUUUGCAAUGUAUCUAAGUCAAAUUUACCAAAACAACCCCAGGUUUUCCAAUUCAAAGUUUACUGUGGCAGUCCUGAUUCAUUCAGUCAUAUCUCAGCAUAUACAACUUCAAUUCAAGUGAUUCUAAAGCUAUUUGAAAGCUAAGAUACAAGGCUAUAAGUCUUACGAAAACACCAACAACCAAAUCAGUAGUAUUCCUGACCAAACUAACCAAUUACAGAAGCGGAUUAGCAGGUUCGGACAUAAACAGGGUAGCAGGGGUAUUUCAGUCUUUUCACAAGCUACGUUGCUCCGAUUGAGCUGAAAUUUUGCAGGCAACUAUAAAAUAUCAUUUUCUACAACUUUCAUGUUUUAACCCAAGGCUAAUUCAGCCUCUAACUAGGGGAAACAGUACCGGGCAGAAGGGGAAAAAAUGAAAACCCUAAUCUGGAAAUUUCGGUUCAAAGCGAAAAUUUUCCGCAAAUAGCUACAAUUUACGCAUCCAAGUUUCAUUCUAAACCAUUCCAAGCCAUCAUCCAUAGCUCAACAACAUUAAACAUAUAAAAAUAGAAAAAUCAUGAAUAAAUAGAAAAAUUCACCUAUUUCAACCAAAAAUCACAAAAUAGCACCUAAAAUUAUCUCUUUAACUCACAUAAGGUACCAAUUAGACAUUAUUAGGAUCAAAAGGAAGGUUCCUUGGUCACAUACCUUGCAAAUCCAAGAAAAGACCCAAUUUAACACCUUGGUCUUCCAAACCACUUCGCAACCAACCUUAAUACCACUAAACUAAGAGGUUUUAUGGAGUAAUUUGAAGAUUAAACGGUUGAAUUGAAAGAUUGGGCAAGAUUAGAGGUAAGAAAGUGGAGAAGUUUUUCUUCCUUUUUGCUUGAAGAUGGCUGGCCAAGAAGAUGAAGAAAAUGAGAAAUUUUUGGUCAAUUUUUGUUUUAAUUGGUAAAGUAAUGAAUAGUGGUCAAAAUUUAAAAAUAAAUCACAAGGUGACACUUGUAGGGAUGGCAACGGGGCGGGGUUGGGGCGGGGGACCCCUCCCCCGUCCCCCGCCCCGUUGCCUAUUAGUUCCCCCCGUCCCCCGCCUCUCGCUUGCCCAGCACCGCUUCCCCCGCGGGUGCCCCCGCGGGGUUAAUAAAAUUUUAUUAUAAUUAAAUUUUAAUAAAUAAUCAAGUACUAAAAUAUCAACGCAUCACCAAAUUAUUAUUCAUUGUAAUUUUACAAUUGAAACUCAUAAAAACAAUCAAAAAGAAGUUAUUUGAAUACAAUCCAAUAUGAUGAAAUAAAUAUAACUAAAAUAGUCAAGUUUUCAUUUUUAGUACAAAUGCAAUCACUAAUUCAUUAUUGUGUUUGUGUUUUUUUUUGAGAAAAAAGUGUUAUUCUAUUAAGUGUAAUUAGAAAUUUAGUAUAAAUGUAUUAGUAAAUUUAGUAUAACUAAUUAAUAAAUUUUAUUAGUAGACAUGUAUAAUUAUUCAUAUAAUUGAUAAUAUCAAUUAUAUUACAUAAACUACUAUACAUUAUAUAAUACAUCUAACUAAUAAUAUCAUUAUCAUAAGUUUAUAACUAAUUAACUUACAUACUAUAUAUAAUUAUAUAUAUAAUUAUAUUAUUUUUUUGAGGGUGCCCCGUUUCUAAGCGGGGGGAAUCCCCCGCUCCACCCCCCGCCCCAACCCCCGCCCCGAGAGCCCCCCGCGGGGCGGGUGCCCCCCAUUGCCAUCCCUAGACACUUGUCAGCCUCAUAAAUGCUAAGCUAUUCUUUUGUUUCCUCAACACUCAUCCAAAUGAUAUUUUCUAAUUAUCUCUUAACACCUAAUAAAUUAAACCCUGUAUACAAAACUUAACCUAAUUGGCCGAAUAUUACUGAACUUUUCGCACUAGCGGGUCCCACGCCCGGUAUACGCUCCAAAAAUCUCAUGAACUCAAUUAUACUAGAAAAAUGUUUUAAAAAUCCUAUUUACUCAUAAAACGAGUUAGAAAAUUUUCUAAUAAAGAAAUCACAGAAAAACAUGCGAUUAAAUAAAACAAAACCCUAGAAAAUACGAAAAUUUACGGGUUCUCACACUCUCUCCCCCUUAAAAGAAUUUCGUUCUCGAAAUUCCUUAUCAUCGUCUUUUUCGGGAUACAAAAAUUUUACUAUUUCCAUCUCACAAUCAAAUUGAGUAUCAUACUUAGCUAACCAAUCUGUACCCCUUCACUAACUAGGCUUAUUGAAUUCUUUUGUAUAGUUUCUUCUUCCUUGCCAAAUUGCAAUUCUUAUACACCAUUCUAGUGGGCAAACGGUGGGAUACUAGAAUCUUACCUUCCAUGUCCUUAAAUGGGUCAGAGACUUGAUGUUGUUCUAAGGAGUACACCCGAACUGACACUUUCGAUCCAUUCUUUUCCGUCUUCGACUGGUCAGGAUUGGUGGUGGUUGGCUGUUGGCUGUUGGCUCCUACUCCCUUUUCGAGAUCGGCUUGGGCAAUUUGCGAUUUGAUGAUCUGCGCUCCCACAACGCAGACAUUUCCUUCCUUGCUUUCAGCAGACAUCUUCCAUAUGAUUCGGGUUCCCACAGUACCCGCAGGGACCACGAGAAGCGGAGACUGAGCCUCUCUGUGAAGCACUACUUGACAUUCUAGGUAAUUGUACUCCCCCAUUUCCCCUUCCAAUCUUAGGAGGCGUACCCUUAUCCCCUUACUCUGAGAUACUUCCAGGAAAUCCCCUUUUCUUAGUUUGAAAGUUUCUAACUUGAAAUCUUGCGCUUUCAACUCGUUGAGCUUUUUCUAUCGCAUCACUAAAGGUAUUGAAUUGGGCUAUAGCCAGGUCUUUCUGGAUCUCAACGUUUAAUUCUUGGACAAAACGCCUUAUCCUCCUUUGCUCAGUCACUAUUAGUUCGGGAGCGAACUUGGACAAUCUGGUGAACUGGCUCUCAUAUUCGGCGACGGUUUGAGUUCCCUGGCUGAGCCUAAUAAACUCAUCUUCUUUCUUUUCCUGGAUCAGGGGUGGAAAAUACUUCGUGUUGAACUCUCUCAUGAAAUUCACCCACGUCCUUGGGGUUUGUUCUCUUUUUCAUUUCAGUCUUAUGAUGUUCCACCAAGAACGGGCUGCUCCCUCUAGUUGGAAGACAACAAAUGUGACCUGUCGCUCCUCAGUAUAAUGUAACGCGGCAAAUAUAUCAAUUAUCUUCUUUAGCCAUCUCUCGGCCACGUCAGGGUCUGGUCCCCCCAGGAAUUUAGGUGGCGAGAACUUUUGAAAUCUUUCGAGGGCUCUAUCCUCACCCUCAAUGUGAUUACCAGGGUUUCCUGGCUGAUAUUAGGAUUUUGACCCUGAUGUUCUAUUACGUGUGCCAAAAGGUCAGUCAUACGUUGGAUAGCGGCAGCUACCUGAACGUUAGGGUCCACUCCAAGUUCGGGAUUAGGUUCAGGCAUUGGUUCCCGAUUUCCUCUUUCAUUUGAGGUUCCGCGCUCCCGUCCCUAUCCACUACAAGUACCGUCCAUUUGGUUUAACCAGUCUAGGGGUGAAGCGCGAAUAUAAUAUUAAAACAAAGUAUGCAGGUAUAAGUGAUAGAUGUAGGCAAUAUACAUAUAACACAUCUAACACAGACAGAUCACACAAUAGCAAUCAAUUAAAUACAAGCAAAAGGAAGCAUCAUGAAUAUUACUAACUAAAUCAAUGGUACAAGACCAACCAACUCAAAGUUGUCCCUCUUUAGGGUUCCGGGCACGAUCCACCAGAAUAACCUAAUUUAUAUCUUAGGCAGGGUCAAUCAUCCUUAGUUUUACGCUAACACAUUACAUGAUGUCCCGUAGAAGCAAAUUCUAGUUCGCCCAAGUCACUUCUAACCUAGGCUCUCAUCUAUUUAGUAGUCGGGUACAAGAAUCCCAAAAUAAGAUAAUUCACAACUUGGGCUGGCCAGUCCCAAGGCUAAUUCAUCUACAAUUGAGAUUCUUACCUGACCUACAUAUCUACUAUCCCAAAGUGCCAUGAUAAAGAUUUAUAACUUAUAACGCUUCAUGAUCCAUAGCUUAAGCUCAAAGAGCACUCAUACAUUGGUACACAUUCAUGGAAUCGGGACCAUAACACCACUUGGCCCAAACUCACUCCGCGCAGAGACCACGCGAAGUGGCUUUGAUACCACCUGUGACAGUCCCACCUCACUCUAAGGUGAACCAAAAGGUUCGGCGGACCGCCUGCCCAGCUCUCGCCGGGACUCAGUCAUACCUCCAUCAAAACCGAAAUAAAACUACAAGAAUCACGACGAAAUGGAAGGGCCGCCGCCAUGUAGGAUCCAACCAAGUACAAGUACACUUUGUUUGCCAUGAAAGAAUGUACAUUCCCGAAUAUAUAUAUAUCACAUAAAUAUGAGGAAACAUUUUAAAUAUACAUAUUAGUAAGUUUACAAAUCCAAAAGGAAACAUUGUAUUAAGAUAUAUUUAGGAUUUCCAAGUUGUCGAGGAGCUAUACCAAGAGAACAGAAGAAUUUCUAACUAGCUCAACUCAUUUCUCAAAACAUUGCAGUUCCAAAAGAUGAUUCCUUGUAAGGAAAACAAGGAUAACAGAAUGGGGUGAGCUAAAAGCUCAAUGAGAUACCAACAGUAUAAACAGUAGAAUCAGUAGAAUUCAUGAGAAAGCACUUUGAAGGCACAUAUUCACAUCAAAUGCGAGAAAUGAAUGAACACCAUAAUGUAAAGGAUACAAGUGGCUCUCAGGAGCCAAAUCCCCAUUGCUAUACUUGAUCCAGCCUCGUUGACCCUCCGUCAAUGUUCGAAUAAAGAAACCAGUCCAGUAGAACACCAUUUUAACGCCAAAACUCCGUUCACCAAACAUACCCCUUAUCGGGCUCGAACGCCAAACAGGAACAGGAAUGGUAAUACUCGAGUAUACCGGAAUCAAGAGUCUCAAUACCCAAAGAUUCCCCAAGAACAGGUACCCAUGGAUUGUCAAUUAUCUUGACCAAGCCCUUGCUGAUUCGAUUUAAUUAACUCCCCAUGAGGUUGAGCUCAAGUUUAACAUGACGAUCAAGUUUAACAGGACGAUCGUUGGACACACUUCCAAACGAUCGCAUAACAAGUACAAGUAACAAGUUCAAGUACAUAGCAAGUACGAGUAAUAGAUUCCAAUUCGUUCAGUACAGGCAAGAGAACGAGUGUGAUAAAGUAUACCCUCGUCUCAUACAAGAUAAACAGUCAGGAAAUAUAUUCAAAUAGCAAGUUGCAAGUACAGAAAAUCAGUUUAGCAAUAACUCAGGGGAGUGGUGCACUCACCUGAUCAAACAAGGAUAAUUUCAAAAGUUUUCUUCCCAAGUAUGGCUUUACUCGCCGGCACCUCCUAGAACAAUCAAGGCAAACACUUAAGACUGGACUCCAAGACCUAAUAAGUGGAAUUCACAAGUAAAACUCGAUUACAAGUCAGGUGCCUAUCCAAAUGAACCAUUAAUGUAAAGCGAAGAGGUGACUUUGGAGUGAAAAGAUAACGAUUAGUCCUAAAGGCAUUAACAAUCUCAAAACCCCUACCUACAAUGACUGACCAACUCCAAAUUUGAAAUAGAAAAUGAAAGUAAGAUCGAUACUAGGAAAAUAGGAUUUUUCAGUUUCAUGCAACCCUAUAUGAAAAAUCAUAUCUCAAGUUUUAUAGGUCCAAAAUUAGUAAAAGUUAUACCGUUGGAAAAUAAAUUCAAAGGGCUAUAACUUUCCAGAGAACACCCUCAUAAGAUUCAGAAUGCAAGUCAGUCAUAUUCAAGCCUCAAGUUGCUGCUUUAUUCAGUGAAAGACAGAACAGGUACAAUAUUUCAGUCAACUUUGAAAAUCACCAUAAAUGGUACAAACAUAAACAGGGUCUGAAAUUUACAUGGUUUAUAACCCUAUGAAUUUAGUUUAAAACACAACAAACGGAACUCAAUUCCGACAUUCCUACAUCAAGAUAUAGCAAAUUUCCGGAGACUGUGCAGAAGUUCCACGAAAAUUUUGACAGCAUUUCCCUUGUCUUUCCUUACUUUCCAACCAAACCUCAACACCCACAAAUCACAAGCUAUCAAACACCUUUAAUUAGAGCCACAACAAGGCUCGAAUACGAGUCAUAAACCGAAUCCACAUAUCACUAGAGUAAAAUCAUAUGGAACGUAUAAGUGCAAAAUCAAACUAGGACAUAUGCGGAAACGAAGUUUGGGUUGGAAAACAAAAGGCAGAUUUGCUGUUGCUUAGCGGAAUUAACACAACUGAAGCUAUCCUCAUCGGAUUGAGGUGUAAUUUACACCAUUUUGAAGCUAAGAGAAAUGGCUACAAUGUUGAAGAAGGCCACUCAGUCCAGUUUGCAAUGUAUCUAAGUCAAAUUUACCAAAACAACCCCAGGUUUUCCAAUUCAAAGUUUACUGUGGCAGUCCUGAUUCAUUCAGUCAUAUCUCAGCAUAUACAACUUCAAUUCAAGUGAUUCUAAAGCUAUUUGAAAGCUAAGAUACAAGGCUAUAAGUCUUACGAAAACACCAACAACCAAAUCAGUAGUAUUCCUGACCAAACUAACCAAUUACAGAAGCGGAUUAGCAGGUUCGGACAUAAACAGGGUAGCAGGGGUAUUUCAGUCUUUUCACAAGCUACGUUGCUCCGAUUGAGCUGAAAUUUUGCAGGCAACUAUAAAAUAUCAUUUUCUACAACUUUCAUGUUUUAACCCAAGGCUAAUUCAGCCUCUAACUAGGGGAAACAGUACCGGGCAGAAGGGGAAAAAAUGAAAACCCUAAUCUGGAAAUUUCGGUUCAAAGCGAAAAUUUUCCGCAAAUAGCUACAAUUUACGCAUCCAAGUUUCAUUCUAAACCAUUCCAAGCCAUCAUCCAUAGCUCAACAACAUUAAACAUAUAAAAAUAGAAAAAUCAUGAAUAAAUAGAAAAAUUCACCUAUUUCAACCAAAAAUCACAAAAUAGCACCUAAAAUUAUCUCUUUAACUCACAUAAGGUACCAAUUAGACAUUAUUAGGAUCAAAAGGAAGGUUCCUUGGUCACAUACCUUGCAAAUCCAAGAAAAGACCCAAUUUAACACCUUGGUCUUCCAAACCACUUCGCAACCAACCUUAAUACCACUAAACUAAGAGGUUUUAUGGAGUAAUUUGAAGAUUAAACGGUUGAAUUGAAAGAUUGGGCAAGAUUAGAGGUAAGAAAGUGGAGAAGUUUUUCUUCCUUUUUGCUUGAAGAUGGCUGGCCAAGAAGAUGAAGAAAAUGAGAAAUUUUUGGUCAAUUUUUGUUUUAAUUGGUAAAGUAAUGAAUAGUGGUCAAAAUUUAAAAAUAAAUCACAAGGUGACACUUGUAGGGAUGGCAACGGGGCGGGGUUGGGGCGGGGGACCCCUCCCCCGUCCCCCGCCCCGUUGCCUAUUAGUUCCCCCCGUCCCCCGCCUCUCGCUUGCCCAGCACCGCUUCCCCCGCGGGUGCCCCCGCGGGGUUAAUAAAAUUUUAUUAUAAUUAAAUUUUAAUAAAUAAUCAAGUACUAAAAUAUCAACGCAUCACCAAAUUAUUAUUCAUUGUAAUUUUACAAUUGAAACUCAUAAAAACAAUCAAAAAGAAGUUAUUUGAAUACAAUCCAAUAUGAUGAAAUAAAUAUAACUAAAAUAGUCAAGUUUUCAUUUUUAGUACAAAUGCAAUCACUAAUUCAUUAUUGUGUUUGUGUUUUUUUUUGAGAAAAAAGUGUUAUUCUAUUAAGUGUAAUUAGAAAUUUAGUAUAAAUGUAUUAGUAAAUUUAGUAUAACUAAUUAAUAAAUUUUAUUAGUAGACAUGUAUAAUUAUUCAUAUAAUUGAUAAUAUCAAUUAUAUUACAUAAACUACUAUACAUUAUAUAAUACAUCUAACUAAUAAUAUCAUUAUCAUAAGUUUAUAACUAAUUAACUUACAUACUAUAUAUAAUUAUAUAUAUAAUUAUAUUAUUUUUUUGAGGGUGCCCCGUUUCUAAGCGGGGGGAAUCCCCCGCUCCACCCCCCGCCCCAACCCCCGCCCCGAGAGCCCCCCGCGGGGCGGGUGCCCCCCAUUGCCAUCCCUAGACACUUGUCAGCCUCAUAAAUGCUAAGCUAUUCUUUUGUUUCCUCAACACUCAUCCAAAUGAUAUUUUCUAAUUAUCUCUUAACACCUAAUAAAUUAAACCCUGUAUACAAAACUUAACCUAAUUGGCCGAAUAUUACUGAACUUUUCGCACUAGCGGGUCCCACGCCCGGUAUACGCUCCAAAAAUCUCAUGAACUCAAUUAUACUAGAAAAAUGUUUUAAAAAUCCUAUUUACUCAUAAAACGAGUUAGAAAAUUUUCUAAUAAAGAAAUCACAGAAAAACAUGCGAUUAAAUAAAACAAAACCCUAGAAAAUACGAAAAUUUACGGGUUCUCACACUCUCUCCCCCUUAAAAGAAUUUCGUUCUCGAAAUUCCUUAUCAUCGUCUUUUUCGGGAUACAAAAAUUUUACUAUUUCCAUCUCACAAUCAAAUUGAGUAUCAUACUUAGCUAACCAAUCUGUACCCCUUCACUAACUAGGCUUAUUGAAUUCUUUUGUAUAGUUUCUUCUUCCUUGCCAAAUUGCAAUUCUUAUACACCAUUCUAGUGGGCAAACGGUGGGAUACUAGAAUCUUACCUUCCAUGUCCUUAAAUGGGUCAGAGACUUGAUGUUGUUCUAAGGAGUACACCCGAACUGACACUUUCGAUCCAUUCUUUUCCGUCUUCGACUGGUCAGGAUUGGUGGUGGUUGGCUGUUGGCUGUUGGCUCCUACUCCCUUUUCGAGAUCGGCUUGGGCAAUUUGCGAUUUGAUGAUCUGCGCUCCCACAACGCAGACAUUUCCUUCCUUGCUUUCAGCAGACAUCUUCCAUAUGAUUCGGGUUCCCACAGUACCCGCAGGGACCACGAGAAGCGGAGACUGAGCCUCUCUGUGAAGCACUACUUGACAUUCUAGGUAAUUGUACUCCCCCAUUUCCCCUUCCAAUCUUAGGAGGCGUACCCUUAUCCCCUUACUCUGAGAUACUUCCAGGAAAUCCCCUUUUCUUAGUUUGAAAGUUUCUAACUUGAAAUCUUGCGCUUUCAACUCGUUGAGCUUUUUCUAUCGCAUCACUAAAGGUAUUGAAUUGGGCUAUAGCCAGGUCUUUCUGGAUCUCAACGUUUAAUUCUUGGACAAAACGCCUUAUCCUCCUUUGCUCAGUCACUAUUAGUUCGGGAGCGAACUUGGACAAUCUGGUGAACUGGCUCUCAUAUUCGGCGACGGUUUGAGUUCCCUGGCUGAGCCUAAUAAACUCAUCUUCUUUCUUUUCCUGGAUCAGGGGUGGAAAAUACUUCGUGUUGAACUCUCUCAUGAAAUUCACCCACGUCCUUGGGGUUUGUUCUCUUUUUCAUUUCAGUCUUAUGAUGUUCCACCAAGAACGGGCUGCUCCCUCUAGUUGGAAGACAACAAAUGUGACCUGUCGCUCCUCAGUAUAAUGUAACGCGGCAAAUAUAUCAAUUAUCUUCUUUAGCCAUCUCUCGGCCACGUCAGGGUCUGGUCCCCCCAGGAAUUUAGGUGGCGAGAACUUUUGAAAUCUUUCGAGGGCUCUAUCCUCACCCUCAAUGUGAUUACCAGGGUUUCCUGGCUGAUAUUAGGAUUUUGACCCUGAUGUUCUAUUACGUGUGCCAAAAGGUCAGUCAUACGUUGGAUAGCGGCAGCUACCUGAACGUUAGGGUCCACUCCAAGUUCGGGAUUAGGUUCAGGCAUUGGUUCCCGAUUUCCUCUUUCAUUUGAGGUUCCGCGCUCCCGUCCCUAUCCACUACAAGUACCGUCCAUUUGGUUUAACCAGUCUAGGGGUGAAGCGCGAAUAUAAUAUUAAAACAAAGUAUGCAGGUAUAAGUGAUAGAUGUAGGCAAUAUACAUAUAACACAUCUAACACAGACAGAUCACACAAUAGCAAUCAAUUAAAUACAAGCAAAAGGAAGCAUCAUGAAUAUUACUAACUAAAUCAAUGGUACAAGACCAACCAACUCAAAGUUGUCCCUCUUUAGGGUUCCGGGCACGAUCCACCAGAAUAACCUAAUUUAUAUCUUAGGCAGGGUCAAUCAUCCUUAGUUUUACGCUAACACAUUACAUGAUGUCCCGUAGAAGCAAAUUCUAGUUCGCCCAAGUCACUUCUAACCUAGGCUCUCAUCUAUUUAGUAGUCGGGUACAAGAAUCCCAAAAUAAGAUAAUUCACAACUUGGGCUGGCCAGUCCCAAGGCUAAUUCAUCUACAAUUGAGAUUCUUACCUGACCUACAUAUCUACUAUCCCAAAGUGCCAUGAUAAAGAUUUAUAACUUAUAACGCUUCAUGAUCCAUAGCUUAAGCUCAAAGAGCACUCAUACAUUGGUACACAUUCAUGGAAUCGGGACCAUAACACCACUUGGCCCAAACUCACUCCGCGCAGAGACCACGCGAAGUGGCUUUGAUACCACCUGUGACAGUCCCACCUCACUCUAAGGUGAACCAAAAGGUUCGGCGGACCGCCUGCCCAGCUCUCGCCGGGACUCAGUCAUACCUCCAUCAAAACCGAAAUAAAACUACAAGAAUCACGACGAAAUGGAAGGGCCGCCGCCAUGUAGGAUCCAACCAAGUACAAGUACACUUUGUUUGCCAUGAAAGAAUGUACAUUCCCGAAUAUAUAUAUAUCACAUAAAUAUGAGGAAACAUUUUAAAUAUACAUAUUAGUAAGUUUACAAAUCCAAAAGGAAACAUUGUAUUAAGAUAUAUUUAGGAUUUCCAAGUUGUCGAGGAGCUAUACCAAGAGAACAGAAGAAUUUCUAACUAGCUCAACUCAUUUCUCAAAACAUUGCAGUUCCAAAAGAUGAUUCCUUGUAAGGAAAACAAGGAUAACAGAAUGGGGUGAGCUAAAAGCUCAAUGAGAUACCAACAGUAUAAACAGUAGAAUCAGUAGAAUUCAUGAGAAAGCACUUUGAAGGCACAUAUUCACAUCAAAUGCGAGAAAUGAAUGAACACCAUAAUGUAAAGGAUACAAGUGGCUCUCAGGAGCCAAAUCCCCAUUGCUAUACUUGAUCCAGCCUCGUUGACCCUCCGUCAAUGUUCGAAUAAAGAAACCAGUCCAGUAGAACACCAUUUUAACGCCAAAACUCCGUUCACCAAACAUACCCCUUAUCGGGCUCGAACGCCAAACAGGAACAGGAAUGGUAAUACUCGAGUAUACCGGAAUCAAGAGUCUCAAUACCCAAAGAUUCCCCAAGAACAGGUACCCAUGGAUUGUCAAUUAUCUUGACCAAGCCCUUGCUGAUUCGAUUUAAUUAACUCCCCAUGAGGUUGAGCUCAAGUUUAACAUGACGAUCAAGUUUAACAGGACGAUCGUUGGACACACUUCCAAACGAUCGCAUAACAAGUACAAGUAACAAGUUCAAGUACAUAGCAAGUACGAGUAAUAGAUUCCAAUUCGUUCAGUACAGGCAAGAGAACGAGUGUGAUAAAGUAUACCCUCGUCUCAUACAAGAUAAACAGUCAGGAAAUAUAUUCAAAUAGCAAGUUGCAAGUACAGAAAAUCAGUUUAGCAAUAACUCAGGGGAGUGGUGCACUCACCUGAUCAAACAAGGAUAAUUUCAAAAGUUUUCUUCCCAAGUAUGGCUUUACUCGCCGGCACCUCCUAGAACAAUCAAGGCAAACACUUAAGACUGGACUCCAAGACCUAAUAAGUGGAAUUCACAAGUAAAACUCGAUUACAAGUCAGGUGCCUAUCCAAAUGAACCAUUAAUGUAAAGCGAAGAGGUGACUUUGGAGUGAAAAGAUAACGAUUAGUCCUAAAGGCAUUAACAAUCUCAAAACCCCUACCUACAAUGACUGACCAACUCCAAAUUUGAAAUAGAAAAUGAAAGUAAGAUCGAUACUAGGAAAAUAGGAUUUUUCAGUUUCAUGCAACCCUAUAUGAAAAAUCAUAUCUCAAGUUUUAUAGGUCCAAAAUUAGUAAAAGUUAUACCGUUGGAAAAUAAAUUCAAAGGGCUAUAACUUUCCAGAGAACACCCUCAUAAGAUUCAGAAUGCAAGUCAGUCAUAUUCAAGCCUCAAGUUGCUGCUUUAUUCAGUGAAAGACAGAACAGGUACAAUAUUUCAGUCAACUUUGAAAAUCACCAUAAAUGGUACAAACAUAAACAGGGUCUGAAAUUUACAUGGUUUAUAACCCUAUGAAUUUAGUUUAAAACACAACAAACGGAACUCAAUUCCGACAUUCCUACAUCAAGAUAUAGCAAAUUUCCGGAGACUGUGCAGAAGUUCCACGAAAAUUUUGACAGCAUUUCCCUUGUCUUUCCUUACUUUCCAACCAAACCUCAACACCCACAAAUCACAAGCUAUCAAACACCUUUAAUUAGAGCCACAACAAGGCUCGAAUACGAGUCAUAAACCGAAUCCACAUAUCACUAGAGUAAAAUCAUAUGGAACGUAUAAGUGCAAAAUCAAACUAGGACAUAUGCGGAAACGAAGUUUGGGUUGGAAAACAAAAGGCAGAUUUGCUGUUGCUUAGCGGAAUUAACACAACUGAAGCUAUCCUCAUCGGAUUGAGGUGUAAUUUACACCAUUUUGAAGCUAAGAGAAAUGGCUACAAUGUUGAAGAAGGCCACUCAGUCCAGUUUGCAAUGUAUCUAAGUCAAAUUUACCAAAACAACCCCAGGUUUUCCAAUUCAAAGUUUACUGUGGCAGUCCUGAUUCAUUCAGUCAUAUCUCAGCAUAUACAACUUCAAUUCAAGUGAUUCUAAAGCUAUUUGAAAGCUAAGAUACAAGGCUAUAAGUCUUACGAAAACACCAACAACCAAAUCAGUAGUAUUCCUGACCAAACUAACCAAUUACAGAAGCGGAUUAGCAGGUUCGGACAUAAACAGGGUAGCAGGGGUAUUUCAGUCUUUUCACAAGCUACGUUGCUCCGAUUGAGCUGAAAUUUUGCAGGCAACUAUAAAAUAUCAUUUUCUACAACUUUCAUGUUUUAACCCAAGGCUAAUUCAGCCUCUAACUAGGGGAAACAGUACCGGGCAGAAGGGGAAAAAAUGAAAACCCUAAUCUGGAAAUUUCGGUUCAAAGCGAAAAUUUUCCGCAAAUAGCUACAAUUUACGCAUCCAAGUUUCAUUCUAAACCAUUCCAAGCCAUCAUCCAUAGCUCAACAACAUUAAACAUAUAAAAAUAGAAAAAUCAUGAAUAAAUAGAAAAAUUCACCUAUUUCAACCAAAAAUCACAAAAUAGCACCUAAAAUUAUCUCUUUAACUCACAUAAGGUACCAAUUAGACAUUAUUAGGAUCAAAAGGAAGGUUCCUUGGUCACAUACCUUGCAAAUCCAAGAAAAGACCCAAUUUAACACCUUGGUCUUCCAAACCACUUCGCAACCAACCUUAAUACCACUAAACUAAGAGGUUUUAUGGAGUAAUUUGAAGAUUAAACGGUUGAAUUGAAAGAUUGGGCAAGAUUGGAGGUAAGAAAGUGGAGAGAUUUUUCUUCCCUUUUGCUUGAAGAUGGCUGGCCAAGAAGAUGAAGAAAAUGAGAAAUUUUUGGUCAAUUUUUGCUUUAAUUGGUAAAGUAAUGAAUAGUGGUCAAAAUUCAAGAAUAAAUCACAAGGUGACACUUGUCACCCUCAUAAAUGCUAAGCUAUCCUUUUGUUUCCUCAACACUCAUCCAAAUGAUAUCCUCUAAUUAUCUCUUAGCACCUAGUAAAUUAAACCCUGUAUACAAAAUUUAACCUAAUUGGCCGAAUAUUACCGAACUUUCCGCACUAGCGGGUCCCACGCCCGGUAUACGCUCCAAAAAUCUCAUGAACUCAAUUAUAAUAGAAAAAUAUUUUAAAAAUCCUAUUUACGCAUAAAACGAGUUAGAAAAUUUUCUAAUAAAGAAAUUACAGAAAAACGUGCGAUUAAAUAAAACAAAACCCUAGAAAAUACGAAAAUUUACGGGUUCUCACAACAUCUCUUUUACAAAGUUGUACAAAGUGUAGGGCAAAUUAUAAGAAUUAAUUUUCUAUAUAUAGAUCCAUGAUAAUUAAUCAGAAUUCGAAUUUGAAAUUUAAAUUAUGCACAUUUAUCAUGCAUCUAACUGUGAUAGCCCGUGGAUACAUUGAUAAUGUAUAUAAAAUUAAUUCAAAUUAUAUCGGGUUCAAAAAAAAGAGCUAUGUCAUCGACCAACGAUUUCAUUGACCAUUGUUAUUGACUUACUGCCCCUCUCCCAUUACCGAAGCACUGCAUGCGUCUGGGUUGAUGCUUUGGAGGCCUAAACGGCUGACGCGAUCAUAGAAAUAAUAAUAGACUCAAAAUUGCAGCUAAUAAUGCAGGGUUUGAGACUUGACAGGAGGAGAGGGAAGGGUUCUUUUACUACAAAAGGCAUCGUUUCACGAUGCAGACAUUUAGAAAUGAUCGAUUACUUUCAAUCCAUAUCAACUUUCAAAUCAAAUUGGGCAUCUUAUCAAGUUUAUGCCCCAAACGAAAAUUGCCAAGCAGACUCGGGAUAAGCAUUCAACAUGAAAGAUUAAGAUUCGCCAGGGAAUCCCGCACUUUGGCAUGCAUUUGUCAUCCCGCAGAAUUAGAUUCUCGCCAGUGAGGAAUCUCAAAAACAGGAAAAGCUUAGUGACUGAGAUAAUCAAGUAGUCCAGUAAGGUUAAGCAAAAGAGUAGCAGUAAUCUCGGGAAAAUAAGACGCCUGCAAGAACAUUCAUCAGCUUACAAAAAGUGGGAUAAUCAAGUAGUCUAGUUAAUUUCUCUUUCAUUUGGUUCGACUUCUUCAUGUUACCAAGUUCAAAGCAGAGAUAGUCAUCCGAUAUAGCAAUUGUAGUGCAUAACUUCACAAUUUUUAGUUUGCCUGUCAAAUAGAUAGGUGAACCAUAAAUAAAACUGCACAGUUGUAAUUUUAUCAAUUGUUUCUAUUCUCUGAUGCACCUAAAAUGUCAUAUGUCUUCAUGUUAAGGGCCGAAAAGCGUAGAUCACACAGCACUGGUGAGGCUAGAAUCCCCUAGCACUCGGAAGACUAAAGGUGUUGGGAUUUGGGAACAUCUGCAAUUCAUCAUGAACUCCUACAUGGAAGGCCUCUAUAUAUUGAGUGACUACAGGAAACAGACGGGCAAAUCGUGCUACAUAUAAGGUGCAGUUAGUCACAAGUCUGGCGAAAUCUAGGACCGUGACGGGACACCGAAUAGGAAAAUAAUCAGUGGACUCUUGAUCUCCUAGAUGAAUUUUCUUGCACUUCGUUGCCAAUUGCCAUAUCUGUUUCCGUUUUAUAUAUUUUCUAAUACAGGUUUAUACAGUGUUUUCCAUAUUAGUAUGCGUAGUUGGCUAUUUUAUUAUCUUCCUUUGACGAUACUAAGAAUAAUAUAGUGUAAAAUGAGAGUAACUGGUCCCUCUAGUAUAGCUUUGAUUAGCAGCAGGUUCUGAUAAAAAAGCAGAAGUCACAAUGUUUACUGUUUACCUCCACAAAAAAUUGACGUAGCACAACCAAAAUGAUACUUGCCCAUGAUCAGCUCAUGUUCAGCUUGAUAGUUCACUCAUUCAAGUUCACGAAUCCUGUUAAAUGUUAAACUAGCAACCAACUGCCCUAUUCCCUUCCCCAUCUCUUACUUCCCCCCCUCUAGCUCUAAAAAAAUGUACUUCAAAAAAAAAUUAAAGCUACUAGGAUCGUUACUAAAAGUGUUGAACAUAUCCAUUUGAAAGUAAUGCAUUUGAAAUUUACUAUUGAGUGAAAAACUUCAUGUGGAAUCGUGUGCCUACUUAACUACAAGUCCCUAAAAUGUGGAAAUUCACGACAGUGUAAUAUUAAUAGGUAGGCAUGUGAGCUGAUCAUCGCUGCACAAGACUUUAAGCCACCUUCAUUUGCACAGAUCACCGCAAAAACAUAAGGUCAAAUCUGCAAAUGAAAUAGCUUCAAGCGAACAUGAUCCAAUUUUCAGCUUGGAUGAGAAAUGGAGGGAGAAACACCAAAAUUAUUGGCUCGUGUUCAAAAGCACACUCAAUGGAGGAUCAGAAAGUAGAUUGAUUCCCAUCGAUAGGUAACAUAAAUCUAGAAGAAGGACACUUUUGGAUUCCCUGUGUUUGAUAUGAAAUUAUUUUGGAUUCAAUCUACCAAAAUUAUUCGCUCAUGUUCAAACACAGGCUUUAUGACAUCUUCUACUGUGACUUGCUGACAUUGUACUUUUGCUCAUUCAGUAGACAUGAAGGAACACCAAGAAUUUGUAUUGCCAUCUAAAUAACAACCGAAGCUUCAAGUUCAAGAGUCGCCAUUCAGUUGAUAUAUAGGCAAAGGGCAAGUAGACUGUCUUCUAUCUGUUCCGAUUGAAUUUUAUCCAAAAUAAAAUUAUCCAAAGUACUUAGGCUCCCCCUUCAAACUCUAGGGUCGUCCAAUGUGUUUUGAUUGCUUUUAGGGAUAGUUUCGGAAACCAACUUUGAGAUUUCUAACACUCUCACUCGCGUCCCCUAAGAUUUCUAAAAUUACUCUAACCUCGCCUAAGCUCAAUGUUUUGGUAAGAAAUUCAGCCUAUGUCAGAAAAAGUGGCUUUAAAAAAGUGUUUUGAGUAGUAAGAUGAUAAUUUUAUAAAAAAGUGCUUUUCAUGAAGUUGUAUUUCUAAAAGAAAGGAAUGUUAUCUAUAACAGGAUGUGAGGUAAUGUUGGGUGUCUGAAUUGAUAUUUGUUGUUUAAUUAUAUAUUAAUAGCACCUCAAAUAAUUAAAUAGUAAAUAUAAAUUAUUGGAUGAUUACAAAUAAAAUCAGAUAAAAAAGAGUAUAAAAUUGAAAAUACAAUUUCAUGGUAUGCCAUCACAUAAUACAAUCCUUUUAUAAUUAUAAUCACAUAAAGUGUAAUUUUAGUUAAAAUUAGGUACUAUCAAUAGUUAGAAUAAUGUAUACUACAUUGUCUAUAAUAUUUCAGAUGAGUGCAAAGAGAAUUGCCUGAGAUAUACGCUAGCAUAUUCAAUGCUGGAGCAUCAAUUUGAUAAUAUCAAUUGGUUAUACAUAGUUGCAUAUGUUCAGGCGAUUAAACCAAUGAAUCACUACGAGUGUACAAUUGAUAUUAUAUCCAUGAAAGUAAGUUAAUCUGAAAACUUUUUGUGAAUAAUGCUACAAAAAAUUCAAAAUUAUGAGACUAAAAUCUUAAUCAAAUAGAAAAAGGUUCGUGUAUUUAUAUUGAGGUUCUUGCAACAACUUAGAAUGAGAAAUGGUUCAUGAAUAAAUUUCAUCUUCAUUAUCUAUUAGAAUUCAAAGAAUUUAAGUAGCAGUCAAAUCCUUUAAACUCAAUGUCAAAAGUUGCACAAAAUAUGCAUUUUGUAGAUGAAAAUUGGAUACUAGUACUAUAUUUGUUCCUUAUGCUGCUGACAAUUAUAAAUGGUUUUUGAUUGUUAAAUACUUCUCUUUUUAAUGCAUUCUCUCUUACUUAUUAAAAUAUUUAUCUUAAUGAAGAAUCCUCCCUUUUCAUGUCAAAUUUGAACUUUUUCCUUGGUAGAAAAACACUUAUAUUACAACUUGCUAUGACGCCUGUACAAUAAUUUGUUCUAUAUUGUGAUCAAUAUAGAAAUUUUUAUUGUCAUCUUUUGAAUGUCUAAUUUCCUUGUAUCUGGGAUUUGAGCAUCAAAGAAAGAAGUGUUUCGCAAUUUUGGGUAGCAUUCUAGAAGAUGAGGAUAGAAUUAGUAUCACAAACAAAAUUAUGUUCAAGUUUAAUUAGUUACUCCAUCUUUUUACCUUCAUCUUUUAAUCUAGUUUAAUUAGUUACUCUCAAAUUUGUUGACCUAAUGCUAUUUUGUCCCUAAAUUCAUUUGUUAACAACCUUAAUGGCUCAAGGUAUACAAGUAAAUUUACCGUAUUUUAGGUAAGUAAUGAGCCCCAACACACUGUCAGGGGAGAUCAAUGUAACUUUAGAAACAUCAGGGGAGUUUUCUGAAAUUAUCCCUUGUUUUUAUAUCCAAAAGACUUUGUAGAUACAUGCAUCAAAGACAAAGCAACGCAAAAGUAGAACAUUAUAGUAUCUUGUUUUCCUGACGAGUUCAAUAUGAAUCUAAUGCAGUAAUCUCUGUAUUUUCUUUAUCAUGAUGAGUAUCCAAAGACAUUAUCCAGCAUUUUCUCCUAUUUUGACAAAAUUUUGGUUGUACAAUGACUGCAAAAGCAGGCUGUAUCCCUGCACGGUGGACUGACUCGGAUAUGGCUAGUAAAAAGGAAGACCUAACAGGGACACAUGGAUACUUAACUGAUUUUGCCUCAAUGCUUACUUGCUUAUUCCCAAGACAAUAAUGUUAGACGGAUCCCAGAGAAAUCUGGGGUCUUAUUAGUUAAUUCAUGGCACUAAAACAGUUACAGGGGCAGUGAAUGCCGAUGGGUAGGUGCUUUGGAGGCUUAAAUGGCUCACAAGGACAUAGAAAUUUCAUAUAUUCAAAAUCAGAAGUAAUCAUGCAUAGCAUGAGACUAUACAGAAACAGGAGAGGGAAGCGUUCUUUACUACAAAGGCAUCGUUCCAUGGUACAGACGUUCAGAAAUGAUGGAUAACAGUUGAUCCGUAUUUUCUUUCAAGUCAAAAGGGAACGGUAUCUUAUCAAGUCUAUGCCCUACAGAUCGAAAAUUGCCAAGGAGACUCGAGAUAAGCGUUAAACGUGAAAGCUUUUGAUUCGACAGGGAAGAUAAGGAUCCUGCACUUUGGCAGAAUUAGAUUCUCAACCGUAAGAAAUGACAAGUUUAAUAACUGAUAUUGCCAACUGACAGUAUGUUUGAUAAUAUAAAAAAGUGUUGAAUCUGAACUUUUUCAGACAUUCAGAUAUUUUAAGUGUUUGAUAAAUGAAAAUCUAUUUGUUGAAUUUGUUAAGCAGUGCUGAACUUGUGUGUAUUUUUUUCAGCAUAAGAAUCCUAACUGAAUACUUAAUUCUGAUAAGAAUCAAUAGAAUUACUUCAACUAUCUUAUCUUAUCUAUCAAAUCUACCCUGAUUUAUUAAUUAUAUUCAAAAUUCUUAUCUAAUUAAAUAAUAUAAUAUUCUCUAUCUAAUGAUUUUCUAUUUCUCUUUUCUUUCUUUUUAAUGACUUUUACAUCUUCUCCAUACUCCUCAUAUAAUAUAUUUUAUCUUUUAUAUUAAUUUGAUUUAAAAAUAAAUAUUGUUAUUUUCAUACCUAAAAAUUUUAAACUAAUUAAAUCAUAGGUUCUAUUUCUUUUUUGGAUGAAAAGAUAUAAAGGCAAAAUUGUUAAAUUUAACUUAUUAAGUAUUCAGUUAUGAAUGUUUAUCAAACAGUAUAAAUAGAUUCAGCAUUAAAAUUCAGGCAUUCAUAUAUUUCUUUUCAGUGCUUAAAAUUCAGUAAAUUAAUUAUUUCAAUAUUCAGAUUUCAGAAUUCAGACUUCAGAAUUCAGAUUCAGCUUUAUCAAACGGAACCUGAGAUUAGUAAUUGGCAUUACUUGAUUACUUCCAUCAUCCGAGUAAAAAGGGCAGAGAAAGACACCUCUACUAAGUACUAACUGAUAUUAAUUCAAAGACAUGAAAAGUCUUUUUGGAAUUCAUAUACUAGCUAGACAAUUAAUGUUCUACUAUAAAUGAUUUCCAAGGAGGCCUGUUAGACAUGGACUACCCUCAAGUAUAUUUUAUGGUUAAGUUUGAUAGAAUGGAUAACAAGUGCUUAAUUAUUGCAUUUAUUCUUUGUUGAGAGUAAGAGCUGGCGAGCUGCCUCUCAAGCGGCUAAUCAAUUCAUUAUUUUCCCCACGUAUUAGCUCAAAAUUCACCCCUUGAUUCGUCCUUUUCAACGUCUCUUUCCUCCUCUAUCAUGAUAGUAGCAUUAUCUUUUCUUUUUUUUUUUUUCGGUUUUCCCAAAAAAAAAAAAAAUGAAGAAAGAGAAGAACAUAGUGCUUGAUGCCUUUCCUGAUGCACAAUGACUUUUCAAUCAAAUACAUAUUCAUAAUGAGAUUCCCACCAUCCCACAAAGGGCAUAUAGGGCAUUUAAGUGCAAAAAAGAGUGCCUAUAAAUACAAGGAGUCUGUCUUGUUGUUUCAUGUGCUAAACUCAGAGCUACCAAGCUUCGACAGUCGCAACCAAUUACAAAAUCUAUUGCCAGUCUUGCUCGCGUCCUAGCUCCUUAAGGAAAAAAUGGCCGCCGUCGUUGCCAACCCCCACAUCAACAUUUCUGAAAUCACAGCCAACAGUAAUAUUCUAUACAUAUUCUUUAAAAAUUCACGCAUUAGAUUUAUAGUUCGAUUGCAUUGCAUGUUUAUAUUCUUUUUAAAUAAAAGAGUGGUUUUUAUGCUGUUUGGAUUAAAACGGGCUUUGCUCCUUGAUGGAAAUCAGUGAAAGCGGAGGGAGUCCAGUCCCCUGAGAUAGAAGCUAUAGUGAAGGCACUUUCAGACGACACGAUAUGGAAUACAAUCGAGGGAUUCAAGGGCAAGGACAUGAGCACUCAGGAGAAAAUGAUUGUAUGACUAGUUAGACCUAUUUUUUCCUUCGAGUUUUGCAUGUGGUUUUGGGAAUUAUAUUACUAAACUACACCAAAUAAUUGCCCUUCAAUUUAUUCAUAGGUUUUAUAUCUAUUAUGACUGGUAUUUAUUUUGAAUGCUUACAAUUAAAAUCGCCCAUGCAUAUCGGUUUUUAAUUCAUUCUUUAGGAGAAGGCAAUUUGUUUCACAAUAUCGAUUCUGUAAAUUCUUAAUUUUCACACAUUUGAGUACGUACUGAAAAAGUACCACGUAAACUUUGCAUUUUGCAUUGACUAGUUUUGACAAAUCAAAAAAGAAUUUCAUAUACAGUAGCGAUAGUGCUAAAUUCUUUAUUUGAAUACAAAAAAGAAUGAAUAAGGAAGUAGAAUGAAUUUUGAGGCCAUAAAUAACUUACAAAAAAACUUGUUUGGAAUGAAUUUUAAGUCGAACGAAUUUUGUACAUUCUUCAAUUGCUUAUGCAAUUUAUUAUUAUAUUAUUAUUAUUUUUUGUAUUUCUAGUUUCUUUCACGUAAUGUAGUUUCAUAUUAAUUGAUUAAAUUUAGUUUUCUGGUUGUUUGUUUGAAAAGGAUUCCAAUUAAUUUUAUAAACUCAAUCCUUUUUGUAACUAAAAAAGAAAUGUUUGGGGUUUACACUGUACAGAACAACAUGGUGGCCGGUGGUCACCUGCCUCAAGUCGGUGUUCCUCUUCCAACGCCAGUGAACCCAACUGACCCUCACGUGAUCUCGGUCGCAAAAUUUGCAGUGGCAAAGUACAACGACAAGCAUGGGACAAAACUGGUUUUCAACCGCGUGAAUGGCGGCCUGCAGUGGAAAAUUGUUAUUGGCACUCUCUAUAUCCUUGUCCUUGCAACUCAGGAUUCUAAGGGCACGUAUACCGAUUAUGCAGUGGUUUUUGAGACCUUUUUGGGUCAGAAGUACCUCUUCUGGUAUAAGCAUUAAUCAAGCUUCACUGCCACUCUUCAGCUGAGGAUGACUUAUGUACUCUAUUAAGUACUUUUAAUUAUAUGGUGUCUAUGGUGUGGUUUGAGUAUGUGUAUGGACGUUUAAAACUAUGGAUGUAUUGCUGACAAGCAUACGUCUCCCCCACGGCUGUACUACUAUGUUAAAGGGUGCACUUGUACCAGCAAAAAUGCACCAUAUUCAAUAAAUAAAAACAGCCAUCUAUGUUUGAGUUUGUAUACAUGUGAGUAUCUUGUUCCUCCAUUAAUUGCAUGCAGGUUACAAUCUCUGUCUUUUGCACGUCGAAACGUACCAUGCUCAUGAUUACUUUUAAAGUCUUCUAAGUAAAUGUUACUUACAGUGAAUCCAAACCAGAAAACAAAAUGAAAGGUUGACUUAUAUAUCUUCUACAUCCUAGAACCAUUCUUUUUGUCACCAUCCUAUCAUGUGCUAAUUAAGCUUAAAAUUGAUAGAUAUGAGCAAAUAAUGGUCCGUUAUCUUUAAGAUGUGACAACAAAAUUGAUAGUUCUAAGUACCAUUGGAUUAUAAUACUUAUUUCCUAAUUUUUAUUUGACUUUCAAUGGAGUAGAGAUUUUGAGAGUCAACACAAAUCGUUCAAGCAAUCAAGAAGAAAACAAAAUGCUAUGGUUAAUAUUAAGGAAAAGUAUAUGUCGGAAUUCAUUCACCUUUCAGUUUUUCAACUGUGAAUACUGAAUAGCGACUAAUAACUCUUGAAGUCAAACGCAUGCGCAACUCAUUUAUAGAUGUUGGCGAUACUAGUAAUGAUGGUAGUAUGAGUUCAGUUGUAUACACAGACAAAUUGAUUGUAUAAUAAAGAGGGUAGAAGCGUAAUAUUGGCCCUCAACAUUUAGUUCCUGUACAAAAAUAUGAUGGAAUUAAACUAAGUUAUUCUAUUGGUUUAUUUCCUAAUGCUUUUAGUUUCUUGUUUUGGUGUCCUGUUUAUUUAGUUUCCGUAUCAGUUAGAAAUCUCACAUCAGUUUCCAAAUAAGUUUCGAUUUACAAUUGUAUUUAUUUAGAAAGUUUUGAAGUCUAUACAUACUAAUAGUCUAGUACAUUUUUACCUAAAGAGUUGAGUUGUGUCAAGUUGUGAGAUAUAGCAAAAGGCUCUAGUUGAGAGUUGUGAGUUGUUGUAAACGAAAAACUAUGAUUUGAUAUUCUUAUUGUUGGGUUUUGAGUUGAUAAAAUUAUUGAGUAUUUGUUUGUAUGUCUCCUCCUCUUCCGACAUAUUAUUAUGUGUCGAAAUUGCUUCUGGCCGUGUGUGUGUUUUUUAUUCUGGGGCUUGUUCGUGAAACUAAAAUAUAAAUCUAUGUUGUUUACAACAUUGUGCAAUUUUUAUCUUUGAUAGUAAAAAUGAAUUUGAGGUUUGGAGUUGGAUGAUGAAGAUUUUUUUCUUCAAGCUAUUGGAAUUUAGCAUAUUGUCCAGAUAGGAUUCACGGAACCGCAGAAGGGAUGGAAUUAUUAAGUAGUGUAGUUAAAAAAUUAGAGAGAAAUAAACAGUUGGAUCACAAAGCAUUCCAUUAUCUCACUACAUAAGUCCAGUUGCAUGUAGUUAAAAAAUUCAUACAUACAAAGAUGAAAAGUGAGGCUUGAAAAUUUUUGAUGAAUUCUUGUUGUGGUUAUGGUAGAGAAGAAAUUUGUGACAAUAAAGAAGAACAAGAAUUAUUUUGAAUAGGUAGGGAAAGAAGAAGUUGCAAAAAUUUUAAGUGCAUAUAGAGAUUAAAAAUUUUGUGACUAAAAAGGAAAUUUCGCAAGCGGUUGAGAAAGAAAGUGAAAUCAUUUGUUAGAUCAAAGAUGUGCUUGAAAAUUAUGGCAAUGAAGAAAUUCUUAAUUUUGUCGGUGUUGAUGAAUUAUUUGAAAAAGAAUAUCAAACAUUGGAAUUGGUUGAGAUCAAUUAUGGACUGCAUGAUUUAGUUGAAAAUUGUGAUAGGGCUAAAAUUGGUGUCAUUGUCAACGUGAACCAAACAAAGUAAGAUUGUGGUGGUGUUGAAAAUUUUGUUGGUGAAAUUCUUGAUUUCGUGGUGUUGGGAGAUUUUCUUGGUGAUAUAAAGGAAUCAAAUUAUGGAGUAUGCAAUGAGCAAUGGGUAAAUAUGUUUGAAUUUUUUGACAAAGGAGACUAGGCCAAGAAAUUGUUUUAGAAGUACAAGUUUCGGCCACUAUCAUGUGAGAAGAUGAAAUUAAAAAUGAAUUGUAAGUUGGUGUUUGAUGGAGAUUCAAAUUCGAGAUGUUAUUUGAGCUUAGACCUGUCAAUUGGGCCUAAUGAGCCAGGCUUUCAUAAGCUCAAGCUCAGCUCAUUUAAUUUGGAACAUUAUCGGGUUUCGGGCUAUAAGUUUCGGGUUCAUAAAUGUGAAGUUCAUACUCACCUUACAUAAUAUUCAGGUUGUGAGCUUUAAUCGGGUUUAGCCCAAUCUCACUUAUUACUCCUUAAUUUUCUUAAUACAAUUACUGUAACUAUUAAGUUGUAAAACUAAUUUAACACUUACAAGACUAUAAUAUUAAAACUAAAAAUGAACAAAUAAUAGUUCUUAAAAAGUAUAUAAACCAAAAAAAUUUCAACAAUAUUUAUAUUUAAUUAGUUCAAAAUGUAUGAAAUAUAGUAAUAAAACAUGCGAUCAUAAGCCAAUACAUCUUUAAAAGUUGAAACUUUUUUAUAAUCUUGUGAUUUGAAUCCAAACAUGCUUGAUGAUUUGUGUUUGUAAACCAAAAGGAAAUCAACCAAUAUAAUGCCAACACAAAGAUUUACUUAACCAAUAAGAAAAGUUGGAGAUUCAAUUAUGCAUUACUAAUAUUGACUCUCAAGAAAGCUCAUGAAAAAGUCUUUAGAUGUAUUUUUGUAUUUUGUAAUUUAUAUAUAUUUAGUAUUUAAUAAUAAUAUAUUUGGAUAUAUAAUUAUACAUAAUAUCAAAAUAUAAAUAUUAUAUAUAUAUGUAAUUAAAGGGCCGGGCCUAUAUCAAGUUUGAACCUAAUAAGGCCCAAGCUCGACUCAUAUUUAAUUUGGGCUAUUUUUUAUGCUCAAACUCAGAUCGGCUCACUAAAAGGUCGGGCUCAUCGGGCUUUCUGUCAAGCCGAACGAGCCGAGUUUGGGCUGGCCCAACCCCAUUGACAGUCCUAUUUGAGCUAAUAGAGAGUUUAGUUUAAAAGAUACAAUAAUGGAAUUAAAUUAAGCUAUUCUAUUUGUUUAUUUUCUAACUCUUUUAGUUUUUUGUUUUGGUGUCCUGUUUAUUUGGUUACCAUAUUAGAUUAGGAAAUCUCAAAUUAGUUUCCAAAUAAGUUUCGAUUUAUAAUUGUGUUUGUUUAGGAAGUUUUGUAGUCUAUAAAUACUAAUAGUCUAGUACAUUGUUACUUGAAGAGUUGAGUUGACUUAAGUUGUGAGAUAGAGGGAAAUGCUCUAAGUUAAAAGUUGUGAGCUGUUGUAAGCGAAAAUCUAUGAUUUGAUAUUGUUAUUGUUGAAUUUUGAGUUAAUAAAAUUAUUGAAUAUAUAUUUGUGUGUUUAUUGUCUUUGUCUUGCAACAUAUUUUUAUGUGUAUCAAAAUUGCUUCUACUGAGUGCAUGCAUGUUUUUUGUGCCAACAAAAUAGUUUCUAAUAUUUUGAUUACAAUAAAUUUGAUCCUUGAAAUUUUUGAUUUUAUGCAAAUUUUGGGCAUCUCGUGAUAAAUCACAAUAAUUAACUACUAAAAUCAAAUUGGUGUUAGUAAAAAAAAAAAUUAAAUUUUGCAUUGGUCCCUAAAUACUUUUAGAAUUUCAAUCAAUAUGGCCCCUUAGGUUUCAAAUAAGCAUUGUUAUGGUUUUAAAAUGAAAUCAAAUGUGAAUUGAAUUAUAUAUGUAUUGCAAAUGUGUACCCAAAUCCUUGUGUAAAAACCCUAAAAUAUUUCAAAUUAGCAAAAUACCAUCCUUGAGUCUAAAAGAAACUAUUUCUUAAAUUAGUUAUAUUUGAAUAAGUAUGCACACAUAAUAUACAAAAUAUAAAUGAGGAGAAGAAGAGAAGAAUUAUAAUUUUAAUGCAUAACUUUUUAUUCUAGCUACUAUUCUAUAUAUGUAUGUAUGUAUGCAUGCAUGUAUAUAUGUAUGUAUUAUAUUUGUGUGUAUGUAUAUGUAUUAUAUUUGUAUGUAUGUGUGUGUAUGUAAGUGGUCUUAUAUAUAUCUUAUUAAUUUGAUUUUCUUUUUAAGGUAGUUUGAAAUCAUAAUUUAGUUAUCGUGCAUUACUCUGUUACACUUAGCAAUCUUUUAUCUUUGUAUUAGAGUAUGAGUGCUAUUUUCAUAAUGUUAGAGUAUGAGUGCUAGCGUUGGAACUAGCCUAUUCUCAUUUAAUUGUGUUUCUCGAUUAUAGAUUUUGAAUCAGUUUUGUUUGAUAUUCUCAUUUACAUUUGCAUUUAGAUUUUAAAUGUUUAAUAGUCAUAAAGAUUAAUAUACAAGAUCUAAGCUUUAAUUGGUUUAUGAUAAAAUGUAAUUUGUACUAGUACAUUUUUAUGUAUAAGUUGCUAGCCAACCAUGUUAUUUGAGUUUUAUUUGAAUCAAAACCACUCAAUUUUGCUCUUAUAUUAUUCUAAUAGAUGAAGAGUUUAAUUGGAUAGAAAAUGGACUAGAAACGUGGCACGGAGAUGUAAUGGAAGAAGAAGAAAUGAAGAGGAAAGAGAUGGAUAGGAAUGAGACAUUUCAUUAUUUUGGUAAUAACUUGAAUUACAAAAAUCAAAUUGAGAUGAUUCUUGCUUCAUUUUGAAAGUAAGAGAAUGAUUUACAAUUCUUCUCUAUAUUAUAGUCCAGUUCUCAAGUUUUCGUAGCCAAAAGUCCAAACUACUAAACUGUAUUUUUGCUGUGGUGCUCUUCUAACUAGUUCUCAGUUUUUUAGGUAUAUCUCAGCAUCCAAACUUCCAAAUUAUAUGAUUCUUAUGGCAUUGGAAAGGUAGUUCAAAGAGUAAUAACUUUUAUGUUUAAUGCGAAAACUGAUUCGGCCUCUUUCAUUUAGUAUUGGACUUCAAAAAGGUUUCACACGCGGUUCCAUAGAGAUCAGCUCACAGAUCGGUAAUAACCGGCGCCGAUUGUGCAUUUGGUCUUCAUGUUGGAGUUUCUCUAAUCCUAAUGCUAGAUGCCAGACUUUGAGCAAGUAUUCAUUGAAAAAAUGCAGGAAAACAUGAUUUUUCAGUUCCAAUAAAGCGUAAUUCUAUCUUGUUUAGGAUGCAUCUUCAUGAAACUAUAAAUAGGGGUACUCUACAUCGUUUUUAGGUAAAACAAAAAACACUAGGCUAAACUUUAGUUCAUCUAUUUUACAUAUUUUUCUUGAGAUAUCAAGAAGAAGAGGUGAAAAAAUUCAAGAAGCAACCAACAUGGAAAUUGAAACUAGACCGAUUGAGAAGUUUUCUUUAAUUUAUUCUUCUAUAUUGUUGUUUAUUGAAUUCUUGGUUUUAAUUAUGAAUAUGUUGAACUAAUUUCAUUCUACGAUAGGGUUUUAUGAAAAAGAUUGGAAUAUUUAUUCUAGUUAAUUUCUUGAUUUUUGCCUUAAUUUAUCUACUUUGGUUUAAUUACAUGUUUCUAAUUGUCCACCAUAGACAUUCUCUUAGGAUUUGUAUUGAACUAAAAAGGGACAUACAAUUAUGCACUAGAUAGGUAAACAUAUUUAGUAUAAUCAUUAGAAUGUGUCAGGGUUUGUAUAAUAUAAUUAUAUUACCUAUGAUCUUAAGGAUUUAAUUAAAUACUUAUGAUCUCGCGAGAGAUGUGGAAUUUAAUUUAGAUAUAUCAAGAGAUAAUCUAAUGUACCAUUGCGUGAUAUAUUUUUGGCUUGUUAAGAAAUUAACUGUGACGCCCCCACUUCUCCCUAAGGCGAACCAAAGGGUAUCCGCGGAACGCCUGCCCAACUCUCGCUAGGAUUCAAGCAACUUCUGUUUAAGCUUAUAACGGUGUUAGAUGUCAACAACCAGAUAAUAUAAAUACAAAUAGUGCAGAAGCGUUCAAACUUAACAAUAUUUCACAAUUACCCAAAUCCUUACAUUGGUUUUCCAUAAUACAGCUCAAAAUAUACAAUAGCCAAAAGUCUAGUCAAAAGUAUUGGAACCCUAUUACAAGAGUACACAAAAGGAAAUCUCCUCCGAAUCUCAUUCCAAACCCAAAUCCUGUUAAGGAAAACAAAUCUACAGGGUGAGCAAAACGCUCAUGAGGCCAAGAACACACAUGCAAGCACAUAGUCCAAGUAACAAGCCCAAAUAACAGGUCAAAAGAUAAAGUACAAGUAAUUGACAAUUCCAAUGAAAUGUAAACAGAAACAAUUCAAGGAUAUGGUAGCUCUCAGGAGCUAAGUUCCACUUGCUCUGCCGAUAUCAUUCGUAUACCUUCCCGCGAUGACCCUCCGUCAAUCGAGUCGGUAUUUCCAUUCCGUAGAUCAUCACUUACUUUCCUCCGUCCACCGUACACCUCUCGGGCCCGCAAGACAUUUAUAAGGCGAUACUCCACGAGUAUGCCAAGCAAAACCUCUCAUUAGGUCAAUCUUAAUUAUCUCAUGGCUCGCUAAGGUUCCCAACCAAGCCCAUGCCGAGUCGAGUCCAAGGUCGGCCUAUGAGUUUGGGCAUCCCCUAUUUACAUUUGAGAGUCGGGGAGAUUCACUCCAACGACGUAUGCAGGCAUAGCAUACCAUUUCAUUUCAUUCAACAUUCAAUUAUCUCAUUUCAUUCAAUUAAGUCAUUCAUAAUUCAUUUGGUACAUUUGAAUCAUGAGUCAUUUAUUUCAAAUAAGAACGAGUGCGGUAAAGUACACACUCGCCUCUAUUUUCAAAAUCUCCAAACAAUGAUAACAAUUAAGUUCUUAUCAAGUAUUCAUACACUUGACACUCACCAAUAAGUAAUGAGGAAGAAAUGUCCUUCGGAGCUUUAGGCAUUCACUGUGGGAUCCUCUUGAAGGUCCUCUUGUGUGCCUGAGCAAUUAAUAAUGGACUAUUACUGAUAAUCCUCAAAUAAUAAGGGAGGUCGUACUUUAGUACGAUAUUAGAAUGUAUCUCGAAAAUCGAGCCUAGGUUUCUCUUUUGAGAAAUCGAGACUUAAUAAGGUUACAAAACUCAAGUAGGAACGGAUCAUUAUUCUUAAAAUCAUUGGAUGGAAAUGAGUACGUGCAAAUAAGUUUCAAAACGAACGACUGAAGUCGGAACAGGACGGGUGACGUCGCAAUCCGGCUGGAUAUCCGGUUGGAUUCCUGGCCGGAUUGGAGGCUGAGAGCAACCUCCAUUUUUUUUUUCAAAUUCCAUCACCAAUCCGGCCGACUAUCCAGCCAAGAACUGGGCGGAUUCAAGGCCGGAUUCUGGUGAACAGUUUCCCAUGCGGAUUUCUUUCAAAUGGUCUCAAAUUUCGAUUUUUGGUGUAAUCUUUGAAAAAUCAUAACUCACUCCCUAAUUGUCCAAAAUUAGAAAAUUUGAUACCGUUGGAAACAUCUUUCAAAGUACUAAAAGUUUCUAGAAGACACCUCUUCAUGAAUCCAAGUGAAAGGUAUUCAAAUUUUGGUUUGAAGUUGAUAACUUGUGUUAUCAAGACAGAUUGAAAUUGGUUUUCGGCCAACUUUGAAAAUUCGGAAAAAUUCAGUCAAUUUGAACUAGUUUUUGAAAUUUGGAACUCUAUUAGAGUUGUAAUCCAGGUUUAAAACAAAAUAAGAGGAAUGAGAAUUGAAGUUUCAAGCACCAAGAUAUGGUAACUCAAAGUUACCCAAAUUUUCUUGUUAAACAAGGGUUUUCCAAAUUCAAACCAUGAACUUUGGAAGUUUAGUUGAGCAAUGAAACAGCCUCGGAAUAAUACCAAAAUUAGCAGUAUUACAGUACCAUAUAAGGGCUAUUCCUCUACCAAAUUUCAUAGAUAAAUAAGCACGGGAAGUGGGUUAACAAAACCAUUGAAAUCACAAGAAAUUCUAAGGCUAAGCUGCCUUUGAACUUUCAUUUUGCCAUUUCCAAACAUUUGGUCAAGGAACAUCUCAAACAUGGUUCAUUCCAGUAGGUAAUUUCCAACAUAUGUUCAAGAUACAUUCGAUAGAUGAUUUACACUAAGAAGCUUCGGAUAACAAGUCCCAAACCGUAGUUAGUUUCAAAUCUGUCCAAAACACUGUUUUCGUUCACAAAGUCAGUUUUGAAUUUCGAUCAUAAAUCACUCAAUUCAACUCAGAAUUGAGCGUAGUUGGUGGUGUUAGAAAAUAGACUCAUAAGGCUAUAUUUUCUCAGAAGAAACCAUUUUCAAAAUCUAUCCAUAACCAGCUCAUUCGUGAGCAUCAAGUUGCAGCUCAUGUGCUGCCUUCCAGGAAGCAACGAAACAGGACAGUAGAUUUCAAAUGAAUGGUUUGGCUCACUCAAAUGGAACCAGAAUGUGAAUUUUAUACAUUCGGUUAUACAUUCGGAAAGCUGGGAAUGUCUAGUUUCCAGUGCCACAAACAACACUCGAUUCUAACAUCGGUGUAAAAAGAUAUAGCCGAAACAAAAACACUGCCUGGGUGAAUACGGGAUUAGUUUUCAGAUUUCUAAGCUUUCGUAAAUCCAACAUUUGGGUGACCAAAUCAAGUUAUUUUUCAAUGAAACUUUUUACACAACCAAUAUAACAUGUAAACAACAUAAACAAGUGGUCGGACAAGGCAGGGGUAAAACGGUCACUUUUGCUCCAAGUACCUCCUUUGAUUUUCUACCAACAAUACAACAUUAAUCCACUAAUAUAAGCACUAAACCAACAUUAAUUUUAUCAUCAAUCAUCAAAUCAGUCCAUCCAAUCCAAGUGGGAGUUCAUAGAGCCCACACAAGCAUUUUUCCAACAUAAACAAGCUACCCAUAUGCAUGCAUGAGUUUAAAUGCGCUCUACUACUUCCAUAAAUUAAGAUUAUCGAGGUUGAUCCUGACUUACUUCGCUAGAUGAACAAGACAGAAAUUUUCGGCCCCUCCUUAGCCUAAGAAAACCGUGGCCAGCAGCCCCCUUUUGUAGUUUAAUGAGGUCUCCAAGCGAUGAGCCAAGUGUGGAUGAAAUUUGAUGUGAAUUGGAUGAAGAUUGAUGAAGAUUUUGUGAAGAUAUUUGGAGAACUUUGGUGUUGUUUUGCAAGCUCAAUGGCCAGCUGUCUUAAGGGAAAAAGAAGGAGUUGCACAGCUGUUUGAGGUGAUAAAGUGGAGAGUUUUGAUCUGGUGUAAUGCUCCCAUGAGAAGCCUAAGAAUGUGUGGCCCAAAAUGCUCCAAAAGUCAACUCUCCUUCACGCGCACACGCGCGCGUUUUGUGCUCAAUUCCUCUUGCAUUUGUUUCAUUAGUGCACUAAACCUCUCAUGCACUUGUAUUCAUAUUAAUAUUAUUCACUAUUAAUUGUCCCAAAAUAAGGGUUUAAAGUCCCUCAAUUAAAUCGCGUGUGUAAAACGCAUAUCUCCAAAUUAAGCGCGAUAAAGUGAAAUCUCCAAGAAAUUCUUAUAACGAUGGUACUAAUAACUAUCACUUGAAUACUUAAACAUAGAAAUACCUAUUUUAAGUCCAUCCUACAAGUCUCUAAUUUUGCAAGUUUAUUGUAUUCUCGAAUCGAUUAUUGACUCCAAUCGCGUAUUCACUAUUUUUACUUAACGAGUUUCCAAAAAUUAAAUUUUGAAACGAGUCACUUUAAAAAUAUAACGAAACUAUAAACCCAUGUAAUUAGGUCUAAAGAGGUUAGAAAAAAAUAUUCGGAAUAAAUGGGCAAUUAAAUAUUCAAAUACGCUCGAAAUAGGAAUUUAAAAUAAUAAAUUUUCGUGAGUCCUCACAUGAGUCGAGUAUUAAUUUCUCAAUUAACCUUUCUUAAUCUACUAUUGAUCAUUCUUAAUUCUCCAAUAUUAAUACACUCCUGAUUCAAGUAUAGCCUCGAAAACGUGUACUCUUUAUUCCGAACUAAACGAAUUUUUUUGAAAAGUGAAUUUUCCAACAAAAUGCUUUAAAAUAUAAAAGAGGCGUUGUUGCAUAUAAAUGAAUUUUUAAAUGGUCGAAAUAAAUAAUUCGGAGAAAAUGAGUAAAUAAAUAUUUAAGUAAACUUGUAAUAUCCGAUAAAUAAGAAAAUUUUUGGGUCCUCACAUUAACUAAAUAAUUAAUUCUAAUUCUGGAUCUAAAUCUGGAUCCCUAGUCUUUUUCAAUUGUUUUCUCAUCUUUAUUUAUUUGAUUUGGUUAUCUAUUUUCUUCUUUAAUUAGUAAAAAAAUAAAUCUUUUGAAAUUUAUUAUUUUUCGAUAAUAAUUAAAUUAGAGAAAAUUAUCUCGUCCCUGUUCGUUCAAUCCCUGGAAUACUCUAGAUGAUUUUAUUAUUACAAUCAACUUUGUGCGUUUGCAGAAAUUUGUUGAUCAGUUUCAACUAUUCUCAAUAAUAUAAUUACUUCCUACAUUGGUUUAAAAUUAUUUUGUACAGUUUUCACAAUUUAAUAUAUUUCGAAAGCAGAACGUGAACACCUGAACAACGGGGAAUAAGAGUCUUCCUCAAGCUGACAGAAAUGAGAUGUGGUUUUUACUUUCUGAUGCCAACGCUGGCCCAACGUACAGCGCGGAAUGCACUCUACAUUUUCUUUGAAUCUGUCAGGCCUACUGCCUAAUACUCGCGGUGCACAUUUCAAACAAAAGAGAAUAUGAGAUUCGCCCACACCAAUGCCUCGCAGAAUCUGAAUAUUAGGUGCCAUAGUAUUUUCUACGUCAAGCUGUAGAACCUGCGAGUAUUGCUUAACAGCAAGCACAACAUCUUCAUCGGAAUGGAGUGAGUUUUUUAGGAAAUUAUAAGCUGGAAUUAGACGGUUUCCCAAGCCUCUAUGAAGUAUUUUCGGCGAACCACAUGCCAACUUACGAAUGUCAAAGCUUGAGAAUCCAACAGAUUGCAAAAAUUCCAACUUGGGCGAAAAUGUCUUGUCAGGGUUGGCUGAGAGAAUUUGUGGACACCCAUAAAUAAGGGUAGAGAUUUGAGCUUCAUAAUGCAACUGUUGAGACUUGAGACUGCAUUUUCUGGGGUUUUGAAGUUAACAUAUUUUGACUUGAGGCGAAAUGGGCUCUCUUUCUGGAGACAGCCCACACGAGUUAAUCUAGUCAAAGAAACUACCAUUGACUGCUUUUCUGAAGUUCUUAUGAUGGAAGAUGAUGAAAAUGGCAGGUCGGUUUGAAGAAAAUGCAGUUCUUGUUUAUGGAAUCGUAUUAAAAUUGUCAAUUGAGCAAUUUCUUGCAUAAGCCAAUGUCCUACAAUUGCAUACGAAAUUAAACAUAUUUGAGAAAAUAUCAGCAACAUGAAAAUGAUUUUAGAAGGUUCACCUCAAGAACCAUACAUGUCUGAGAAGUAUUCAUCAAUCCCAAUGCAGCAUAGAACCUUCGUUCAAAUUCUCAAUUCAUAAACCCUAAGCCAACAAGUAGAAACCCUGCUGCAGCUUUGACAUGUAUAACUUUCUCCAGUUCCUGCAGUAGUGGGGUGGCGGCCGUGCCUGGGUUGGUUCGUGACAGAGAAUUCCAACCUGGUAGCGAACCUUGAGUCGCAGUUCCAAUUCCGGUUUGGUUAGAACCGCACCCAACACCACCCCCCCCCCCCAAAAAAAACAAGAAAAGUCAUGGGGCAAAUGCUAAUUACUAUUUUUUUCCCUAUUGCAUUCAUUUACUUAUAUAAUUCAUUGAAUACCUUCAAAUUUUCAAUAUUAGUUGUUGAUAGUCAUACUGCUAUUCAUUUAGCAAAGAACCAGGUUUAUCAUGCAAAGACGAAGCAUAUCGAUGUACGGUAUCAUUUUGUGAGGAAGAUUUUGGAAGAUAGUACGAUACUACUUCAAAAGAUUCAGACUAAGGAGAAUCCUGCUGAUAUGCUUACGAAGGUUGUGACAACUAUCAAAUUCCAACAUUGUUUGAAUUUGAUAAAUGUUGUGAACAACUUGAAGAUUGGCGCUUGACAACGCAUUUGAAGACACCACCGAAUUUUGAGGGAGAAGAUUUGUAUUUUUGGUGGGAUUAGAAAUUAUGCCAAGGUGGAGAUUUAUUGAAUUCAAAGCCUCAAUUGAUGACUUUUCCAAGCCAAAAUUGUUGACUUUGAAAUCUUUGGCCUAAGUUUCUAAAUCCCACAUCAGUUAGUUUAACAUUUGAGAGGUUGCUUGAGAGCUAUAAAUAGCUCUCAAACAAACCAAUUCAAUCACACCAAGCAAGAGUUAAUAACUUGCUUCCUUCUCUCUCUUUGUAAUAUUUCUUUUAGUGAAAUAUUAAAUUGUUGGUAGUGUCCGAGAACGUAGGCAAAUUAGCCAAACCUCGUUAAAUUCUGGUGUUCUAUUUUAUUAUCUAUUUAGUAGCUAUAUUUGUAGGUAUAUUUGUAGUGAGUUAUUGUGUAAUUAAUUGCUUAUAUAGGUGAUUCUGUUUAGGAAAUUGGUACUUAAGCAAGCCAGUAUGUCUCACCAAAUAUUUCCUGGGAAUUAUCAUUUUGCAAUUUUAGGUACAAUAAUUUACUCGUUAUACCUUAAUUUGGUAGAGCUUCCGCAACAAUUGGUCCCACUUAAAACCCAGUCUCCUAGAUAGAAUUUACGUGUACGGUGUAUUAUCACAACUAGAUUCGUGUAUACAUAAAUAAUACGUACACACGAAUAAGAAAAUACACCCAAAUGAACCGUAUAAAACACUAGUUGUAUUUUUGAGUGGGAAAUUACUCGGUUUCUCCAAUAGUUGUAAUAUUCUUUUAUGGAAAUUGUGAGGUACUAUUUGGUAGAAUUUGUAUCAUCUUUCUUUUCCUCGUUUGUUAAAUAAUCACAUGAAAAUUUUAUUUUUCUCUAAUUUUAUUUUCUUCAGCUUCUUCUUAUCUAAUUUUGUGGUUACGAGUGAAUAAGUCCAGGUCGAACUAAAUUAGACACUUGUAACAGUAGAGAUAAGAAGAAACUAAAAAAAAAACAAAAUUCGAGGAAAAUAAAGUGUUCACGUGAUUAUUUAACAAACAAGGAAAAGAAAGUUGAUACAAAUUGUAUAAAAAGAAUAUUACAACUGGGGUGGCAACGGAUUAUGUCGUAUCGUUAUUGUGUUCAAGUCAAAAGGUGUCACCUCUAACUCAAUCUACUAGAUUUUGAAGUCGUGUCCUACUUAUUAAUAGGUUGACACGAUCCAACUUGCUUAACUCGUUGAUAGGGCGUAAAAUGUAGUGCAUUUAUAUGUAUAAGUUGUUAGUUAACUAUGUUAUUUGAACUUUAUCUUGAGUAGAAAAUAGUUAAUUUUGUUCUUAUAUGGUUUUGAUAGGUGAAUAGUUUAAUUGGAGAGAAAACGAAUAAAAAAAGGUGAUGCAAAGAAGUAAUGGAGGAAGAAGAAUUUAAGAGAAAGAGAUUUCACAAAAUUGACAUAUUUCAGUAUUUUGGUGAUAAAUUGAUCAACUAAAAUCAUAUUGAGAUGAUUCUUGAUUUAUUUUAAAUUUAAGAGAAUAUCUACAAUUCUUUUGAGACAUUAGAAUCCACUUCUCAUGUUUUCAUAAUAAAAAAUCCAAAUAAUUGAAGCAUAUUUGCAGUGCAAUAUACUUCUGACUAGUUCUAGUAUUUUAGGUAUAUCUCAGUGUACCGACUCUAAAUGACGUGAUUUUUAUGGCAUUGAAAAAUUAAUUCAAAGGAUUUUAACUUUCAUGUUUUGUACAAGAGCUGAUUUGUCCUUAUUCAUGGAGAUUUUGGGCUUCAAUAUGAUCCACAUGCGGAUCCAUGACCGGCACCAACCAUCAAUUUAGACUUCACGUCGGACUUCUUCAGAUUCUUUUAUAUUUUGAUCUUGGCCCAAUGAUUGGUACCAGACAUUGGGACGACACUACAUAUUUCAGUAUUUUGGUGAUAAGUUGAGUUCCCACAAUCGAAUAGAGAUGAUUCUUAAUUUAUUUUGAAGUUAAGAUAAUUAUCUACAAUUCUUAUGGGACAAUAGAGCCAAUUUCUCAUGCUUUCAUAGUAAAAAAUCCAAAUUACUGAAGUAUAUUUAUGCUGCGAUGUUCUUCCAACCAGUUCUCAGUAUUUUAGGUGUAUCUCGGCGUCUAGACCUCUAAAUGACUUGAUUCUUGCGGCAUUAGAAAGUUAAUUCAAAGAGUUCACUUUCAUGUUUUGUGCAAAAGUUGAUUCGAUCUUAUUGAUGGAGUUUUUGGGCUUCAAAUAUGAUCCAAAUGUGGAUGCUUAAAGAUCCACAAGUGGCUCCAUGACCGGUGCCGAUCAUCAAUUUUGGAUUUCAUGUUGGACUUCUUCAGCUCUUUUGUAUUUUGAGUUGGGCUCAAUGGCCAGCGCCGGACAUUGUUAGGACAUUGGACCGACACUACAUGUUUUAGUAUUUUGGUGAUAAGUUGAGUUAUCAAAAUUGGAUUGAGAUAAUUCUUGAUUUAUUUUAAAAUUAAGAGAAUUAUCUACAAUUCUUAUGAGAUAUUAGAGUCUACUUCUCAUGUUUUCAUAGUAAAAAAUUCAAAUUACUAAAGUAUAUUUGUGCUGCAAUGUUCUUCCAACCAGUUCUCAAUAUUUUAGGUGUAUCUUAAUAUCCAAACCUCCAAAUGACUUGAUUCUUCGGCAUUGGAAAGGUAAUUUAAAGGGUUAUAACUUUCAUGUUUUAUACAAGAACUGAUUCGGCGUUACCGAUGGAUGUUUUGGGCUUCAAAUAUGAUCUAUGUGCGGUGCCUAGGAGAUCCGCGAGCAGAUCCAUGAUGAGCACCGAUCAUAAAUUUGGAUUUCACGUCGGAUUUCUUCAUAUUCUUUUGUAUUUUGAACUUGGCCAAAUGACCGGUGUCGGACAUUAGGCUGGUCAUUGGGUCGGACAUUAUCAAAAAAAUGUGCGAAAAUAUAAUUUUUCAACACCAAUAAAAUCUAUUCCUACCUUGUUUAGUAUACAUCUUCAAGAAAAUAUAUCUUCAUGAAUCCGAUUAAUUUAGCAACCAAGUACCCCAUCCCCUUCCCCAUUUCUUAUUUCCCACCACUCUCGCUCUCAACAUAAAAUAUGUAAUUUUAAAAAAUAAAGCAACUUGGAUCGCUGACUAAAGGUGUUGAACACAUCCAUUUGAAAAUAAUGCAUUUCAAAACUACCAUUGAUUGAAAAACUUCAUGUGAAAUCGUGUGCUUUGGAGGCUUAAGUGGCUGACACGAACAUACGAGUAAUCAUGCAUAGCAUGAGACCUGACAGAAACAGGAGACGGAAGAGUUCUUCACUACAAAAGGCAUCGUUCCAUGAUACAGACGUUUAGAAAUGAUCGAUAACAGCUUGAUCCAUAUUUUCUUUGAAGUCAAAUGCAAGGUACCUUAUAAAAGGAACUCAGAUGCCAUUCCUGUUGCUUGAUGCUCAUUUACCCUCCCAACAAUUUCGUUGCUUUUCAACUAAAUGUACAUUUACUUGUCAUGAAUAUACGAGCCCAUCAAAUUUAUACGCACUUGUGAAUUUUCACCUCAUAAAGCAAGCGUGAAGGAAACGGACAAUGUGUGGAUUGUAACACGUAAAGCUGUGAGUUACCUAUUCGCAAAUAGAAUGGGAUUGUUUUGAUUAGGUAUUUGCUUUUGGAACUCGGAAUAUGUUCUGUGGAAAAAUCUGAAGUAACGAGCGUUGUGGUAAUGAAACUGUUUUUACCCGAUAUAACAGGUAAAAACACUUUUAGCGACCAUUUGAUUACCUGUUGUACUGGUCAUCUAAAUAAAAUAGUACCUAAAAAUAUGGUUAGUAAGUUUUACAUUAAAAAUAGUAAGUUAACUCAAGAAAUUAGUAACUUUUAUGUCUCAAAAAGUAAAUUUGAAUAAAUAUGGAACUUACUUUUUUUUUUAAAGUAAAUAACUACUCUAUAUCUAAAACUUACUUUUUGGAGAGUAAGUUUAGUUCAAAUAAUAGUAAGUUUUUAUAGACUAAUAGUAAAUAUUGUUGAUAGAAUAGUAAAUUUGGUUAAUCAUCAAAACUUACUAGUUUAUGGCAUAAAUUUACUAUUUUACUUAAAGAAACUUAUAUGGAACAAGUAUUAGGAAGUUUAUUUGAAAUAAUGCUAAGAUUUUUUAUUAAUAAUUGAAACUUAGUAUUAUAGUUAGUAAUUAGUCGUAAUGUAAAUGUAUGAUACACAAUUGUACAUAUCAUUUAUAAAUGUUAUAUGUUUUAACCAUUUUAAAUAAACUAUGAAAACUUUUUUUUUUUUGCAUAUGACCUUAUAAAAUAUGUAAGAAUAAUUUGUCAUAUUAUAAAUUUUGAAUUAUUUUUGAAUUUGUGAAAGGUUAAAAAGUUUGGAUGACAGUAAAAAAAAAAUCUUUCGAAUUAUAUAUAGAAUUGGACUUAUCUAUACAUCACAAUUUCCAUAUAUGGACACCGAUGAAUAUAAUAAAAUGGUACGCAAUUUUCAUAAAUUAAUGCCUAUGAAUUUAAUAAAAUGGUAAAAUCUUAAUAAAUUUAUUUUCUGGGUCACAAGUAUAAAAAUUAAAGUUGUAUUAACAUAGCAUAAUCUUUGAAAAUUAUAGUAAAAUUACCCAUAUGUUAAGUUCUAUGACUUUCAAACAUACUUUGUAUCAUUUACAUUAUGGAUUUGUAUCCAUAUGUUUUCUAUCAAACUCUUUUUUCUAUUGGCAAAUGGUAAGUAAAUUAUUAUAAAAGGGCAUUUUAUAAUAAUCAUAAUUUUUAAUAGAUGAAUUUUAUGUAAACUGUUAAAAUUAUGAAUUCACAAACGACUAAAUCUAACUACUUUAUGGCACAUAUUAGUCUAAAUGACUAAAAAAUUACUGCAAUCAUGUGCACGUUGAUUGUUGAAUUGAAAUUUCCUUUAUUACUAGUACAAGUUCUUCUAAUCAAAGCAAAAUAAAAUCAAAUAUCUUUUCCUUUUGUAUGCAGUAGUUAAGCUUAAUAGAAAAUUAUUAAACCAUUUUUACAAUACAUAAUUUCUCCUAAAAUUUGUAACAUUUACCAUGACCUCUAACCUUGACAUCGUUAUUUAAUUUACCUUCUAAAUUUAAUUUAAUUUUCUUAUAUUAAUUGUUAUACUAAUUUUAUCAUUUUUGUUAUUAUAUUAUUUCUCAUUUUGUUUAGGUUUUUACUCUUAUUAUUUCUUGUGUCUCAGAUAUAAAUUUAUUUUAACUUUAUCAACUUAUUAUAUUCAUAGGUGUUAAUUUAUAAAAUUUUGAUACAUAAACAAGUAAUAUUCUAUAUAUAACUAGAAAGAUUUGUUGUUAUUAUUAUCCAAACUUUCAAACUUUUCAAAAAUUGAAAAUAAUUAAAAACUUAUAAUACGACAAAAUUUUAUUACAUAUUUUACGAGAUUAUGUGAAAAGUCAAACUUUUUUCCAUAGUAUUUUAAAAUAUGUAAAUAAAUUUUUUUAAAUGAUAACUAUAAUCUUGUAUUAUACAGGUAUAUUAUGAGUACUUACUAACUAAGGUACUAAAAAUUAAUCAUUAAUAGAACAUCUUAUCGUUAUUUCAAAUAAAUUCCCUAACACUAGUUUGAAAUAUGUUUUAAAGUAAAAUAGUACACGUGUCUCAUAAAUCAGUAAGUUUUGAUUAUUAAUCAAUUUUACCAUGUUAUCAGUAAGAAUUACUAUUUAUGUAUUAAAACUUACUAUUAUUUGAAUUAAACUUACACUAUAAAAAGUAAGUUUGGGAUAUAAAAGUAUAAAAGUUACUAAUUUAUUCCAAUUUACAUUUUGAAGUAUAAAAGUUACUAAUUUAUUACAAUUUACAUUUUGAAGUAUAAAAGUUACUAAUUUAUUACUGUUAACUUACUAUUUUAGAUGGAAAACUUACUUUCUUAUUUUUAAGUGUUAUCCUAUUUAGGUAGAUAGGCCUAUCACAAGAUCAAAUGGCCGCUAAAAGUAAAUAAAAAAUAAAUAAAAAAUGGUCAUGUAAGUGUUAUCCUAUUUAUGUUUCAAAAAGUAAAUCGAAAUAAAAAUGAAAGUUACUUUUUUUUAAAAAUUAAAUUACAACUCUACAUUCGAAACUUAGUUUUGUGGGGAGUAAGUUUAGUUCAAGUAAUAGUAAGUUUUUAUAGAUUAAUAGUAAAUUUUGUUGAUUGGUUAAUCAUCAAAACUUACUAGUUUGUGGCAUAAAUUUACUAUAUUACUUAAAGAAACUUAUAUGAAACAAGUAUUAGGAAGUUUAUUUAAACUAGUGUUAAGAUUUUUUUAUUAAUGGUUGAAACUUAAUAUUAUAGUUAGUAGUUGUUGGUAACAUAAAUGUAUAAUAAUGAUUGUAUGUUUCAUUCAUAAAUGUUUUGCGUUUUAAGCAUUUUAAUAAAUGUAUGUAUCAUUUAUAAAUGUUAUGUGUUUUAAUAAAUUUAUUUUCUAGCUCACAAGUAUAAAAGGUAAAGUGAUCGUAUCUAAUGUAGCGUAAUCUUUUAAAAUUAUAGUAAAUUUACCCAUAUAUUAAGUUUCAUGAGUUUCAAAUAUAUUUCGUAUCAUUCACAAUAUGGAUUUACACGCACAUUUUUUAUGAAACUUACUUUUAAUUGGCAAAUAGUAUGUAAAUUAUUAUAAAAUGUCAUUUUAUAAUAAUCAUAAUUUUUAUAGGUGAAUGGUAUAUAAACUGCUAAAAUUGUCAAUUUAUAAAUGAUCAAAUCUUACUACUUUAUGGCAUAUAUUAGUCUAAUCAACAAAAAAAUUACCGUAAUUAAGUGUACGUUGGUUGUUGAUUUGAAAUUUGCACCAAGGUCACUAUUUCGAUAUUACUACCACAAGUUUUCUAAUCAAAGUAAAACAAAGUCAAAUAUCUUUUCCUUUUGUAUGCAGUAUUUAUGUUUAGUAAAAAAUUAGUAAACCAUGAUUACUGAUAGAGCAAUUAUUUGGCACAUUUUGCACUAUUAUUCUACCCUAAUUUUGGCUACUCAUGAUGCUAAGAAUUGAGAUUUUGCUCAUAUUUGAUAUUUGUAUGAAUUGUAGGUGGUUGGCGUUAAAAAUAAUCUUUUGAGGCAAAUUUCCAAAAGACCCUUCAUCUCAGGGCGUGCCCACGCCAAAAAUUGUAGGAGGUUACUCAAAAGGACGGACCCGCGGGAUUAAUUACAGCAAAGCCAACUAAGGAUCCCGGUCCACAUGAACCCAAAGCACUGGAUCAAAACCUUUAAACAAAAACUUUGUUCCUGACCUUUGGUGGACUUCUCCUGCAGCAGCUUCAAAUCGAAAAGGAAAGAAAGGGCCAGGGAGGUCGUAGGUAUUAGAUUAGUUUUUGCUUUUGAGUGUCCGUCACUUUUUCCUUUUGUUUUCUUUGGUAGCAAAUAGGAAGAGCCAAAAUCAUGUGGGCUUAGGAGAGGAUUUCUUUGAUUCUUCCCUGUAGCCGUUUUGACUGGUGGCUUCCAUUCUGUACAAUUAUUCCAAUAGCUUUUAGCCUUUUUCUGGACUUUGCUUCAGGACAGACGCAAGAACAAGAAAAGGAAUUCAGGGAUUUUCUCUUUCGUUCCUCCAUUAAUUCAUCUUUCCCAAUUCCUUAGCAAUUAAUUAUUUGGCAAUUGCAUGGAUGAAAUCAAUCAACCCAUGUGUGAUUGAUGCGAUGAGGCGCGGCUAGGUCUCUCCCCUACCCAAAGGUCGACGCAAAGGCGCGGUCCAUAAUAUCUGUGAGAUCUAAUCGAAUCUUCAUUAUUUCUUCCAAUUUGGUGCUAUUCAUGCGUUUCCUAAAUUAAUUGUUCAUGGGUAUUCUAUUAAUUGAAUAUCAACGGCCGGAUAUUUGAUUUAAUAUAAUAGCCUAUUGCCACGUUAAUUAAAUUGAAUCCGUAAUUAUUCGUUUAGUUGACAACUAGUGGCAACCACCAUAAUUGGCUUUAUGUUGGGGAAGCGUAAGAUCUGAUUUAAAUAAACCCUCUUAGCGUGUUUAUUGGUCAGGGUUGGGUUCUUCUAGCUUUAAUGCAGUUGGAUAAUUAAAUUCCUACGGUCGUACCUAGAGUUGUUAUCUGGUUAGGGAAACAGUCAAUGGUCGUACCUUGACUGUCAAAAAGUAAGGAAGAAUUGGUUGUCAGAGCUUGUUGAUAACUAUAACCAACCUGGUGACGGAUGGAUGAAACAUUUUUGCGUCGAUGAUCAUUUAAUUGGACCAUGCCUGAGCAGUUGAUCAUUUGGAUAGAAUUUUAUUAAUUGCUAGUUUUAGUAACUUGUGCUUUGUGAAUUAGUUUUGAAUUUUAUUGGCUUUAUUUUUAUUCUUAUUUUCAUUUGCUUCCCAUUGAAGACCCCCCACUUGUCUUGACUCGAAAGGAAACGAAUUAUCUCCAAUCCCUGUGGAUUCGACCCUACUCACCACUAUAUACAAAAUCUGUAUUUCUCUUGAGUAGGUAAUUAUUAUUGUACAGGCUCGACACCUGUUAAUUUUUGGCGCCGUUGCCGGGGAGUUGGCGUUUGGAUUAUUUGGUUCUUUUCAAAUUCAGUUUUUAUUCUAUUUUAUUUUAUUUUAUUCUUCUUGGUAUUUUUGCUAGUUUAUGCUCCGCUCUUCUCGCACAGGUGAAUUGGUAUACGAUCCUGAGGUUGAGAAGGCAGCGCGUAGGCGGAGGCAAGAGACCAAGAGGCAAAAAGAAGGACACUUAUUUGCUGCAAACGAGUCAGCGGAAGACGAAGUAACCAUGGCCAACACCCAAACAUUGAGGGAGCUGGCUGUCCCGGAGCUGACUCACCAGCCCUUAUGCAUCACAUUCCCCACUUUGGCUGAGAAUACUGUUUUCGAACUGAAGUCGGGGUUGAUUCAUCUCCUACUUUCUUUCCAUGGUCUUUCGGGCGAAGAACCCCACAAGCACGUCAAGGAGUUCGAGGUGAUUUGCUCUAGUAUGACACCUCCUGGGGUCACUGAAGAGCAAAUCAGACUGAGAGCCUUUCCGUUCUCUCUCAAGGAUGCAGCUAAAGAUUGGCUGUACUACCUACCAGCAGGUAGUAUUACCACAUGGGCACAGUUGAAAAAGAAGUUUUUGGAGAAAUUCUUCCCUGCAUCCAGGGCUGCGAGUUUGAGGAAGAAAAUCUGCAGCAUUAAACAGUAUCCCGGGGAGUCCUUGUAUGACUAUAGGGAAAGGUUUAACAAGUUGUGCACUAGAUGCCCGCAGCAUCAAAUGAGUGAACAACUGUUAAUCCAAUAUUUCUAUGAAGGAUUCCAGUCAACUGAUAGGAGUAUCAUCGACGCUGCGAGUGGGGGAGCAUUGGCAAAUAAGACCCCGAGGGAAGCAUGGCUGCUCAUUGAAGCUAUGGCAGAGAAUUCUCAACAGUUUGGCUUCCGUGAGAGUAACUCUACCCGCAGGGUUAAUGAGGUGGAGUCGACAUCUAUUCAGCAACAGUUGUCGGAGCUAACAUCCGUUGUUCGACAAUUAGCGGUAGGGAAUGUGCCCCAAGUAAAGGCCUGUGGAAUCUGCACAAAUAUGGGUCACCCUACUGACUCAUGCCCUAUAUUGCAAGAUGAUGGAGUUGAACAAGUAAACAUGGCUGGAGGCGUGCCCGCGCCUCGUAGGCAGUACGAUCCAUACUCCAACACGUACAAUCCGGGUUGGAGAGAUCACCCCAAUUUCAGUUAUGGAAAUAGGCCACAAAAUGCAUUCUCCAAUUGUCUACCAGGAUUUCAGCAACCAUGGCAACCGAAACCGCAACCCUCAUCCUCCAACACAGGGAGUUCCUUGGAGGAUAUUGUCAAGAAUCUGGCUACGACUACCGCCCAGAUCCAGCAGGAGACUAGACAGCUGCAGCAGGAGACCAGGUCAUUGACCACAAAUAUGGCUCAACUCCAGCAAGAAACUAGAGCCUUAACCAUGAGCACCAAUCAGUUUCAGCAGGACACAAAAUCAGGCAUGAAGGAUAUGGAUGCUCGAAUAAGCCAAAUGGCAACUGCCAUCAAUCGCUUGGAGUCCCACGCUUAUGAAAAGUUACCCUUACAACCCGAAGUAAAUUCCAAGAAUGUAAGUGCCAUAACACUGAGGAGUGACAAUACACUGGAAGGGUCUAAAGAGGGAAAUUCAAAAAGCAAGAGUGAGAAGGAGAUAGAAAAGGAAAUUGAGGAGGAAGGACGUGUUCGUGAGGAUCCUAAGGUAAUCUCCACCUCUCCACUCACUACUAACUUUAACUUACCCCCAUUCCCUUGUAGGUUGGACAAGACAAAAAGGGUAGAGAAGGAAAAAGAGCUCUUAGAUGUGUUUCGAAAAGUGGAGAUCAACAUUCCCCUGUUGGAUGCAAUCAAACAGAUACCGAAGUAUGCCAAGUUCCUAAAAGAUUUGUGCACCCACAAAAGAAAGCUAAGGGGGGACGAAAGAGUAUCAGUGGGAGAAAACGUGUCAGUUAUACUCCAAAGGAAACUCCCACCAAAAUGUGGAGACCCAUGUAUGUUCACCAUUCCCUGCAAGAUAGGAGGUACUCCAAUUAGGAAAACGAUGUUGGAUUUGGGGGCAUCAAUUAAUGUUAUGUCUAAGACAAUCUAUGCUUCUCUUAAUCUUGGCCCAUUAAAAGGCACAGACAUUAUAAUCCAACUUGCAGACCGUACCAAUGCUUAUCCAGAGGGGUUAGUUGAAGAUGUUUUGGUACAAGUCAAUGAGUUAGUCUUUCCUGCAGAUUUCUAUGUCUUAGACAUAGGAGAUGAAAGGGCAUUAAGUCCAUCACCUAUUUUGCUAGCUAGACCAUUUUCAAGCACUGCUAGGAUAAAAAUAGACGUGAAUGAGGGUACUUUGUCGAUGGAGUUUGAUGGUGAAAUUAUAAAUUUCAAUAUUUUUUAUGCGAUGAAAUAUCCGGAUGAGGUUAACUCUGUUUUUGUUUUGAGUAAUUUUAAACAUCUUGUACAGGACACAUGUGAAUUGAAUAGGGGCGAUGCACUGGAAGUGGUAUUGGCCAAACAUCUUGAGUUGGGAGCAACUCUUGAGGUAGAAAUAAGUGAUGAGCUAUACCACGCAGUUGAAGCACUGCAUUCGCUCCCACCACUGUCCCCAAGGUAUGAGCUUACUUCUCUCUUUGUACCGGAAACUCAAACGAAAUUGUUGCCUUCUAUUGAGCAGGCACCUGAGUUGGAGCUCAAGCCUCUCCCAAAGCACUUGAAAUAUGCUUUUCUCGGGGACAAAGAGACACUGCCAGUCAUCAUAUCUGCAUACCUGUCACCAAGGCAAGAAGAUAACCUGAUUCGUCUUCUUCGAGAUCAUAAGGAGGCGAUUGGGUGGAGCAUAGCAGACAUCAAAGGAAUUAGUCCCUCUUUAUGCAUGCAUCGGAUCCGGCUUGAGGAGGAUGCAAAAUCAGUGCGGCAGGCACAACGGAGAUUGAACCCACUGAUGAUGGAAGUGGUAAAGAAGGAAAUACUUAAACUCUGGGAAGUGGGGAUUAUCUUCGCCAUCUCAGACAAUCCCUGGAUGAGCCCAGUGCAAGUAGUCCCGAAGAAAACUAGAGUGACCGUAGAAGAAAACCAAGAGAGCGAGAUAGUCCCGGUGAGGAAACCCACAGGGUGGCGUCAGUGCAUUGAUUACCGGCGUCUGAAUGCUGUGACAAAAAAAGAUCACUUUCCUCUCCCGUUUAUUGAUCAGAUGCUAGAAAGGUUAGCGGGUCGCGUUUAUUACUACUUUCUUGACGAUUUUUUAGGUUAUUUCCAGAUCGCAAUAGCACCGGAGGAUCAGGAGAAAACUACUUUCACCUGUCCCUUUGGUACAUUUGCAUAUCGGAGGAUGCCUUUCGGCCUCUGCAAUGCUCCGGCGACUUUUCAGAGGUGUAUGGUAAGUAUCUUUUCUGAGUAUGUAGAAAAAAUUAUUGAGAUAUUUAUGGAUGAUUUUAGUGUAUAUGAAGAUAGUUUUGAUGAAUGCCUGGAUAAUUUAGCUUUAAUUUUGAAGAGAUGCAUUGAGCCUAAUUUAGUUCUAAAUUGGGAAAAGUGUCAUUUCAUGGUGGAUCAUGGCAUUGUUUUGGGGCAUGUAGUUUCAGCCAGGGGUAUAGAAGUGGAUAAAGCAAAGGUCGAUAUUAUUUCUGCUUUGCCUUACCCCGUAAGUGUACGGGAGGUGCGUUCCUUUUUGGAUCAUGUAGGGUUCUACAGGAGAUUCAUCAAAGAUUUCUCCAAAAUUGGAGCGCCCCUGUUCAAACUGUUGCAGAAGGAGGUAGCAUUUGACUUCACCGAGGAGUGCAAGGUGGCAUUUGACAGGUUAAGGGAGUCAUUGACAUCACCACCUGUUAUCCAGCCUCCGGACUGGAGCCUCCCAUUUGAGAUAAUGUGUGACGCGAGUGACUAUGCAGUGGGAGCAGUGCUGGGGCAACGGAUUGGCAGGGCAGCUCAUGCAAUAUACUAUGCAUCAAAGGCGUUGAAUGGAGCUCAACUCAACUAUUCUACAACAGAGAAGGAAUUACUUGCUGUGGUUUUUGCACUAGGAAAAUUUAGACCUUACUUGUUAGGUGCAAAAGUAAUAGUUUUUUCUGAUCAUACAGCCUUGAAAUAUUUGAUGACAAAGAAGGAUGCUAAACCAAGGCUUAUUAGAUGGAUCCUGCUCCUUCAAGAGUUCAAUUUGGAGAUUAAAGAUAAAAGUGGGGCAGAAAAUUUAGUUGCUGACCACUUGAGCCGCUUGCUUGCUCAUAAGGAGGAGCAACCAUUGAGGGAGGCAUUUCCAGAGGAGCAACUACUUGCCAUUAACUCGUCUACACCCUGGUAUGCUGAUAUAGUAAAUUUCUUAGUGAUUAAUCAAUUGCCUGCAGGGUGGCCAAAGGCUAAGAGAGACAAGUUGAAAAGUGAUGCCAAAUAUUACAUUUGGGACGACCCGUACCUGUGGAGACAAUGUUCGGAUCAAGUCCUAAGAAGGUGUGUGAGUGCAGGUGAAUUCCACUCUAUUUUGAAUUUCUGUCAUUCGUUUGCAUGUGGAGGGCAUUUUGGUCCUAAGCGGACGGCUCGUAAGGUGUUGGAAAGUGAUUUUUAUUGGCCUACCCUCUUUAAGGAUGCAUAUUUGUUCUGUAAAUCUUGUGAUAAGUGUCAAAGGGUGGGGAAUAUCUCUCGUAGAGACCAAAUGAGUCAGACCCCCAUAUUAUUUGUUGAGAUUUUUGAUGUCUGGGGUAUAGAUUUCAUGGGUCCUUUCCCCUCGUCUGUUGGUUUCUUGUACAUUAUACUUGCUGUUGACUAUGUUUCCAAAUGGGUGGAGGCAAAAGCCACCCGGACUAAUGAUUCGAGAGUGGUUGCAGAUUUUAUAAAAUCUAACAUCUUUGUUUGUUUUGGAAUGCUGAGAGCUAUAGUGAGUGACAGGUGCACCUAUUUCUGCAAUAAGACAAUCACUGCAUUAUUUCGUAAGUAUGGUGUGCUCCAUAAAGUGUCCACUCCAUAUCAUCCACAGACGAAUGGUUAGGCCGAAGUGUCAAAUAGCGAGGUCAAGUCAAUUCUAGAGAAGAUGGUGCGGCCUGAUAGGAAAGACUGGAGUCUGAAAUUGGAAGAUACUCUCUGGGCCUACCGCAUUGGAUAUAAGACACCGAUUGGGAUGUCCCCAUAUAGGUUAGUUUUUGGGAAGCCUUGCUACCUCCCGGUGGAAUUUGAACACAGAGCAUUCUGGGCGCUUAAGCGGUGUAAUAUGAACCUUAUGGAGGCCGGAGGAAAUAAAAAGCUCCAAUUACAAGAGUUGGAGGAGCUAAGGAAUGAAGCCUAUGAGAACGCUGCAAUAUAUAGGGAGAAGAGCAAAAUUUUUCAUGACCAACAGGUUUCGAGAAAGUCAUUUGUCGUAGGGCAAAAAGUCCUACUUUAUCACUCGAGAUUUAGGCUUUUUCCUGAUAAGUUGCGUUCCCGUUGGAUUUGUCCAUUUGUUGUCUCUAAUAUUUUUCAUUAUGGUGCAGUGGAAAUCCAAAGUCUGAAGAUGGAGAAAAGGUUCGUAGUCAAUGGUCACCGUCUAAAGUCUUAUUAUGAAGGGUUUAAUAGUGAGCAAGUGGAGGUUCUAUUCCUUGAUAAUCCCAGUGGUGAAGUCUAAACAGUUGAAGGCCAUGUCUAGCCAAAAACAUUAAAGAAAGGCGCUGCUUGGGAGGCAACCCAAGGAUUACCAUAUUAGUUGUGAUCAUUUUUCCUUACUCUGCGAUUUUUCAGUUUUAUUUUAAUGUUUUGAUUGUUUUUGUGGUGUUGGACAGAAGAAUAGAGGUUCCAAGGCGUGCCCACGUCCUGGAAGAGGUACGCCAAGUGACCUGAGCAAAUUGGAGACUAGCAGUUCCAGGGCAUGCCCACGACUUGACGGAAUUUCGUUUGGACAUCAUUUAGAUGCCGCGGUCAGAAGACCAUGUCCUUCAAGGCGUGCCCACGCCUUCCAACUCUUCUGAUAGUGAAAAAAAAAAAUUGUUGACCAAGACUCUACUUUUUCCACUUUUUCCUUCUUCUUUGACUAGUCUUGGACAAUCCUUCCAAACUUCUUCUGCCUAAGCUCCGAUAAUACUUCUCCCUGUUUUGGUCAAGCCGCCGCCGCCUCCAUGGUACGCCGCCGCUACAGUCCAUAGUCCGCCGCCACAGCCAUCGUGCCCCCCCUGCGCGCUGCCACCAACGCGACCUAGCAGAUCCAUAGCACCUGCGCCCCAGCAGCAGACGCGCGCUACCUGCGCGCCUCCCUCCUCCUCUGCGAAAUCCCCUUUGCCAGGCGCGCGACAGCGCGCAAUUUACCUGCGUGCUUGCUCCAGCCGCGCACCAGCUCCCACAGCAAGCAGAUCCGCGCGCGCGAGCCUCAGCCUAGCAGAUCCGCAGCCCUACGCGCGCGACCAGCCCUUCUCCUCAGGCGCGUCCUCAGCGCACGCGACGCCCAGCAGGCGAACCAGCGGCCCACCGCGCGCCAGCCUUCGCGCGCGCCAGUCCUUCUCUCGCGCCUGACAGGCGCGAGCACCCGUGCGCAAGCCGCGCGCGCUGCUCGCCUUCUGCCGCAGUAGAGCGUUCACCACCCGCACAGCCGUGCAGUACUGCCCAUUCCAAUUCAACUUGGCGGAGCACUGAACUUACUAGUGGUACCCCUGUCUCUCUCUUGUGAAUUGGAAACUGAGGUAUUGGAGUUUUUAUUGUUGAAAUUUUGCUUUGUGUGGGGCUAUUUGAUUAAUUGUCUGAAUGGAGAUUAUAUCUGCUUUUCAUUGACUAUCUGUAUUGGGGGACGUUUGUGGGCUUUGGUGAAUCUGUUAGUUGUUAUUUGUGGUCCGUGUCUCACUAAUUGUUGACUAUUAUCAACUAUCAUUGCAAUUUGUGCGAUGUUGGAACUGUUUUCUUUAUUAUUGUCGGCCACGUGACACCAGUGGGAGACCUUUUGUGUUGGCUGCCUUGUCGUUGUUCGGUGGGGUGUUUGUGCCCCCUUUGCUAUUGAGCUGCGCAAUAUUCAGUAAUUUUUGUUAACUGUGGUCCCCUAUCUGCUUUUGGUGGUUGGUUGGCUAUCUCUGAGCUGAUUCACUCUAUCUGUGGUCCCUGAAUGCCUCCUAAAAAGGCAACCACUGUUGGGCCGUCUGGCUCCCAACCCUGUAAGAGACGAGCGCCGGUUCAACCCCCCAUUCGGUCCCGUUUGGGUCUGAAUAAGAGCACCAUGUCUCCUGGGGAAUGGGGGGAACCGAUCACUAAUCUUACAAGGGCCCAACAGGACCGGUUUAACACCUUGGUGCAUCGACCUUUUGCCCCUUGUAAGUGCUUCCAUGCCCCUACCCUAGACCAUCUGCGAAUUGCACGGGAAGUUGAGCAGUUGUUCUUGGCAAUAGGUUGGAAAAAGUAUCUGAUCAUUAACUACCCCACAUUUGAGGAGCUUUUCUGUGAAUUCUACUGCUCUUUUGAGUUUAUUAGGAAUGAAUACAUCACUUUGGAUGAGCCGGAAAUUAUUCAAUUUAGAUUAAAAGGCACACAGUAUAUUUUUCCAUCAAUGAAUUUAAUCUGACUUUGGGGUUUGUCAGUGAGGAUACCAUUGCAUCCGGAGCGUCUAUCAAUAGUGCUUGUGACUACACCAGGCCGUUCAAAACUGAAUACAUUGACAUCUGGAGGGAGUGGUCCACGGAUCGGCAAGUUUAUAAUCCGAGUCAGUCCAAGGCCUCUCAACUGAAGGAUCCGGUCUUAAAGGUCAUCCACAGGUUCUUGGCUCACAAUUUCUCGGGGCGGAAGGAUUCCUCCGGCACCCUUACCAAAGCAGAAUUUUAUUUCCUUUGGUGCAUGCACAACAACGUCAAGGUUAAUUUUGGAUGUUGGGUAGCCACUCAAAUGCAAUCAGUCAUUCAAAAGCACAGUAAACCGAUCAUUCUGGGUUCACUCAUUACCCACUUGGCCAUUCGAUUGGGUUUACUAGACCUCGACAAGGAGCACAAUUUCGCCCUAACUCGAGAGAUUGAGCCACUGGAUUUGCGCAGUUUGGAGCGGAUGGGGGUUAUUUUCAAAGUGGGCGAUGUCUAUCAGUUUACGCCCCCUGGUGAGGACGGGCCGCGGCCUCUGGUGCCUACCACUGCACCCUCCACUGACUCGCCACCCCAUCCGGAUCAGGCGGGUCCGUCCUCCUCUCAUCCUCCUCCUACUGGGGAUCCCCGCUACCAGGAGCUCCAAGAUUCUGUUGAUGAGCUCCACACCCAGGUGUCGAGGAUAGAUGGCCGUCUUAUGGCGUUCCAGGUCUUCGCCCGCAUUCAGGCAGAGAAUCAGGCGGCCUUCUUCGCUCACAUUGGUUUCACCCCGCCUCACCCCCCUCCGCCUUAGUGUCUCGUUUUUCCUCCCCGGUGGUCAGGGAAGUUUCUCUUCUUUCCUCCUCAUACCUUAUUGGUCUCUUCUACAUUGAGGGCAAUGUAGGUCUUAGGUGUGGGGGGAGUGACUUCCAUUAGUGACUCCCAUUAGUUUUUUUUCCUUUCUCUUUUUCAUUAGCUCUUUUUGCUUUAUAUAAAAAAAAAAUGAAAAAAAGGAAGAAAAGAAAAAAUGAAAAAACAUUGUAGUUAGUCGGUUUUUUGGUUAUUUCUAUGCUUAUUAGUGUUGGGGCAUGUUGCUGUGAUAAAUGAUAUAAUUAAAGUGAGUGGGUAUGUGGUCGGAUAUGCUAGUUGUACAUUUUGCUUCCCUUGGCAAUGUCGUUGAAUGUUGAAUAUGCUGGAAUUGACCCAUUUUUAAAACUUUUGGGAGCUUUUGAGCCUUACAUGAGCACAUUAUCCUUGUUUGCUCUAUUCUUGUUUGAUUGAGUGGGUAUCGCACAUGGUAUGAACAUUCUAGAACUUGCUAUUUUGUACAUGUCAAGACCACAUCCUAUUGAACUAGAUGCAUUUAAAAUGAUAAGGGCAUUUAGGAUUUGACCUCUUUGAGCUUUCGAAAGAAAAUCAUGCAUUCACCUUGUUUCCUAAUAGUGAACCAAUUUGAGCUUUAUCCUUCGCUUUUGGUUGUUAUCCGUAUUUGUUAACCCGAGACCUCUUUAAACUUUCUUGUUUAUCCCUGUGAUGUCAAGGGAUGUCUGAAAUCCAUCAUUUGUGCAAAGCAAACAAAUUUGGGGUUGCAAGUGCUGUUAGAUUAGGAGCUGUAUGAUGUUAUCCUUGUAAAAAAAGGGAGGAAUUGGAAAAAGGCCACUGACCAGAGGACUUUGGCUUACAGGGCGUGCCCGCGCCUUACAGGACUUUCUCCCUCAAAAAAAAAAAAAAUCCUGAAGAGACCUCGUGACCAGAGGACUAUGGGCUACAAGGCGUGCCCAUGCCUUGCGAGCAGUUCUCUCCAAAAAAAAAAAAAAAAGAGAGAGAAAGAGAAAAAAUUGGGGACACUUGUACAGUGUGUACAGCAAAUGAAAACUGCCUUGUUUGUGGAACCCCUCCGGUAGGGCACUGUGGUUAUUGGUGAGUUUCGGACAUUCUCUUGACACUUUACCCCCUAUCUACACCUUCUUAACCCGCCUUUCACCCGAAACCCCAUUACAACCCUAUUAAAACCCCUUUGAUUUAUGUGUUUAGUUCAAUUUUGAGUGGUGGAGAUGUGAUAAAUGUGCAAGCCUAUGGUAAUGGCAUUCCGUGAUGUUGAUUUGAGCGUUCCUAGUAUUCAUAUAUUUUCUUUGAACUACCACCUGUUCGGCGUGUUCUAAUUUUGGCAACAUUGUCAGGGAUCUGAAAUGUUUGUGUUAGUAUAGAUUACUACAUGAUCUUUGCUCUCUUGGUUGUACUUCUGAGUUUCGAAAUGCUUGAGGACAAGUAUCAUCUAGGUGUGGGGGGAUUAGUAACAGUGCAAAAUAAUCCUUUUGUAUGCAGUAUUUAUGUUUAGUAAAAAAUUAGUAAACCAUGAUUACAUUUCAUAAUUUGUAAUGAAAUUAGUAACAUUUUCUAAAUAAAUUGGAAUAAUUUGUAAGAUAUAUUAUUUUUUUUACCAAUAUAGUUAGGGGUGGCAAUCGCGUCCAAAUCAUAUUGGUGUGUCAGGUUGAGAUCGGGUAUAAUAGAAAACCCGCUGAUCCGAACUUGACCUGCCAACCCGAAAUAGGUCUAGAUAUCUGACCCGAAUCCAAAAAUUUCAUGUUGGUGGGUUGACGAGUCAACUCGAAUGACCCGAAACUUAAUUUUAAUUUAUUAAUUUACCACUGUAAUUUCUAAUAAAAUCAAUUUUGCACAAUUUUGAUUACAUAAGCAAGUAAUAAAAAUUUAAAUAAAUAAUCCCAAACCGAGUCUAAAAUAAAUUAAACUACUGUAAAAGUGUUUUAUCCCAAAGAAAAUGGGAAGAAAACAAAUGGGAAGAAAGGAUGAUGGCAUAACUAUAAAUAUGAGCAACUAUAUGCAUAUCACACCAUGAGUUUAGGUUUUAUUUGUUCAAAACAUCGGUAAUUUAUUCGUUAGUAGAUAUAAAAUGCAUAUGAUUUUUCUACAAAUGGAAAAUACACUUUCAUAUAUACUAACCAUUAACAGAAUAUGUAUUUUAAACACAAUCAAUGGAACUCAUAUUUCGUUUGUUUAGCUAUCAUUUAUUUUGUUACUUAGGUUGAAUAUUUACAUUUGAAUAGAGUAUUGAUAUCCGGACUUCAUAUGUUUUUGAAAAUUUUAUAAUUUUGGUAAAAUUUUGCAGUGCAAAUUACAAAAUGCCGAACCUGACCUUACAACUACUUCAAUAUAUUUUGACGCCGAUAGAUAUGGAGGAAACAUUGAGAUGUGUGAGAAGGUUCAUUAAAUAAUGUUUAAAAUUUAUGCAUUUUUCUUGGGUUUUAAACUAAUUUUUAUUAAGAAAUUGGCUUCCUAAACUAUACAUGUUCUUGCAGAUAUUUGUGCCAAUAAAUGAAGAUAAUCAACAUUAGUAUUGCACACUAGUUGACUUAAAAUUUUUCUGGUUCCGUCCGUGAGUUGAAGUAAGACAGAGAGAAGCUGUGAGCGAGCUUCACCCUUCUGCACUUCUGUUCUACCAGCUGCAAUCAAGUUUCCAGCCGCAACAACCACCAUCUCCACCGACAACCACAGCCACACCAACCCAAAACAGAAAACCUGUCGCGUGCUUGUGAGCCGAGAGGAGGAAAACAUUUUCCAGAUUUUCGUGUGAAAGCUUGACUAGUUGUGAGGUAAUUUAUGGAUCAUUUUUAGGAUAAAUCUGAGGUAAUUUGAGUUAUCUAGUAACAUGCAUGUGAUGUUAGAGCAGUCGGAUGUUGAAUUGAAUCAUUAGAAAAUUCUGUUUUGAAUAUUGAGGUACCAUCCGAAAGCUGAGAUGAUAAUGCACUCUAUUUCUGAAUUCCUGUGAUGACUUGAGCACUUAAGUGGAUUUAGCCAAAUGAAAAUGUGAUGAUUUCCACCAUGCAUGUUGAUUUGUACCUUCGGAUGGCAUAGUGAAAGCCUGCAGAAAUUCUGGUUAGAUAUAAAGCUCCUGCCGUGAGCUUGAUGCACUUGUUUUAUUUUGGCUGCUGAAUGGGUCUGAAUUUGGACAAUCUGAGCAUGAAAGAUGUUUAUCUAACUGGAUUUUGGAUGAUUAUCAGGAUUAGAGUCUUGCAUGUGUUAAAUUUCGCAAUCAAAUGGUGAAAACAAAGCUGUGGAAAAUUCUGUCUUGGCUAGAAAAUUUUGCCGUGAGCUUGCUUGGAGUAGUGCAGCUUAAAUUGGUUUUGAUUUUUGUAAUUUGGGCUUAUAAUCAUAAAUAUGCAGCUAAUAAUGAGUACUUAGGCCCUGCAUGUAGCCAAUCAGUUUGAUAAAACAGAGGAAUAAAAAUUCAAAAGUGCAAUCUGCCUUAAGGCAAGAUCAUCCGGACCAAACAGAAAAAUUUCUGGAAAUUUUGAUGGUUAUGGAUAUUAUUUGAACUUGAUUUCUGAGCUGGAAAUAUUCAUAUGCUAGCUUGAUACGUGCAUAAGGAAUUUAAGAGUUUAUAAGCAUGUCCAAACCAGAAAAUGAAAUGAAAAUAGAAAGCUCUUAACACAAUGAUUCAACCGAGGUAAAUUCGGAUUUAAGACCAACCAAGUGCUGGAAAAUUUAUGUGACUUGCCAAGGGAGUGAAACCAGAAUUUGCAGUUGUUUCUGGAAUUUUUCAUUAGCAAAUAAUGCUUGGAAAUGCAUGAAAAAUGUUGUUUUAAGUCUUGUAUGACAUUCAGUAGUAAACCAUUUGAAUUGUGGGCAGAUUUGGCCAAAAUUGUUGACACAUAGCUGCGGCAAUGUUGUAAUUAGAAAAUGCAGAAGUUUGCGACUUGUUUUCCUGAUUUGUUUGGGUCAGAGUUUAGUGUGAAUGUAGAUCAUUUCUGAUGUAUUUUGAAACUGAAAGUUUGUUGGAAACUCAUGGUAUGAAUUGCUGAAGUCACCAAGUUAUUUAAAAGUUCCUCCUUUCAAAAACACAGCAAGCAAAAGCUGCUGCAUUUUUUCGGUCUUUUCCCUGCCGCAUUUCCUUUCCUUUGGUUGCUGGUUAAGUUUUGCCCUUCAGUUUCAUGUUUGAUCUUGUGUUGGAGGGAAUCAAUGGAAGGUUGGGUGUUGAGUUUGAGUGUUUAAACAUCUAAAAUAUUUGAGCUGGAAAGUGGAUUUCAGAUUGCCAAAGUAUUCUACAUGAAUGUCUGUCCAGAUUUUCUGUAAUGCAUUAGCUCCUUCAUUGUUCUUGUUUGUUUGGAGUUGAGUUAAGCAGCUUGUUGUUUAGUUAGAGUUAAGAUGCUGGUUUGAGAAAUAUCUAAUCAAAGCUUUGUAUUUGAAUUAAAAAUCUGGUUUGCAUGAUGAAAAGAAAUGCCGUGGCUGAAAAAUUGUAGAAUGCUGCAGAGAAAAUUUUCCAGAUUUGCAUGCUCUCUUUCCUUGAAUUGUUGUGUUUACACAUAAGAGUUUUAUGAUUAAAAAGUAGAAAGAAUGUUUGGUAAUCUUGUCCAAACCUUUGUUGCCUAAGUUGUUCCUUGCGUUUGAACUGCAUCAGAAACCCUGAAAGUUGCAAUAAAAGAAAAACGCAGCAUAGCUUCAGCUGAGUUGCAUGAGUUUUUGGGGGUGUUUUCUGUUUUUUUUUUUUUUUUUUUUUUUUUUUUUUUUUUUUUGCAUGUUCAGCUGUGUGUGUUGUGUUAAUCAAAGUGUUUAGUUGUUAAAUGGUGAUUGAGUGAGGGUCUUUGGUGGCUUUUGUUUGAAGUUUUCUAUGAAACCUGCAGUUGAGAGUUUAAAGUUGUAAAAAGGAAAAAUUCUGGAUGAAUGUUGCAGCAGAAAAUUUGCUUCAUCAUUUUUGCAGGCUCUUUUUGUUUGAUUGAUUGUUUUGUUGCAUUAUAAAGUGGGUAGAUCAAUUGGUGUUUUGUUAUUUUGUGCGAACUGCAUUUGUUUUGGUCUAAAAGCCUAAGGAAGUUCACAAAUUAUGAAGAAGUGCAGCUGGUUUGGCAUUGCAGAAAUUGUUUGUUGCAGAAAUUCUUCUUCUACGUGAUUUGCAUGCAUGGAACUUUCAAAAAUUUGCACUUUGGCCCCAAGUCUCUCCUUGUUCUACUAGAACCCAAUCAAUUAAUAAUUUCAUCAAUUUGGUCCUUGGCAAUUUUAAUUUGUGCAACUUCAUGGCUUGUUUUGUUUCAAUUAACUACCAUGUUUUGUCAAUUGCACUUAAGUCAUGACUUUAGGGGUUUCAUGACCGAAUGAGCUCGUGUUUGCCUAUUUUUUAAUUUCCCUAAAUAAAUUGGUUGUUUGACCUUUUCUUGCUCUUGAGACCUUUGGAGUGCUUAAAUGUUUCGAUUGAAUUCGAAUCGUUGACUAAGGUUUGCAAUUGGGUCUUUAAUUGGUAAUUGGGUCCUUGGUGGGUCCUUUUUCUGAAACUUAUGCAUUAUUUGAUUUCAUUUAAAUUGCAAUUAGGAGAGAUUUGGUGACUUUGUUAUACUUUACUAUUUGAGGUACCUUGACUUUUUUAUUGUUUUGAAGCCAUUUUUCUUUCAUUUGGACACCAUUCAAAGGGGCGGUAUAAUUUCUUUUAUCCCUUUUGUUUCUCUCCUAUGUGACCCAACGUGUUAAGUGAAUUGCAUGCCUACUUUGCUUUCCUAGUUUUUUCUCAAUUCCUUUUACUUAUGUCAUUUACUUUCAUUUUCAUGAAGUUAUUCUUUAAUGGGGUAUGUGUACACCUCUUGGCUUGUAAUAGAUAGAGCUUUGGCGAGCAAUUUGGUCCAUUUUCCCCUUCCCCUUUUGUUUUAAUUAGUGAAUGUAAUAAGUUCAUUAGUUUGGUUGCAUGCCUUUGUGUUACGUGUUACUUGCUUUAUUAGGUUUUGCAUCUAGUCGAGCAUGUUAAGUGUUACGUGCUACGUGUUUAUGAGCGUUUGGCAUGUCUACUAGCUUUCUGUAGUGUAGAUGAAUGGAAUGGAUGAAUGUACGUUUCCACUAGUCCAAUGCUAGUCGGAAUUCAUAGAAUGGGCUAGUCCAACGCUAGACCCUUAGGGAUUUCCCCUCGUUAGUACAUGUUUGCAUGUUCAUUACAUGUCAUGCAUUUCUUUUUAGUUUUAUCAUUUUGCAUGCCCCUCGACCCCCUUUUCCCUCCAUUUUAGGAUUUUUGCAUUUCAUGCUAGUUAUAGGGUUCAUUUGCUUGAGAGUCCCUUAAAUAUGGAUAUAGAUGAGUGUGGCUUUUUCUAAGCCUUAGCACGCUUGUAUUCCCUCUAUAAAAGGGCAAAUUGAGUCACGAUUUAGGUCUCCCCGUACCCAAUAUGCAUGAAUUCCCUAGGCUCAUGCAUUUUCAAAUCCACUUUACCAUUUUAUACCCUCAUCACACUUUCAUUUUUCCUCCCAUUUUGCACACGUGCACCUUUAUGUUUCUUCACUUGCACACGAACACUUUUAAUCACUUGCACACAUGCACUUCAUAUUAUCAUUUCACAUACCAUACCUUGCCGCUCACGUGCACAUUUUCAUUUACAUAUUUAUUGUUUUUUAUUACUUUUUCAAACUCAUGUCCUCACAUUGCAUACAUGCAUUUCAUUCAUUUGCAUCACUCGCAUUAUUCGUGACCUCUCCAAAGGGUCAUUAUUGGGCUUCACAAUUAAUGUGAUUGGCACCAUUCAACCUUUGAAGAGAAAUUUUCCCCAAUACCCUAGGUCUAGGUUUGCAUUCAUAUAGUACAUCCAAAUGUAAUAAAUUUUUUGGUUAAAACAAGAAAAUAUUUGAUUAAAUCACGCAACUAGCCUUGGCUAGGUCGAAGGGGUGCCUUGGAUUUUUAUCCUUGCCUUCCCCUUCUCAAAUGUGACUCCCGAACCUUUUUUCGUUGGCUUACGUGGACUAGGAGUCGUUUUAAAAAGGGUUUUACUACUUUGUCUUUAAAAAACACUUUUUGGGUGACUUGGUACACCCCAAAUCUAUACCAAGUGGCGACUCCGUUUUCAUAUUUAAAAACCCCUUUUUAAAAUUUCAAUUGGCCAAAUCGUCGCUUUCCAAAGUCCCAUGGCCUUUUACUUUUCAUUUUGCACACGUUCACACCACACUUCACACACACAUCACUCACACAAUUCACACAUUCAAAAGUGGGGCGCGACAGUUGGCGACUCCACUGGGGACAUUCGAGAGUCCGAGCAAAUUUGAUUUAAUCAAUCUUUUUCUUCUUUUAACCUUUUCAUAUAUUACAUUUGGGUGUUUUAGGGUUGCAUUUUUCUUUUUUAGGAUUUUGCAUUUCACGCGUGUCCAACUAAUCCCCUCGACUCAUGAAUGUAUGUUUGAAUGAAUGUUUACUUGUUAUCUCGCGCUUGCAUUGCAUUUUGGGAGGUAUGGGUCACCCUAGAGAGCCUCGCAUUGGUUCUUGACCCUUCCCCUCCAAACGAGCACUAGCAUACGAGCAUACGCUUUACUUCUUUUAUCCCUUUUAUUUUUCUUUAGUGGCUUGUCACGCCACUCCACCCUAUUAGGAUUAGGUGACUCACUUGGCCAUGUGAUCACGACACGAUGUGUGUGUAGCAUGUUCCAAUGGGUCACUCAAUCUUCCGCUUAAAGCUAUUGGUUGAUAGCCUUUAGCUUUUUGUCGAAGGUUGAGGAUUUUGAUAGAUUCACUCAAACGUAGCCGUGACACGAUGUGUGCGUAGCGGUGUUUGGGGAAUCGCUCGAGCCACCGACAAAGAACCUUGGAUUGAUGACCCUUGGUUUCUAAGUCUGAAUGCUCGGGGCCUGAGCUUAUCGAGUCUAGAUGCAUUAGCGAAGCCCCAACCUCAUGCAUCCAUAUUAGAAUUGCCUAGGGUAGAGUCGGCCUUAUCCUGAGCUAGGACACUAUUCACGAGGGGAGGGGUCCAACCCCUUUUUCCCUUUUAUUGCUUUAUUUCUUUGUAUUGAUUUCGUUGCUACAAUGUGUUAUGUGUAUUUAUCUGGCUGAACUAACUUUUCUUGGUUUUAUGUCCCCAUUGCAUUCACAAACCCUAUCAAAUAAGAGGUCUGGCAUGACUUCUUUUAGAACCUACUCUUGUAGAUAGGUUAUUGCACGUUUAAAGAUUUUGGUAUAUUGCAUUCGUAGAUUAAUGAUUGCAUAUCAUUCUAGGCCUACCCUGGCAAAUAAAGGGUUCCUUAGGUCACGUUUCAUUUCGAAUUGCACAUUUACCGCUUUAAUAAAUGGCAUCAUGCAUAAACCCUAGAAAGGGAAUGCCACUUAGGGAAUCCCGUGUUAGGAAUAAACCACCUUGUGUCUCGGAUACUUAAUCCAGUGAGACUUGCACGUUUACAUUUUGUACCAUCCAAAGGGGUAGUGCACAAGGUAAGGUAGGAUCCGAUCAUUUUCAUAGAGUGAUCUUUGGAAUAUGAGCAUCUAAUAAUCACUUUUUGGCCCUUUUAUCAAAAAUUGGUAAAAAUCCCUUGCGUGAAGGACAUUAAUUUGAAGAAAUUCACAAAUGAUUCCUCCUUUGAGACGAUAAAUAAAUUAAGACCAAAAUUUGAUUUUUAGAAGGUCAUAGACUAAUGCACUCAAUGAUUUUUGAAAUAACCAAUGGCGGGCAAUUCAACCAAUCCAUUUUGCCGAUUCAUUCAAUAAAUUGUCAAUUCAUUUGACCAAUUUACCCUUUUUAGGGUCGUCCUGGUCCGAUUUUGAAUAAAUCAUCAAUUCAUUUGACCAAUUUACCCUUUUUAGGGUCACCUGGUCGAUUUUGAAUAAAUUGUCAAUUUAUUUGAUCAAUUUACCCUUUUUAGGGUUAUUUGACCAAUCUACCCUUUUUAGGGUCAUCCGGUCGAUUUUGAAUAAAUCGUCAAUUCAUUUGACCAAUUUACCCUUUUUAGGGUCAUUCGACCAAUUUUUGAAUAAAUCACUAAUUCAAUUUCAUUCAUUUUGCCAAUUUACCCAUUUUUAGGGCAACCGAGCCGAUUUUGAAUAAAUCAAGUUUCGUUCAAUCUAUUUGAUCAAUUUACCCUUUUUAGGGUGAUCUGAUUAAUUUUGGAUAAAUUAAAUUUCAUUCAAUUCAUUUGACAUGUUCCCCUUUUUAGGGUAAUCUGGUCGAUUUUAAAUAAAUGAUCAAUUUCAUUCAACCCAUUUGACCAAUUAAGGUUUCAAGAUCGAAUUUCAAAUUGGGAAACCUAGUCGGUUUUAAGAAAACCGUCCACUGCAUCCAGCCAUUUGAUCAGUUGGGGUUUUGACCCGCGCUUUACUGAGGAAAUUUUGUCAAACGAAUUCCGGUCUCUUCGAUAGGAAGUUUGUCAAGGUCAAACCUGUGCGUUUUUACAAAUUCUUGUAUCGAUCAAAAGUGAUCAAUCCAUUCGGACGUUGACCUCAUUUUGACAAAGUGUCUCUCGUCACUCCAAUUGGCCAAAAUUUUCAAAUCAUUCUUCACACGAUCAGUCGAUCGGAUCCAUCAGGUAUUGUAUAGUGCCUGCUCUGGAGGACUGCAUUUUCAUGCUAGGCCUACCCUUGGCACAAAAAGGGUUCCCCCAUAGGACAUGCAUCCGAAUUUUCUGAAUAUCUACUAACUCUUGUUUUUUUUCUUUUCUUUUUCUUUGUUUUUAUUGGAAUAACUAAGUGAGGGUUGAAUCUAAAGGCAAUUUUUUUAAAAAAUUUUCAGGUAAUAUUUAAACUUAGCUUUUCGUCGAAACCCCAUCAUAACGCGAUCCCGUAGUCAAGUCCAAAGGAAUCGUGUAAACAUGAGUUCACAACCAGAACAGUCAGAUAGGUCUGCUACUACCGCUCAACCCGAGACUGCAAGUUUGGGGAUUCAGUUGACUGAGAUGCUUACCAAGUUCGGAGAGAUGGCGUCUGAGAUGGCCGCUCAAAGGAAGUUGGAUGAUGAGCUAAUUAGCAGCGGAGUUCAACCUGAACCUGUACCCGCCAGACAGCCUGAGCAAGAGACAUUUGUCCUACCUUCGGCCCGCCACGCCACUGUUACUCCCAUCAUUCCCUAUUGCACCCGAAGAAACUUUCACCUGUCCCACCACAAAUUUGCCAUACACUUACCCUCCUCAUCCUUCAUUUUUUCUUACUCACAUGCGAGGUCCACAACCCCAAAUCACUUCAAAUAUACCCACGUGAGCCACAUACCUUUUAUUACCUGCUCUGCUGCUGAGCCAUUCUUGCCGGACCAUACUUUUCAAACCAAGCCAGAAAUGGGGGAAUCUUCCGCUCCCGUUGAUAUGAAGCUGCUUAAGCGCCUUGAUCGUUUUGAUGAAUUUAUAAGGAAGAGUCAGGGGUUGAACAAGCAAGGAGUCCUGGAUUACGAUGAGCUUUGCCUUUUCCCGAAUGUGCAAUUACCUGAGGGGUUCAAGACCCCAAAAUUCAACAAGUAUGAUGGAACGGGCAAUCCCAAGACACACCUCCGAUUGUUCGCCAAUAAGUUGGGUAGGCCAACAGAUGAUGAAAAUCUGCCUUUGAGGCUAUUCCCAGAAAGUCUGGAGGGGGAUGCACUCGACUGGUAUUCCAAGCUGAAACCUGAAGAAGCAAAGACCUGGCUGGACCUGUCCAAUGCGUUUGUAAAGCAGUACGAGUAUAAUUGCGAGCUGGCUCCAACACGAACCACGUUGGAAGGGACAAAGAGGAAGUCAUCUGAAGAUCACAAGACUUAUGCCAAGAGGUGGAGGAAAAUAGCUGCACAAGUCGAGCCACCAAUGACGGAGGACGAAAUCAUACGCACUUUCAUUAAGGCACAGGAUCCUCCAUAUUUCGAAGAAAUUUUUCGCAUGACUGGAUGCUCGUUCGCUGCUAUUGUCAAUAAACUUGAGGAGUACGAUGACUUCGUGAAAGCUGGGAAGAUUGUUAAUGUCUCUACCCUCAAGUCACAGUUGGAUGCUUUGCAUGGUCAGGAAACUAGUGGGAAGAGCCCGCAAUUCCAAAAGAAAGAGGGGGAAACUGCCUUCACAUGGAAUCAAAACCCUGUCCCAAGACCCAGACCUCGACAAUACCCUACCUACUCAAACCCUUACCCCUACUACUCAAAUCCUCGUCCUGUUUACCACACCAAUAUCACCCAUCCUCGGCCUCGCCCAAAUUAUGCCAACCCGCGCCUACAACUCCUUUCCAAAUAUUUCAACCAAGCUUUCAACAAACUCGUCCUCGACCCACCUUACCACCCAAGAUUUUCCCCACCAAAUAGACCCACCUACAACUAUCCCGACCCACUGAAACCUACAAUCAAAGCCGUACCCGAACCUUCGCCAACCUAGGCAGGCCUUUGGACCAAUUGUAUGAGCAAUUGAAGGCUGUCAACAAAAUAGGCGUGAUUCCCCCUCCAACUUACCUUCAUGGCAUGCCUGCUGGGUACAAUCCACAUGCUAUUUGUGCCUAUCAUUCGGGAGUACCUGGUCACUCAACCGUCGAUUGCAGGGCACUCAAGCACAAAGUCCAAGACAUGAUCGAGGCAGGGGAAAUAAUGCUAAGGAAAAGAGGUGAACAAGGGCCGAGCAUAAGUACAAAUCCUUUCCCUGAACACAAGGACACCUUCGAAGCAUCCACCUCCAAUGACGAAAUUUGAAAAUCCUGAAGGAACUUUGCAUAAUUUGAAUGGCCGAGUAUCUUCCCUCUCGAAGGGAAUUUCGGUAAAUCUAGGGUUGUUAUUUACUAAGGUUCACGAAAACCAUUUCUUGCAUAUGUGAAUAGCUUAAUGAAAACAUCUUUUGCAACUAAGUUUUUGUCUUGUUUCCGUUUUGACCAGUUUUUCCAUCAAAUGCAUAAUUUGUUUUUUCUGUUUAUUUGAUUAUUGUCCCGAAUUUUUAAUUCUUUUAGAUGGCCAAAGAUGGAAUUAUUUGACCAUUUGAAUAUCACUGUUCUGGAUUCCGAUAAUACCAUUCAUUCAAAAAUUUCUUCGUGAAAAAUUCCUUUGUUGAAAAGGGCAAAAAUUCCUUUGUUGAAAAGGCCAAAAAUCCCUUCGUUUGAAAAGGCCACAAAUCCCUUCGUUUGAAAAGGCCACAAAUCCCUUCGUUGAAGAAUCCCUUCUUUGAGAAGGACAAAAAUCUAUUCUUUGAGAGACCCCUUCGUGAAAAAUCCCUUCAUUGAGAAAGUCUUCAUUGAGAAAUUCCUUCAUUGAGGAAGCCUUCAUUGAAAAAUCUCUUCAUUGAGAAAAUCCCUUCCUUGCCAAGUUCGAAGCUGAUUGAUUAAAGCAGCGUCACCGACAAUUGAUUUUGAUGGAUGAAAAGCAGCUGAACGCUAUGUGCCAUGGCCAAUGUUAUCAAAGUGCGUGGCCUGUGUUCAUAACAAAAAGGUCCGCCUCCGAGCCUUUAGAGAAGGAGGACAAAGAGUUAAAGCGAGUUUUGCCAAUGCAAGAUGAAGUCAAAGACGAAUUUGAUCUAAACUGGUAAGAAUAUUUGUCAUUCAAAAGGUGCCACCGAGUGGAGCACUUAUCCCUGAAGAGAUGGAUGGGCAAACAUUCUCUCAACCUAUCAAAUCAGACAUGUGUAAGAAGUCUUUAUUUUUGAUUAUGCAAAUUUCUUUUGGAAAUCAUGCAAGGGACGAGGUAAAAGUCAAGCCAUCUUCCUUUUCAAUCAAAACAUUUCAUCCCUAGUUAUCCCUUUUGAGCCAUCAGAGCAGUAAUUUUCGUUUGGCAGCCCCUGAGAGUUGCAAACCCCACACUGGGCCAAGUUAUUUUGGAAAAGAGAUGAUCAAAAGAAAAGAAAACCCUACACUGGGGCAAAUUUAUUUUGAAAGAGAAAGAAAAAGCAGAAAACCCUACACUGGGGCAAAUCUUUGAAAAAGUUCAAAAGAAUGGCAAAAGGCCAAAAGACAAAUCAAAAAAAAAAAAAAAAGAUGAAAAGGAAAAGAGAACCCCAUACUGGGGCAAAUUUAGCUUUGAAGAAAAAUGCAAAAAGUGAGGAAGAUACAAUGGAAAAAGCAAAGAGAGAAAAUUCAAUCAAACUGGGGCAAAUUUCCCUCAGUUUCGUUCGAAAUUGAAGAUGAUUUCAAAUGAUGCAAUCUCAGGUUAUUUCACCUCUCAUAAGAGCAAAUUGUUUUCAAGCCUUAACUUUUCUUGACAUAUCCCACCUGACUCCAUUACAAAAGCCCAAAGUCCUGACUUUCGUCACUUGCUAUAUUUCUAUUGGAAAGUUUGCUAAUCAACUGACAAGUGAUGUCCAUAAUGCCUUCGCUUAAUCUUACAAGGGAAGUGCAUUUUACUGAUGUCAGAAAUCUUUAACUCAUACUUCUGAGGCGAUUAUGGUUGAGCUCUUCCAUUGCUUUCUUACGUAAAAACCCGAAAGGGCACCUCAAAAAGAAAAAAAAAAGGAAAAAAGAAAAAAAGAAAAAAGAGAAAAGACAAAACAAAAAAAAAAAAGGGGGUGGGGCAACCUUGAUGAAAACCCGAAAGGGCGCUAGGUAGGUUUCUUCAAUGAGCAAACACGAGGAAGAACAGUUGAUGACUUGGUUCAUUUGGAAUUUCUCUUCAUAAUACUUCUGCCAGUGUCGAAUUGCAGAACAAAGAUAUUCAGGAACUCGAAUAUGACAUCCGUUGGCCAAAACUGUGUCGUUUUGUAAAAAUAUUUCUUUAGCAAAUUCAUUCUUAGGAAGCUCAUUUUUUUCUCAAUUGCUUGUAUUCAUGGCAUUUUUGUAGGCUUUAAGCACAAAUGGUUUGUGUUUGCAUUCUUUCACAUAUUCAUUUCUGCAUGAUAGGUGAAAUUACUUUUUAAUCAUCGAAUUUUGGUGAAUGAUAACCCCAUGGUUUAUUCAAAGCAUACUUGGGUUCAGUCAUCUUGCGAAAAUGGUUGAAAUUCAGCAAGGUCGGUUACGCAAGCUUCACAAUAUGGCAAAAUGCACGCUCGGCUAGUCGGGAAAAAUCAGAGACGUUUAGAAAUGACAAAUCCAACCAAGUCAGAUGCCACGGUCAACUUUGACGAAGGCAUCCAAAGACUCAUGUUUACACGAUUCUCAAGGACAAACGGAUCAAAUAAGGGUGGCAAUUCCUUUGUUUUUUCUCUUUUGCAGGAAAUUUCAUGCAUGGAUGAAAACAAUCACACCUCGCACUGAAAUCGGUGUCGGAAAGAGUCCUCCGGUGAACAAAGGCAGAUUGAAAAUGUCGCAAGCAAAUUUCAUCAAAAAAUGCAACAGCAUGGCGAUACAGAAUCAACUCUGGACUCAAAUAGCAAAAAUUCAUCAUACUGGGGCAAAUUAAUUUUUUGUAAAGAUUUUGAAAAGUCAAAAAGAAAGUCAAAAAGAAGCAAAAAUCAUCAAUCAAAAACAAAAAUCGAAUCAAAUUUCGUCACGGCAGGAUCGGGCUUAAUCCACUGACCGACGAUCAAAGCAUUCGGGUCAGUCCCUCGAUCAAAAGCUCAUUCGGGUCAGUCCCUCGAUCAAAACAUUUUCGGGUAAGCUCAUUCGGUCAGUCCCUCGAUCAAAAGCAUUCGGGUCAGUCCCUCGAUCAAAAGCUCAUUCGGUCAGUCCUCGAUCAAAAACAUUUUCGGGUAAGCUCAUUCGGGUCAGUCCCUCGAUCAAAAGCAUUUUCGGGUCAGUCCCUCGAUCAAAAGCUCAUUCGGGUCAGUCCCUCAUCAAAAGUAUUUUCGGGUCAGUCCCUCGAUCAAAAGCAUUUUCGGGUCAGUCCCUCGAUCAAAAGCUAUUCGGGUCAGUCCCGAUCAAAAACAUUUUCGGUCAGUCCCUCGAUCAAAAAACAUUUUCGGGUCAGUCCCUCGAUCAAAAGCUCAUUCGGGUCAGCCCCUCGAUCAAAAACAUUUUCGGGUCAGUCCCUCGAUCAAAAGCAUUUUCGGGUCAGUCCUCGAUCAAAAGCUCAUUCGGGUCAGUCUCGAAAAACAUUUCGGGUCAGUCCUCGAUCAAAAGCAUUUUCGGGUCAGUCCCUCGAUCAAAAGCUCAUUCGGGUCAGUCCCUCGAUCAAAAGCAUUUUCGGGUCAGCUCGAUCAAAAGCUCAUUCGGGUCAGUCCUCGAUCAAAAGCUCAUUCGGGUCAGUCCCACGAUUCAAAAGCUCAUUCGGGUCAGUCCCGCGAUUAAAGCUUGUUCGGCGCAGUCCCAUGAUUUGAAUUUCCUUCUCUAGUCAGUCCCAAUUUUAAAUUUCUGCUGGGUCAGUCCGUUUUAAUUUCCUGUUUGGGUCAAUUCCAUUUUAAAAAAAAAAAAAAAAAUGUUAAAGAGGUCGAUCCUCAUUUCAGAAGCGUCCAUUGCAGCCGAAUAACACAGGUAAGUAUUUGGUGUCUAUUUCUUUGUCUCAAGUUUUUUCAAAACUCAGACAAAGAGGGGCAAACUGUAGACACAAAUUUUGGUGUAAUUUCAUUUGCUGUUUAUUUUUAAUUUUUUCAUUUUAGUUUUAUUCGAUUUUUAGUUUUAGUUUCUAGUUUUAUUUUUAUUUUUAAGCUGUUAGCAUAGAAUCUCUUGAAAAUGAAUGAAAAUGAGAAAAGUGAAAAGAAAAGAGGAGAGAAAAGAAAAAAAAAGAAAAUUGCCCACAAAAUAUGUUUUAUGUCUUCUAAAUUCAAUCUUUUGGCAUUUUGUUUAUUUUUGUUAAGUUAUAUUUGAAAAAAAAAAAAAAGAAAAAAAAGAGAAAAACGAUGAAAAUAGGAAAUGGAAAAGAAAUGGAAAUUGCACUUUAUUGUUCUAGUUUAUUUUUCAUCAAAUGUUAAUUAUUUUGUUUUGGUUAUUUCUUCUUAUUAUUAUCAAUUUUGUUUGUUUCAAAAAAAAAAAAAUCAAAAAAUCAAAAAAUCAAAAAUCAAAAAAUCACAAUUCUAUUUCUGCCGAAUCCAUUUCCAUUUUACAUUCCAGCACCUUCCAUCUCUAUGCCGACUUAUAACCACUAAUGCACUCCACUAUAUCACACACUAGUAUAUCAACUACCAUCCACCACAAUAUAUUUCUUUUCAAUGGCUUUUCAGCCGUGAGUGAGCAAGGCUUCCUGGGCCAACUUUAAAAAAAAACAUCUCCAAUUCUGCCGGAUGACAUCUGAGUCUCCACUCACACCCAUUUCCCUUCAUUCGUGACUUGUUUCCCAUUUGAGGAACUCCAACAUUCCAAAACACUUCCUCUCCAGCCUCUGCCUUGGGACCAUCGACAGAAAGUGCGAGAGAGAGAGAGCGGCAACCGUGCAUCCGAGAGGGAAGAAAAGGAUCCGCGAGCGGCAAAAAUUUUUCUGGUUCCGUCCGUGAGUUGAAGUAAGACAGAGAGAAGCUGUGAGCGAGCUUCACCUUCUGCACUUCUGUUCUACCAGCUGCAAUCAAGUUUCCAGCCGCAACAACCACCAUCUCCACCGACAACCACAGCCACACCAACCCAAAACAGAAAACCUGUCGCGUGCUUGUGAGCCGAGAGGAGGAAAACAUUUUCCAGAUGUUCGUGUGAAAGCUUGACUAGUUGUGAGGUAAUUUAUGGCAUUUUUAGGAUAAAUCUGAGGUAAUUUGAGUUAUCUAGUAACAUGCAUGUGAUGUUAGAGCAGUCGGAUGUUGAAUUGAAUCAUUAGAAAAUUCUGUUUUGAAUAUUGAGGUACCAUCCGAAAGCUGAGAUGAUAAUGCACUCUAUUUCUGAAUUCCUGUGAUGACUUGAGCACUUAAGUGGAUUUAGCCAAAUGAAAAUGUGAUGAUUUCCACCAUGCAUGUUGAUUUGUACCUUCGGAUGGCAUAGUGAAAGCCUGCAGAAAUUCUGGUUAGAUAUAAAGCUCCUGCCGUGAGCUUGAUGCACUUGUUUUAUUUUGGCUGCUGAAUGGGUCUGAAUUUGGACAAUCUGAGCAUGAAAGAUGUUUAUCUAACUGGAUUUUGGAUGAUUAUCAGGAUUAGAGUCUUGCAUGUGUUAAAUUUCGCAAUCAAAUGGUGAAAACAAAGCUGUGGAAAAUUCUGUCUUGGCUAGAAAAUUUUGCCGUGAGCUUGCUUGGAGUAGUGCAGCUUAAAUUGGUUUUGAUUUUUGUAAUUUGGGCUUAUAAUCAUAAAUAUGCAGCUAAUAAUGAGUACUUAGGCCCUGCAUGUAGCCAAUCAGUUUGAUAAAACAGAGGAAUAAAAAUUCAAAAGUGCAAUCUGCCUUAAGGCAAGAUCAUCCGGACCAAACAGAAAAAUUUCUGGAAAUUUUGAUGGUUAUGGAUAUUAUUUGAACUUGAUUUCUGAGCUGGAAAUAUUCAUAUGCUAGCUUGAUACGUGCAUAAGGAAUUUAAGAGUUUAUAAGCAUGUCCAAACCAGAAAAUGAAAUGAAAAUAGAAAGCUCUUAACACAAUGAUUCAACGAGGUAAAUUCGGAUUUAAGACCAACCAAGUGCUGGAAAAUUUAUGUGACUUGCCAAGGGAGUGAAACCAGAAUUUGCAGUUGUUUCUGGAAUUUUUCAUUAGCAAAUAAUGCUUGGAAAUGCAUGAAAAAUGUUGUUUUAAGUCUUGUAUGACAUUCAGUAGUAAACCAUUUGAAUUGUGGGCAGAUUUGGCCAAAAUUGUUGACACAUAGCUGCGGCAAUGUUGUAAUUAGAAAAUGCAGAAGUUUGCGACUUGUUUUCCUGAUUUGUUUGGGUCAGAGUUUAGUGUGAAUGUAGAUCAUUUCUGAUGUAUUUUGAAACUGAAAGUUUGUUGGAAACUCAUGGUAUGAAUUGCUGAAGUCACCAAGUUAUUUAAAAGUUCCUCCUUUCAAAACACAGCAAGCAAAAGCUGCUGCAUUUUUUCGGUCUUUUCCCUGCCGCAUUUCCUUUCCUUUGGUUGCUGGUUAAGUUUUGCCCUUCAGUUUCAUGUUUGAUCUUGUGUUGGAGGGAAUCAAUGGAAGGUUGGGUGUUGAGUUUGAGUGUUUAAACAUCUAAAAUAUUUGAGCUGGAAAGUGGAUUUCAGAUUGCCAAAGUAUUCUACAUGAAUGUCUGUCCAGAUUUUCUGUAAUGCAUUAGCUCCUUCAUUGUUCUUGUUUGUUUGGAGUUGAGUUAAGCAGCUUGUUGUUUAGUUAGAGUUAAGAUGCUGGUUUGAGAAAUAUCUAAUCAAAGCUUUGUAUUUGAAUUAAAGUUGCCGGGGAGCGGUAAUAUUAGGGCCUAAUCAUCUCUAUUAAUUUAGAUAUUUUUCAUUGUUUUUAUUCAAGUUGUUGAAUUUAAACUGUAAAAUUUCUCUUGUUUUUGUUUGUAGUGUUUGCACCGGGCGUCUCGAGAAGUUGCACUUUUCGAUCCAGAAAUUGAGAGGACACUACAUAGACAAAGGAGGAACACACUACAGCAAGAGGAACAAGAGAUUUGGCAACCAAUAGAGGAAAUCUUAAUAGAGCUUCCAUUUGAAGAAGAAAUGGCAGAAAACGAAACAAAUGGGCGAGUUCUACGAGAUUUUGCUCUACCGGAAACACAAGAAUCUCAAACGAGCAUAGCAAGGCCUUCGGUAAAUGCUAACAACUUUGAGAUUAAACUAUCACUUAUCCAAAUGGUUCAACAAUCUCAAUUUGGAGGUAAUGCAGUAGAAGAUCCUAAUACACACUUAGCUACAUUCUUGGAAAUUUGUGAUACAAUUAAAAUGAAUGGAGUUAGUGAUGAUGCUAUAAGGCUAAGAUUGUUCCCAUUUUCAUUGAGAGAUAAGGCCAAACUUUGGCUACACUCUCACGCUCCUAAUACUUUCACCGGAUGGGAUGAUUUAUCAAGAGCAUUCUUAAAUAAGUAUUUUUCACCAGGUAAGACUGCUAAGCUUAGAAUGGAUAUCACUAGUUUUAGUCAAUUAGAAGGUGAAUCAUUAUAUGAGGAAUGGGAAAGGUUUAGAGAUUUGCUUCGGAAAUGUCCACAUCAUGGACUGCCGGAGUGGUUAAUCAUACAAACCUUCUAUAAUGGUUUAGUUCCAAUGAUACGAUUGAAUUCCCAGGCAAAGGUUUCCACUUUGGUCCACACUUUUUCUUUGUUACAAUUGAAUAAAUUUUCUCACUUCAAAAUUUUCAUCUUUAGUUCACACUUUCCCUCUAUUCUUUCUCAUCGUUCGGUUGGGUUUGAGUGCUGCCAUAUGCAGACACAACAAAAGAAUUAGCGACGGUGGUAGCCAGCCAAAGAGCAUAUGAAAAAUAGCAGUGACGAGGUUAGAUCAUCAAGUUCUCUUGAAAUCGUUUGAUUAUAUUGCUGUAAUUUAUUUAUAUUUCAUUUGUUUUGUUUGUCAAGAUUUUCUUGGGUAAUCAAGGCUAAGAAUUUGAAGAUUUUAGUGCAAUUUUGGGGCCGAAAAUGUCCGUUGAAACAUCAAGGAAAUGGUUGUAGUUUUGAUUGUCUACGGGUAAAAUAUGCUUAAUAGCCAUGUGAAACAUCUAGGAAUAGACUUAAGAUCAGGCGUUUAAGUUAAAUGUGAUUAAUUUGUGAAUGCAUAUAAGAUGUUUGGUGAAAUGUCAAAGAGAAAUUUGUAUGUUGUGAUUGCUACUCUGUGCGGGUGAGAAUUACUAAUAUAUUAAUAAUUCAACAUGAGCUUUAUAACUUGAAUUCUUCAGGCAAGAGAGAUUUCUCCCGUUUUGAAAUUCUAAGUUGAUAUGCUUGAUGGAGCAGAUGUUAUUGAACUGAACUGGUCUAGAAUCAUUGUUGCGAAUCUGUUGUUUCUAUGAAAAUUUAUUAUCAGCCUCUUGAAUUUUUUACUCCAUGUUAACGUCUGCAAUGCCACGAAAAUUUGGCCAUCUAUGGAAAUUUAUUAUCAGCCUCUUGAAUUUUUUACUCCACUGUAACGUCUGCAAUGCCACGGAAAUUUGGCCAUUAUUACUCUUGUAAAUCUGUUGCCGGGGAGCGGCAAUAUUAGGGCCUAAUUAUCUCUAUUAAUUUAGAUAUUUUUCAUUGUUUUUAUUCAAGUUGUUGAAUUUAAACUGCAAAAUUUCUCUUGUUUUUAUUUGUAGUGUAUGCACCGGGCGUCUCGAGAAGUUGCACUUUUCGAUCCAGAAAUUGAGAGGACACUACAUAGACAAAGGAGGAGCACACUACAGCAAGAGGAACAAGGGAUUUGGCAACCAAUAGAGGAAAUCUUAAUAGAGCUUCCAUUUGAAGAAGAAAUGGCAGAAAACGAAGCAAAUGGGCGAGUUCUACGAGAUUUUGCUCUACCGGGAACACAAGGAUCUCAAACGAGCAUAGCAAGGCCUUCGGUAAAUACAAACAACUUUGAAAUUAAACUAUCACUUAUCCAAAUAGUUCAACAAUCUCAAUUUGGAGGUAAUGCAGUAGAAGAUCCAAAUACACACUUAGCUACAUUCUUGGAAAUUUGUGAUACAAUUAAAAUGAAUGGAGUUAGUGAUAAUGCUAUAAGGCUAAGAUUGUUCCUAUUUUCAUUGAGAGAUAAGGCCAAACUUUGGCUACACUCUCACGCUCCUAAUACUUUCACCGGAUGGGAUGAUUUAUCAAGAACAUUCUUAAAUAAGUAUUUUUCACCAGGUAAGACUGCUAAGCUUAGAAUGGAUAUCACUAGUUUUAAUCAAUUAGAAGGUGAAUCAUUAUAUGAGGCAUGGGAAAGGUUUAGACAUUUGCUUCGGAAAUGUCCACAUCAUGGACUGCCGGAGUGGUUAAUCAUACAAACCUUCUAUAAUGAUUUAGUUUUUUCUACUAAAACUAUAAUCGAUGCAGCUGCAGGUGGAGCUUUAAUGGGUAAAUCACCCCAAGAAGCUCAUAAUUUGAUAGAAGAAAUGGCAGCAAAUAACUACCAAUGGGCCAAUGAGAGAGGUAAUACAAGACGUCACGCAGGUAUGAUAGAAAUGGACACUCUCAAUAUGCUGAGUGCUCAAAUGAAUAAUGUGAUGAAGUUGCUAAGUAGACAAGGUGGAGUUGGUCCAAGUUCAUCUAAUGCACAUGCAGCAUGUUGUUCUAUAUGUGGAGGUGAAAAUGAUACUAAUAAGUGUGUUGAUUCUGAGCAGGUACAAUUCGUCAAUAAUUACAAUCGUAAUGCUCAAAAUAACCCCUACUCGAGUACUUACAAUCCGGGGUGGAAAAAUCAUCCAAACUUUGGAUGGAAGGAUCAAGGAAAUCAACCAAGGCCAGCCAAUCCACCGGGAUUUCAAUCAAGGCAACAACAAGCUGAAACUAAACCUGAUUGGGAAAUGGCAGUGGAAAAGCUCGUAAAAGUUACUUCAGACAGAUUUGAGCGAGUAGAAGGAAGAUUGGACCAACUCACUACAAUGUACAGGAAUGUAGAGGUCCAAAUUGGUCAAAUUGUUAGUUCUUUGAAUAAUCGUAAUCAAGGAGAAUUACCUAGCAAAACGGAGGUAAAUCCUAAGGAGCAUGUCAAAGCCAUUACUCUUCGUAGUGGUAAGCAAUUAGAAGAUCCUCCAGUGAUGGAAGUUGAGAAAGAUGAGAAUGAAAAAUAAGAAGAAAAGCAGAGGAACCAAGAAGCGAUAGUGGAAGAAAAUAGCCGGGAGAAAUCAAGAGAAAAUCAACCAUCAUCUUCCGCUACCAUUCCAAUACCUCCUGCGGUUCCAUUUCCACAAAGAUUAAAGCAAAAUAAGUUUGAUAAAGAUUUUGAAAAAUUUGUUAAACUUUUCAAACAAUUGCACAUUAACAUUCCUUUUGCCGAUGCUAUUUUGCAGAUUCCGUCUUAUGCGAAAUUUCUCAAGGAAAUCAUGACUAGAAAAAGAAAGUUGGAAGACUGCGAAACAAUAGCAUUAACGGAGGAAUGUAGUGCAAUUAUUCAAAAUAAGCUACCACCGAAAUUGAAAGAUCCGGGGAGUUUUUCUAUACCUUGCACCAUAAGUAACGUUGAUUUUUCUAAGGCAUUGUGUGAUCUUGGUGCUAGUGUAUCAUUAAUACCUUUAACGGUGGCUAGACAAUUGGGUUUGCAUGAGUUUAAACGCACUAAUAUUACUUUGCAACUAGCGGAUCGGUCUAUUAGAUAUCCAUUGGGAGUGUUGGAGAAUGUAUUGAUAAAAGUUCAAAAAUUUAUCAUUCCAGUGGAUUUUGUGGUAUUAGAUAUGGAAGAAGAUAUAUCUAUGCCAAUUAUUCAAGGUAGACCAUUUCUAGCCAUUGCAGGUACUAUUAUUGAUGUCAAAAAUGGCAAGCUUAAGUUUCAAGUAGGUGAAGAAGAUGUAGAAUUUAAUUUGAAUGAAAUAAAAAAAAUACCCUUCUUUUAUCGAUCAUGCUUAUUCUAUUGGCACAAUUAAUAAACUACCCCAAGAGAUGAGUCAAGUCAACUUUGACUUAGAUCCUCUUGAGUAUUAUUUAAUGAGUUUAGGUAAGUAAGAAGAUAUUUGUGAAGAAAUUGAAGAAUUGGCCAAGUACUUGGAUUUUCAAGCACCUUAUAAAAGGGGUAAUUUGUAUGAAAGUCUUGGCCAAGGAAAAGGGUUUUCACAACCUUCAGAAAUUGAAGCUCCAAGGUUAGAGCUUAAGCCACUUCCAACUCAUCUAAGGUAUGAAUUUCUUGGAGAAAAUAGCACUUUACCUGUAAUUGUUAGUGCUGACCUUGAUGAUGAGCAGUGUGCAAAAUUGUUAAGAGUUCUAAGAAGGCGUAAGAAGGCAAUUGGAUGGACAAUUUCAGACAUUAAAGGUAUAAGUCCUUCUAUAUGCAUGCAUCGAAUUUUAUUGGAGAACGGUUGCAAACCAGUGGUGGAAACACAAAGAAAACUCAAUCCAAACAUGAAAGAGGUGGUAAGAAAUGAAAUUCUUAAGUGGCUUGAUGCAGGUAUAGUUUUUCCUAUCUCCGAAAGUGUUUGGAUUAGUCCAAUUCAUGUGGUACCAAAGAAAGGUGGAAUGACUACAAUCGUGGGUAAAAAUGAUGAAUUAAUUCCAUCUAGACUUGUGGUAGGGUGGAGAGUGUGUAUUGAUUAUCAUAAGUUAAAUACGGUAACAAGAAAAGAUCAUUUUCCCCUACCAUUUCUUGAUCAAUUAUUGGAGCGAAUAGCUGGAUAUGAAUUUUACUGCUUUCUUGAUGAUUUUUCAGGAUAUAAUCAAAUAGCUAUAGCUCCAGAGGAUCAAGAGAAGACUACAUUUACAUGUCCUUAUGGCACUUUUGCCUUUAGAAGAAUGCCAUUUGGUUUAUGCAAUGCUCCUGCAACUUUUCAACGAUACAUGAUGGCUAUUUUUUCUGAUUAUAUUGAGAAAAUUAUGGAGAUAUUUAUGGAUGAUUUUUCUGUGUAUGGUUUAUCUUUUGACCAUUGUCUUCAUAAUUUAGAAUUGAUUUUGCAGAGAUGCGAAGAAACAAAUCUUGUAUUGAAUUGGGAGAAAUGCCAUUUUAUGGUAAAAGAAGGAAUUGUCUUAGGGCACAAGAUUUCUUCCAAGGAAAUUGAGGUGGAUAAUGCCAAAAUAGAAGUUAUCGAAAAAUUACCACCCCCAAGCAAUGUCAAGGGGAUAAGGAGUUUUUUAGGACAUGCUGGCUUUUAUAGACGUUUUAUUAAAGAUUUUUCUAAAAUAGUAAAGCCAUUAUAUGAUUUAUUAUGUAAAGAUACCCCUUUUCAAUUUGAUGACAAUUGUUUGGUUGCAUUUGAAAGGUUGAAGAAGGAAUUGAUUUCGGCCCCAAUUAUAACUUCGCCCAAUUGGUCACUACCAUUUGAAUUGAUGUGUGAUGCAAGUGAUUAUGCGGUUGGAGCAGUUUUGGGACAAAAGAAAGAAGGACGGUUGCACGUCAUUUACUAUGCUAGCAAGUUGCUAAAUGAGGCACAACUCAAUUAUGCAACUACAGAAAAAGAGCUAUUGGCAGUAAUAUAUGCUUUGGAUAAAUUUAGAUCUUAUUUAGUAGGAUCUAAAGUUAUUAUAUAUACGGACCAUGCGGCUCUUAAAUAUUUGUUACAUAAAAAAGAUGCAAAACCAAGAUUAAUUCGGUGGAUUCUUUUAUCACAGGAAUUUGAUGUGGAGAUAAAAGACAAAAAGGGAACGGAGAAUCUAGUAGCAGAUCAUCUAUCACGCCUAGAAUAUAUUCCAGUCAAGGAUCAAGUUCUUAUUCAAGAGAAUUUUCAGGAUGAGUUUGUCCUAGCAAUUAUCAAUUCUCCAUGGUAUGCUGAUAUUGCUAAUUUUUUGGUAAGUGGAGAGAUUCCAAGGGGAAGAAAUUCUUACAUGAUGUCAAAAGUUACUUUUGGGAGGAACCAUUGCUGUAUAAACAUUGUGCCGAUGGUAUGGUAUGUAGAUGUAUUCCCGAAAAUGAGGUACAUAAUAUUUUAUAUCAUUGUCAUAACCUUGAAACAGGUGGUCAUUUUAGCACUUCAAAAACUGUGGCAAAGGUAUGGCAAUCAGGGUUUUAUUGGCCAACUAUGUAUCGAGAUGUUCGGGAAUAUGUUAAAAGUUGUGAUGCAUGCCAAAGAAUUGGAAAUAUAUUUCGAAAGAAUGAAAUGCCCCUAACUACCUUCUUAGAAGUUGAAUUAUUUGAUACAUGGGGUAUAGACUUUAUGGGACCAUUUCCUAGUUCUUUUAAUAAUAAGUACAUCUUAGUAGCAGUGGAUUAUGUUUCUAAAUGGGUAGAAGCAAUUGCUUCACCUACUAAUGACUCUAAGAUUGUACUUAGAUUUCUUAAAAAGAAUAUUUUCAGUAGAUUUGGUAUACAAAGCCAUAAUAAGUGAUGAAGGAAAAUAUUUUUGUAACAAACAACUGGAUUCCUUAUUGUUUAAAUAUGGCUGUAGGCACAAGACAUCACUCCCGUACCAUCCUCAAGCCAAUGGACAAGCGGAGCUAGCUAAUCGUGAGAUAAAGCUCAUUUUGGAGAAAACUGUGAAUAAAUCACGCAAGGAUUGGGCUACAAAGCUAGAUGAUACACUAUGGGCUUACCGAACGGCAUUUAAGACUCCCUUAGGGAUGUCGCCGUAUCGUUUAGUCUAUGGAAAAUCUUGUCACUUACCUGUAAAGAUUGAACAUAAAGCUUAUUGGGCUAUUAAAGCAAUUAAUAUGGAUUUUAAUCUUGCAGGUGGAAGGAGAUUACUUGAGUUGAGUGAAUUGGAGAAACACCGGUUACAUGCAUACGAAAAUGCCAAAAUUUAUAAAGAAAAGAUCAAAUAUUGGCAUGACAAGCACAUUAUUCCUAAACAAUUUCAGGUAGGGCAAAAAGUACUUUUAUUCAAUUCACGCCUGAGGUUAUUUCCAGAAAAAUUGAAAUCAAGGUGGUCUGGAUCAUUUGAAGUCACUCAAGUAUUUCCCUAUGGAGUGGUUGAAGUGGCAAAUUCAAGAAAUGAAAGGUUUAAGGUCAAUGGACAACGAUUGAAACCCUACUUGGCAGGUGAAAUCGUACCCAAGGGGCUUAUAUGUCUUUUGGACGAGCCCUCUUCAAUUUAAGAACCCUAAUAUGUGAGUCGAGCCAACGACUAUAAACAAGAGCGCUAAUUGGGAGGCAACCCAAUGUUUAUGUUAUAUGUGUUAAUUUGGUAUGAUUUUGUGGUUUGAAUAAGUGUUUAAGUUAAGUUGUUGUUUUUGUAUUGUAGGGUUGACAAUUGGAAGCAAGAAUGACCAUUUGAGGAAAAAAAAAGCGAACUUUGAUCAAUCCACUCAACCCCUUCAUUUGCGUUAAAGGUGUAUUUGAUCCGUCGAAAAGGGGUAAAAUGCAUGUUUUUAUCAUUUUACAUGUGCGCACAUUGAUAAGUUUUGCAAACAAAUGAUCCAUGAUGCAUUUUGAGUGAUUGGGGUACCAAUGGUAAUUUUUUAAAGUUCAUUUUCUGCAAAAAAAAAUUGCAGAAGAAAACGCGCCUAGCAUAAAAACGCGCUUCUUUGUCGCGUUUUCAUCAAAACGCAUUUCAAAUUCUGCAACCACAAUGAAGAAAACGCGCUUAAAAACGCGACAUAGAGUCGCGUUUAUCAGAUAAAUCGCGUUUUCAAGCCUGGAUCAAGAUUCAAAAACGCGACUUUAGAAACGCGACUCAUUGUCGCGUUUUCCAACAUAGUCGCGUUUUCAUUCCUGCAAGAUUUGUGCAGGAAACGCGACUUAGAAAAUGCGAGUUGAAGGCGCGUUUCUAGUCGCGUUUUAUGUGUCCGAAUAUAACCUCCAGAAACGCGAUUUCAGCUUCAUUUCUUCUUCUCUUCUCCAUUUUUCAGGCGCGUUUUUCCUCCCUUUCUACCCAACUCACAAAUCUUCAUUUUUACUCCAUAAUCUUGCUAGAAAUCAUCACCCAACACCUUUUGAGCUUCAUACAACCUUUUUAACUAAUUAAAAUCCAAGAAAAACACCUCAAAUUCAGUUUUUGAAAGAUUGAAGGUUAGGGUUCUUCAACUCUAAUUUCUUCAACUGGAGGUCAAUCGGAGGUUGUUUCAUAGGGCUUUUUGCAUUUUUAGCAUCACCAAACAUCCUUCUACGUGAUUGAGGUAAGUUUUUUCAUCAAGUCUUUUGAUUUUUGAAAGUCAUAUUUUUUUAUCCUGAGCUAUCUGGCAUCUUUUAAUGUCGAAAAUUUGAUGAUGUAUUUGACUAUUUUUUAAUUUAUUCAUGCUUAUUGAGAUUUUUUAAGUAUGUUUAUGAGUUUAAAUGUAGCAAUUUAUUGGUCAUUAUUGCUUUAUUAAUUCAUAAUUGCUAUAUUUGAAGGAAAUCGGAAAAUGAAGUUAGGAUGUUUUUGAGCCAUUGGUGAUGUUUAAUUAUGGUUAAGAAUGGUUAGUUGAUGAUGUUUGAGCAUGUGCAUUGUGUAAAGUGAGUAAUUUGGUUGAUUUGGUGAGUUAAUUGGUUUAAUUUUUCCUUAAACAUGAUUAUAGCUAAAAGCAUAUUUUUAUCGUUAAGUUUAAAUAAUUAUAAUCAUAAUUGUUGCUAAUUUCACUGAUUGGGUUAUAAUUAUUCAAUAUCUUGUUUCAAUUGGUGAUUUUGAGCAAUUUUUGGCAUAAAUUAUGGCUCUUCUUGAUUCGGUCUUUUACAUUAGUUAUUGGACGAAUUAUCACUUGCAAGGACACAUUAGAGAUUAUUUGGAUCAUUUUAGGAUAUUCAUUGCCAAAUUGUGCAUUGUGUCUAAAUACAUGUGGUUAAUUGCAACAUUUUCUUUUAGGUACUAUGCCAAGGGGAAGAAGAGCGGUACUUUCAUCCUCUAAUAGUGAGGAGAGGGAGGUUAACGAGGAGAUGGAGGUGACUGAGGAGGAGAAUUCACCUUUUCCUCCACCAGUUAACCGACAGCCUGGCGAGGGCACCUCCCGUGGAGCGGGUAGAUCGGUAUUUGACGGUGCUAGAUUCAAUAAUCGCAGGAAUCAAGAAUAGCAUGAGGAGCAUGCUAACUUGGAGUUCUUGUUUGAGAUGCAUGUCAACCCAACAGUUGAGAUGAUGUAUAACAUCUCAGAGGCUUUUGCUCAGCUGGGAUGGGCGCCGAUUCUCACCCUACCAAACUAUUACUACCCCGACUUGGUGCGCGAGUUUUACGCUAACAUUGAGAGUAAGGCGCGUCAUAGUGGAGAAAUAGUUGAGUCCUGGGUACGUGGAAGACAAAUCACCUUGUCAUGUCAAGAUUUGGCCGCUAUUUUGGGGUGUAUGGAUGCCGGCCGUCCGGUAAAUUUGAAGAAGGAGUUUGUUCCCCUGAAUAGGAGGUGGGAUCCCUCGCUGGCCAUGGCCAGGUUUGGUCUUGAGUGCCAACCUUUUCGCUCUACAAGGAAGGAGACCAUUUUGGCAAAUGUCUUCGAACCUUAUCAUCGGCUUAUCAUUUACAUGAUGGCUCACAAUGUCAUCCCAAAGAAGACGGGGUAAACGGAGGUUCGCAAGAGCGAUAUUUACUUCCUUGAUUACAUGUUCCACAACCGAACUUCCCCGUAUACUCGAAUUUCAUUGCCGAACAUCAUCAUCAGCCACAUUAGGUCUACAGCGAGGCGUAAGACAACUUCCUUCAAACUUUCAUUUCCUCGUCUACUGACUUUAAUCUUCCCCCGUUUUGAGGUUCGCUUGGAAGGCAUGCUGCGGGAGUAUGUUCCACCACGUGCUGAGAUGACUAUCACUACUUUUCGCCGCCUUGGUAUUGGCACGAGGGACAUUCCACGCCCUGUUCAGGAGCGGAGACAGAAGGCUAGACAUGGUCGGGAUGAAGCUGGACCAUCUACUGCAGCACCACCUCCUCUUCUGCCACAAACCAAUUGGCAGCGGCUUUUUGUUCGCUUGAACGACAUCGACCAUCAUUUAGCCCUACUAGAUACUCGCCUGGACCACAUUGAACAUCAUCUAGGCUUACAUCCACCUCCCGUCGAUGAUGAUGAAGAUGACGAUGAAGAGGAUGAUUGAGGCUGCCCUUUGGCUGGCUUUUCUUUUGUUUGCUUGUUUGCGUGUUAUUUUUAUCUUUUGUUUGAAAAAUGUUAACUUACAUUCCUUAUUUUGAAUAUUGGAACUUGCGGCAGUAACUAGUAGAUCGUUUACUGUAGAUGGUUGAGCGGUCGAUGGCUCAUGAUUCAACUGGACCGCAGCCAUAUCACUUGGGGAGUCACUUGUUCCUUUCUUUUGUUUCUUUUCUUUUCUUUCCCUACACAUUGAGGACAAUGUGUAUUCUAAGUGUGGGGGAAGAAAUGUGUGGUACUUGUGAUUUUAGUUGUGUUUGAGGUUGGAAAUAUUUCUGAUGCUUCAAUUUUGUUUCUUAUGGUUUGCUGGCAGGGAGUUUAGUCCACUUUUAAGGGGAAACUCUGUCAAAAUUUUUCCAAAGCCUUAUACUUAUAUAUAUAUAUAUAUAUAUAUAUAUAUAUAAUUAUAAAUAAACAAAUAAAAUUUUGUCACUUAUCCUUUUUGAAAUAGAUAUAUGUGGUUUUGAAACUUCUUUUCUCAGUUAACUUGGAAAUGAUUAUUAUGUGAUUAUAAUUUUUACAUUUGUAGGAAAGUAUAUCUAGUAAAGUAGAGAAAAUUAUGCCUAAAUUUUGCAUAUUUGAUUAAAUUUCUUCUUUUUAUUUGAUUUUACAAGUUAAGGAAUUAAUAUGGUCAAUAAGUGUUACUCUCUUCUCAUGAUUGCUUUUUAGAGGGAAUUUUAUUAUUUCUUUCUCUAUAUAUAUAUAUAUAUAUUUUGUUUCAUAAAAAAAAUUAUUCUACUCCAAUGGUUCUUGUACUUAGUAACCGGGAGUCGUCAUCUACAAAUAUCGACUUUCGCGUAAAACGGUACUUGAAUUAAGAGUAUGAAAAGCAACUUGAGUAUGUGAAAUAUUGAGUAACCGGUGAUUUUCAUCUAAAAAUAUGGAUCUUCGCGUCAAAAGGUAUUUUUCACAACUUAAGUAGUAUUUAACUCUUAAAAUAUAUAAAACAAAAAAAAAUAAUAAAAUAAAAGAAAAUAAAUCCUUAUUUAAGAAAAAAGAAGUUGAUCAUGAGAUUAGUUAGCAUCUUUAUUGACUAUAUGAGUUACUUGCUUGUAAAAUUGGGUAAAAAUGAGAAAUUGAGUUGAAUUAGUAAAAUUAUGGUAUACUUGACUCUUCUUUGCUUGAUAUUAUGAGUACUUGAGGUUAAUUGAAAGAUCACAUAAGGGUUGUUUACCUUGAUUCAAGGAAAUGAAGUUGAAAUGCUACAUAUGUGUAUUUUUAAUCUUUGGAUCAUUGAUGGUUGGAAUUUCAUAUUGCUUGAGGACAAGCAAUGAUUCAAGUGUGGGGGUAUUUGAUAAGAGUUUAUUUUACGUAUUUUUAAGUGCAUUUUAUUAGUUAAUUUUGAGUUGAUUAUUUAGUUUUAUAAAUAAAAUAAAGAGGUUUUUGGUAAAAUUAUAUAUUUUUGGUAAAAGUGGAUAACAUUGCAUUUUUAGUGAUUUUAAUGAUAAAAACUUCAUUUUUAUGCAAGAAUGAUGAUUCAAUCACCAAAGGAUGUCAAAUGAGAUGAAAAAUAGAAAUUUGGUGAUGAAUUCAAGUGGUAACAAGAAGAAUGAAGUGAAAAACGUUCAAGUGAGGAAAUGCAAUACAAAUCAGUUUUGACACUCUUCGGUAUUUUGAUCAUAUCUGGAGCUACACUUUUCGAAUUGAGGUGAUCUUUAUACCAUUUUAAAGCUAAGAAAGAGACCUACAAUUCGUAUGAAGACAUCGAAAUCCAAUUCUGCCAUUUUCAUGGACAAAAAGUCAGAAUACAGAAGCUGCACUCUGUGGUCGGAAUUGGAAAAAAAGGUUUGACCAGGUGAUAGUAUUUCUACCAUAUCUCAGGCUGCACAACUCCGAUUUGGAUGAUUUUUAUAGCAUUGGAAAGCUAACUCAAAGGGUUACAACUUUUGUGUUUUGCACAAAAGCCAGUUCGGCCUUCAUCAUGGAGAAAAUUGCAGUUGAAAUAAGGCCAGAGUGAAAAUGCGAGUAUACAAAACGCGAGUUUAUUCCGCGUUUUGUGUAGGCGCGUUUUGUAGCCGAAAAUCUGCAAUUUGCUCAGCCAUUUCUCUUGUGUUCAGACUACUUUCCAGCUAUAAGUUGCAAGGGAAUUCGGUGCACAUGCUUCAGAAGACCAAAGGGCAAGAAAGGGGCUUAUUUUCAAGUAAAAAAAUAUUGAUUUUUGACUAUGCUAACAAAGUGGAGAUUUGGGAAUCAAAGGUUAGAAUUUGACUUAGAAAAAUGGAGCCUUUGAGUAGUUUUUAUGCAGAGACAUUGAGGGAGGUCUAGGGAUCCAGACGUAGCUAGUAUUCUCACUAAAAAGAAAACAUAGUUUCUCUAGCUAGGUACUUGCAAGGGGCAAUUGAGGUUUCAUCUUGUAAUCAUCUAAGUUCAAGACAAAGGAGAUUUUUGGAAGGCUUCACCAUAUUUUAGCUAAGACUUUCUUUACUCUUUUUGUAUUUGUAAUUCAUGACGAUUUACAUUAAUGAAGUUAUGAGUGUUUCAUCAUUCAUGAGUAGCUAAUUUCCUUUAUCUAGGGAGUAGAUGAAACUUAUGGCCAAGUGAUAUGAAGUGAUUGUGAUUUAUACUUGUUAGAUCUUGUAUUAACCUAUCUACUUGUGUAUGUUGGAUUACUCGUUGUUGUUUGAUCACCAAUAGCAGGUUUAUAGUUGUUUUUACUCAUUGAGAAAUGGUAACAAUAAUGGAAUGACAUAAGUAGAGCUUGAGUAGUAUAUUCAUGAGAAUAGAAAUACAUUCAAGUGGAUGAAAUCUACAUUUCCUGUGUGUACAAAACAGAUUUAGUAUUUACCAAGAGAUUAGGAAAAACUAAUCUGUUUCAACCCAUUAUUAUCAUGAGAAUGUGGUUUUGGUAUUGUUGGAAAUGAAUCCUUGGUCAAACAAGAGUAGUAACAAGUGUUAAAUUCAUUCGUUUUAGAUCUUUUGUGUUAUAUGUGGAAUCUACAUCCCUAGAUCUUAAUAUUUAGUGAAUUCUACUCCUAUUGUGAAAUUGCAUUUAUCUACUUAAGAAUUUUUGUAGUUGAAUUAAAUUCUGAAUUUUCUGCUCAAAUUUAUUGUGAGUCUAAAUAAUAGAGUAAAUUAGUGUCUAAUAAUUAUUUUAAUUGCUUCUCGUGGGAUCGACCCGAUACACAUCUUGUACUACAAUUGCGACCUGUAUACUUGCAGUCCAACGGGUGUAAAAUCGGAAUUGAACUUGCAUUGAUAUAAAAAAAUUCCGUCAAGUUUUUGGCGCCGUUGCCGGGGAGCGGUAAUAUUAGGGCCUAAUCAUCUCUAUUAAUUUAGAUAUUUUUCAUUGUUUUUAUUCAAGUUGUUGAAUUUAAACUGUAAAAUUUCUCUUGUUUUUGUUUGUAGUGUUUGCACCGGGCGUCUCGAGAAUUUGCACUUUUCGAUCCAGAAAUUGAGAGGACACUACAUAGACAAAGGAGGAACACACUACAGCAAGAGGAACAAGAGAUUUGGCAACCAAUAGAGGAAAUCUUAAUAGAGCUUCCAUUUGAAGAAGAAAUGGCAGAAAACGAAACAAAUGGGCGAGUUCUACGAGAUUUUGCUCUACCGGAAACACAAGAAUCUCAAACGAGCAUAGCAAGGCCUUCGGUAAAUGCUAACAACUUUGAGAUUAAACUAUCACUUAUCCAAAUGGUUCAACAAUCUCAAUUUGGAGGUAAUGCAGUAGAAGAUCCUAAUACACACUUAGCUACAUUCUUGGAAAUUUGUGAUACAAUUAAAAUGAAUGGAGUUAGUGAUGAUGCUAUAAGGCUAAGAUUGUUCCCAUUUUCAUUGAGAGAUAAGGCCAAACUUUGGCUACACUCUCACGCUCCUAAUACUUUCACCGGAUGGGAUGAUUUAUCAAGAGCAUUCUUAAAUAAGUAUUUUUCACCAGGUAAGACUGCUAAGCUUAGAAUGGAUAUCACUAGUUUUAGUCAAUUAGAAGGUGAAUCAUUAUAUGAGGAAUGGGAAAGGUUUAGAGAUUUGCUUCGGAAAUGUCCACAUCAUGGACUGCCGGAGUGGUUAAUCAUACAAACCUUCUAUAAUGGUUUAGUUCCAAUGAUACGAUUGAAUUCCCAGGCAAAGGUUUCCACUUUGGUCCACACUUUUUCUUUGUUACAAUUGAAUAAAUUUUCUCACUUCAAAAUUUUCAUCUUUAGUUCACACUUUCCCUCUAUUCUUUCUCAUCGUUCGGUUGGGUUUGAGUGCUGCCAUAUGCAGACACAACAAAAGAAUUAGCGACGGUGGUAGCCAGCCAAAGAGCAUAUGAAAAAUAGCAGUGACGAGGUUAGAUCAUCAAGUUCUCUUGAAAUCGUUUGAUUAUAUUGCUGUAAUUUAUUUAUAUUUCAUUUGUUUUGUUUGUCAAGAUUUUCUUGGGUAAUCAAGGCUAAGAAUUUGAAGAUUUUAGUGCAAUUUUGGGGCCGAAAAUGUCCGUUGAAACAUCUAGGAAAUGGUUGUAGUUUUGAUUGUUUACGGGUAAAAUAUGCUUAAUAGCCAUGUGAAACAUCUAGGAAUAGACUUAAGACCAGGCGUUUAAGUUAAAUGUGAUUAAUUUGUGAAUGCAUAUAAGAUGUUUGGUGAAAUGUCAAAGAGAAAUUUGUAUGUUGUGAUUGCUACUCUGUGCGGGUGAGAAUUACUAAUAUAUUAAUAAUUCAACAUGAGCUUUAUAACUUGAAUUCUUCAGGCAAGAGAGAUUUCUCCCGUUUUGAAAUUCUAAGUUGAUAUGCUUGAUGGAGCAGAUGUUAUUGAACUGAACUGGUCUAAAAUCAUUGUUGCGAAUCUGUUGUUUCUAUGAAAAUUUAUUAUCAGCCUCUUGAAUUUUUUACUCCAUGUUAACGUCUGCAAUGCCACGGAAAUUUGGCCAUCUAUGGAAAUUUAUUAUCAGCCUCUUGAAUUUUUUACUCCACUGUAACGUCUGCAAUGCCAUGGAAAUUUGGCCAUUAUUACUCUUGUAAAUCUGUUGCCGGGGAGCGGCAAUAUUAUGGCCUAAUCAUCUCUAUUAAUUUAGAUAUUUUUCAUUAUUUUUAUUCAAGUUGUUGAAUUUAAACUGUAAAAUUUCUCUUGUUUUUAUUUGUAGUGUAUGCACCGGGCGUCUCGAGAAGUUGCACUUUUCGAUCCAGAAAUUGAGAGGACACUACAUAGACAAAGGAGGAGCACACUACAGCAAGAGGAACAGGGGAUUUGGCAACCAAUAGAGGAAAUCUUAAUAGAGCUUCCAUUUGAAGAAGAAAUGGCAGAAAACGAAGCAAAUGGGCGAGUUCUACGAGAUUUUGCUCUACCGGGAACACAAGGAUCUCAAACGAGCAUAGCAAGGCCUUCGGUAAAUACUAACAACUUUGAGAUUAAACUAUCACUUAUCCAAAUAGUUCAACAAUCUCAAUUUAGAGGUAAUGCAGUAGAAGAUUCAAAUACACACUUAGCUACAUUUUUGGAAAUUUGUGAUACAAUUAAAAUGAAUGGAGUUAGUGAUAAUGCUAUAAGGCUAAGAUUGUUCCCAUUUUCAUUGAGAGAUAAGGCCAAACUUUGGCUACACUCUCACGCUCCUAAUACUUUCACCGGAUGGGAUGAUUUAUCAAGAACAUUCUUAAAUAAGUAUUUUCCACCAGGUAAGACUGCUAAGCUUAGAAUGGAUAUCACUAGUUUUAAUCAAUUAGAAGGUGAAUCAUUAUAUGAGGCAUGGGAAAGGUUUAGACAUUUGCUUCGGAAAUGUCCACAUCAUGGACUGCCGGAGUGGUUAAUCAUACAAACCUUCUAUAAUGGUUUAGUUUUUUCUACUAAAACUAUAAUCGAUGCAGCUGCAGGUGGAGCUUUAAUGGGUAAAUCACCCCAAGAAGCUCAUAAUUUGAUAGAAGAAAUGGCAGCAAAUAACUACCAAUGGGCCAAUGAGAGAGGUAAUACAAGACGUCACGCAGGUAUGAUAGAAAUGGACACUCUCAAUAUGUUGAGUGCUCAAAUGAAUAAUGUGAUGAAGUUGCUAAGUAGACAAGGUGGAGUUGGUCCAAGUUCAUCUAAUGCACAUGUAGCAUGUUGUUCUAUAUGUGGAUGUGAAUAUGAUACUAAUGAGUGUGUUGAUUCUGAGCAGGUACAAUUCGUCAAUAAUUACAAUCGUAAUGCUCAAAAUAACCCCCACUCGAGUACUUACAAUCCAGGGUGGAGAAAUCAUCCAAACUUUGGAUGGAAGGAUCAAGGAAAUCAACUAAGGCCAGCCAAUCCACCGGGAUUUCAAUCAAGGCAACAACAAGCUGAAACUAAACCUGGUUGGGAAAUGGCAGUGGAAAAGCUCGCAAAAGUUACUUCAGACAGAUUUGAGCGAGUAGAAGGAAGAUUGGACCAACUCACUACAAUGUACAGGAAUGUAGAGGUCCAAAUUGGUCAAAUUGCUAGUUUUUUGAAUAAUCGUAUCAAGGAGAAUUACCUAGCAAAACGGAGGUAAAUCCUAAGGAGCAUGUCAAAGCCAUUACUCUUCGUAGUGGUAAGCAAUUAGAAGAUCCUCCAGUGAUUGAAGUUGAGAAAGAUGAGAAUGAAAAACAGGAAAAAAAGCAGAGGAACCAAGAAGCGAUAGUGGAAGAAAAUAAGCCCCCUUUCUUGCCCUUUGGUCUUCUGAAGCAUGUGCACCGAAUUCCCUUGCAACUUAUAGCUGGAAAGUAGUCUGAACACAAGAGAAAUGGCUGAGCAAAUUGCAGAUUUUCGGCUACAAAACGCGCCUACACAAAACGCGGAAUAAACUCGCGUUUUGUAUACUCGCAUUUUCACUCUGGCCUUAUUUCAACUGCACUUUUCUCUAUGAUGAAGGCCGAACUGGCUUUUGUGCAAAACACAAAAGUUGUAACCCUUUGAGUUAGCUUUCCAAUGCUAUAAAAAUCAUCCAAAUCGGAGUUGUGCAGCCUGAGAUAUGGUAGAAAUACUAUCACUUGGUCAAACCUUUUUUUCCAAUUCCGACCACAGAGUGCAGCUUCUGUAUUCCGACUUUUUGUCCAUGAAAAUGGCAGAAUUGGAUUUCGAUGUCUCCAUACGAAUUGUAGGUCUCUUUCUUAGCUUUAAAAUGGUAUAAAGAUCACCUCAAGUCGAAAAGUGUAGCUCCAGAUAUGAUCAAAAUACCGAAGAGUGUCAAAACUGAUUUGUAUUGCAUUUCCUCACUUGAACGUUUUUCACUUCAUUCUUCUUGUUACCACUUGAAUUCAUCACCAAAUUUCUAUUUUUCAUCUCAUUUGACAUCCUUUGGUGAUUGAAUCAUCAUUCUUGCAUAAAAAUGAAGUUUUUAUCAUUAAAAUCACUAAAAAUGCAAUGUUAUCCACUUUUACCAAAAAUAUAUAAUUUUACCAAAAAUCUCUUUAUUUUAUUUAUAAAACUAAAUAAUCAACUCAAAAUUAACUAAUAAAAUGCACUUAAAAAUACGUAAAAUAAACUCUUAUCAAAUACCCCCACACUUGAAUCAUUGCUUGUCCUCAAGCAAUAUGAAAUUCCAACCAUCAAUGAUCCAAAGAUUAAAAAUACACAUAUGUAGCAUUUCAACUUCAUUUCCUUGAAUCAAGGUAAAUAACCCUUGUGUGAUCUUUCAAUUAAUCUCAAGUACUCAUAAUAUCAAGCAAAGAAGAGCCAAGUAUACCAUAAUUUUACUAAUUCAACUCAAUUUCUCAUUUUUACCCAAUUUUACAAGCAAGUAACUCAUAUAGUCAAUAAAGAUGCUAACUAAUCUCAUGAUCAACUUCUUUUUUCUUAAAUAGGGAUUUAUUUUCUUUUAUUUUAUUAUUUAUUUUAUUAUUUUUUUGUUUUAUAUAUUUUAAGAGUUAAAUACUCCUCAAAUGGUCAUUCUUGCUUCCAAUUGUCAACCCUACAAUACAAAAACAACAACUUAACUUAAACACUUAUUCAAACCACAAAAUCAUACCAAAUUAACACAUAUAACAUAAACAUUGGGUUGCCUCCCAAUUAGCGCUCUUGUUUAUAGUCGUUGGCUCGACUCACAUAUUAGGGUUCUUAAAUUGAAGAGGACUCGCCCAAAAGACAUAUAAGCCCCUUGGGUACGAUUUCACCUGCCAAGUAGGGUUUCAAUCGUUGUCCAUUGACCUUAAACCUUUCAUUUCUUGAAUUUGCCACUUCAACCACUCCAUAGGGAAAUACUUGAGUGAUUUCAAAUGGUCCAGACCACCUUGACUUCAAUUUUCCUGGAAAUAACCUCAGGCGUGAAUUGAAUAAAAGCACUUUUUGCCCUACCUGAAAUUGUUUAGGAAUAAUGUGCUUGUCAUGCCAAUAUUUGAUCUUUUCUUUAUAAAUUUUGGCAUUUUCGUAUGCAUGUAACCGGUGUUUCUCCAAUUCACUCAACUCAAGUAAUCUCCUUCCACCUGCAAGAUUAAAAUCUAUAUUAAUUGCUUUAAUAGCCCAAUAAGCUUUAUGUUCAAUCUUUACAGGUAAGUGACAAGAUUUUUCAUAGACUAAACGAUACGGCGACAUCCCUAAGGGAGUCUUAAAUGCCGUUCGGUAAGCCCAUAGUGUAUCAUCUAGCUUUGUAGCCCAAUCCUUGCGUGAUUUAUUCACAGUUUUCUUCAAAAUGAGCUUUAUCUCACGAUUAGCUAGCUCCGCUUGUCCAUUGGCUUGAGGAUGGUACGGGAGUGAUGUCUUGUGCCUACAGCCAUAUUUAAACAAUAAGGAAUCCAGUUGUUUGUUACAAAAAUGUUUUCCUUCAUCACUUAUUAUGGCUUUGUAUACCAAAUUUACUAAAAAUAUUCUUUUUAAGAAAUCUAAGUACAAUCUUAGAGUCAUUAGUAGGUGAAGCAAUUGCUUCUACCCAUUUAGAAACAUAAUCCACUGCUACUAAGAUGUACUUAUUAUUAAAAGAACUAGGAAAUGGUCCCAUAAAGUCUAUACCCCAUGUAUCAAAUAAUUCAACUUCUAAGAAGGUAGUUAGGGGCAUUUCAUUCUUUCGAGAUAUAUUUCCAGUUCUUUGGCAUGCAUCACAACUUUUAACAUAUUCCCGAACAUCUCGAUACAUAGUUGGCCAAUAAAACCCUGAUUGCCAUACCUUUGCCACAGUUUUUGAAGUGCUAAAAUGACCACCUGUUUCAAGGUUAUGACAAUGAUAUAAAAUAUUAUGUACCUCAUUUUCGGGAAUACAUCUACAUACCAUACCAUCGGCACAAUGUUUAUACAGCAAUGGUUCCUCCCAAAAGUAACUUUUGACAUCAUGUAAGAAUUUCUUCUUUUGAUGGUAAUUAAAUCCCUUUGGAAUCUCUCCACUUACCAAAAAAUUAGCAAUAUCAGCAUACCAUGGAGAAUUGAUAAUUGCUAGGACAAACUCAUCCUGAAAAUUCUCUUGAAUAAGAACUUGAUCCUUGACUGGAAUAUAUUCUAGGCGUGAUAGAUGAUCUGCUACUAGAUUCUCCGUUCCCUUUUUGUCUUUUAUCUCCACAUCAAAUUCCUGCGAUAAAAGAAUCCACCGAAUUAAUCUUGGUUUUGCAUCUUUUUUAUGUAACAAAUAUUUAAGAGCCGCAUGGUCCGUAUAUAUAAUAACUUUAGAUCCUACUAAAUAAGAUCUAAAUUUAUCCAAAGCAUAUAUUACUGCCAAUAGCUCUUUUUCUGUAGUUGCAUAAUUGAGUUGUGCCUCAUUUAGCAACUUGCUAGCAUAGUAAAUGACGUGCAACCGUCCUUCUUUCUUUUGUCCCAAAACUGCUCCAACCGCAUAAUCACUUGCAUCACACAUCAAUCAGCCUCUUGAAUUUUUUACUCCAUGUUAACGUCUGCAAUGCCACGGAAAUUUGGCCAUCUAUGGAAAUUUAUUAUCAGCCUCUUGAAUUUUUUACUCCACUGUAACGUCUGCAAUGCCAUGGAAAUUUGGCCAUUAUUACUCUUGUAAAUCUGUUGCCGGGGAGCGGCAAUAUUAUGGCCUAAUCAUCUCUAUUAAUUUAGAUAUUUUUCAUUAUUUUUAUUCAAGUUGUUGAAUUUAAACUGUAAAAUUUCUCUUGUUUUUAUUUGUAGUGUAUGCACCGGGCGUCUCGAGAAGUUGCACUUUUCGAUCCAGAAAUUGAGAGGACACUACAUAGACAAAGGAGGAGCACACUACAGCAAGAGGAACAGGGGAUUUGGCAACCAAUAGAGGAAAUCUUAAUAGAGCUUCCAUUUGAAGAAGAAAUGGCAGAAAACGAAGCAAAUGGGCGAGUUCUACGAGAUUUUGCUCUACCGGGAACACAAGGAUCUCAAACGAGCAUAGCAAGGCCUUCGGUAAAUACUAACAACUUUGAGAUUAAACUAUCACUUAUCCAAAUAGUUCAACAAUCUCAAUUUAGAGGUAAUGCAGUAGAAGAUUCAAAUACACACUUAGCUACAUUUUUGGAAAUUUGUGAUACAAUUAAAAUGAAUGGAGUUAGUGAUAAUGCUAUAAGGCUAAGAUUGUUCCCAUUUUCAUUGAGAGAUAAGGCCAAACUUUGGCUACACUCUCACGCUCCUAAUACUUUCACCGGAUGGGAUGAUUUAUCAAGAACAUUCUUAAAUAAGUAUUUUCCACCAGGUAAGACUGCUAAGCUUAGAAUGGAUAUCACUAGUUUUAAUCAAUUAGAAGGUGAAUCAUUAUAUGAGGCAUGGGAAAGGUUUAGACAUUUGCUUCGGAAAUGUCCACAUCAUGGACUGCCGGAGUGGUUAAUCAUACAAACCUUCUAUAAUGGUUUAGUUUUUUCUACUAAAACUAUAAUCGAUGCAGCUGCAGGUGGAGCUUUAAUGGGUAAAUCACCCCAAGAAGCUCAUAAUUUGAUAGAAGAAAUGGCAGCAAAUAACUACCAAUGGGCCAAUGAGAGAGGUAAUACAAGACGUCACGCAGGUAUGAUAGAAAUGGACACUCUCAAUAUGUUGAGUGCUCAAAUGAAUAAUGUGAUGAAGUUGCUAAGUAGACAAGGUGGAGUUGGUCCAAGUUCAUCUAAUGCACAUGUAGCAUGUUGUUCUAUAUGUGGAUGUGAAUAUGAUACUAAUGAGUGUGUUGAUUCUGAGCAGGUACAAUUCGUCAAUAAUUACAAUCGUAAUGCUCAAAUAACCCCCACUCGAGUACUUACAAUCCAGGGUGGAGAAAUCAUCCAAACUUUGGAUGGAAGGAUCAAGGAAAUCAACUAAGGCCAGCCAAUCCACCGGGAUUUCAAUCAAGGCAACAACAAGCUGAAACUAAACCUGGUUGGGAAAUGGCAGUGGAAAAGCUCGCAAAAGUUACUUCAGACAGAUUUGAGCGAGUAGAAGGAAGAUUGGACCAACUCACUACAAUGUACAGGAAUGUAGAGGUCCAAAUUGGUCAAAUUGCUAGUUUUUGAAUAAUCGUAUCAAGGAGAAUUACCUAGCAAAACGGAGGUAAAUCCUAAGGAGCAUGUCAAAGCCAUUACUCUUCGUAGUGGUAAGCAAUUAGAAGAUCCUCCAGUGAUUGAAGUUGAGAAAGAUGAGAAUGAAAAACAGGAAAAAAAGCAGAGGAACCAAGAAGCGAUAGUGGAAGAAAAUAAGCCCCCUUUCUUGCCCUUUGGUCUUCUGAAGCAUGUGCACCGAAUUCCCUUGCAACUUAUAGCUGGAAAGUAGUCUGAACACAAGAGAAAUGGCUGAGCAAAUUGCAGAUUUUCGGCUACAAAACGCGCCUACACAAAACGCGGAAUAAACUCGCGUUUUGUAUACUCGCAUUUUCACUCUGGCCUUAUUUCAACUGCACUUUUCUCUAUGAUGAAGGCCGAACUGGCUUUUGUGCAAAACACAAAAGUUGUAACCCUUUGAGUUAGCUUUCCAAUGCUAUAAAAAUCAUCCAAAUCGGAGUUGUGCAGCCUGAGAUAUGGUAGAAAUACUAUCACUUGGUCAAACCUUUUUUUCCAAUUCCGACCACAGAGUGCAGCUUCUGUAUUCCGACUUUUUGUCCAUGAAAAUGGCAGAAUUGGAUUUCGAUGUCUCCAUACGAAUUGUAGGUCUCUUUCUUAGCUUUAAAAUGGUAUAAAGAUCACCUCAAGUCGAAAAGUGUAGCUCCAGAUAUGAUCAAAAUACCGAAGAGUGUCAAAACUGAUUUGUAUUGCAUUUCCUCACUUGAACGUUUUUCACUUCAUUCUUCUUGUUACCACUUGAAUUCAUCACCAAAUUUCUAUUUUUCAUCUCAUUUGACAUCCUUUGGUGAUUGAAUCAUCAUUCUUGCAUAAAAAUGAAGUUUUUAUCAUUAAAAUCACUAAAAAUGCAAUGUUAUCCACUUUUACCAAAAAUAUAUAAUUUUACCAAAAAUCUCUUUAUUUUAUUUAUAAAACUAAAUAAUCAACUCAAAAUUAACUAAUAAAAUGCACUUAAAAAUACGUAAAAUAAACUCUUAUCAAAUACCCCCACACUUGAAUCAUUGCUUGUCCUCAAGCAAUAUGAAAUUCCAACCAUCAAUGAUCCAAAGAUUAAAAAUACACAUAUGUAGCAUUUCAACUUCAUUUCCUUGAAUCAAGGUAAAUAACCCUUGUGUGAUCUUUCAAUUAAUCUCAAGUACUCAUAAUAUCAAGCAAAGAAGAGCCAAGUAUACCAUAAUUUUACUAAUUCAACUCAAUUUCUCAUUUUUACCCAAUUUUACAAGCAAGUAACUCAUAUAGUCAAUAAAGAUGCUAACUAAUCUCAUGAUCAACUUCUUUUUUCUUAAAUAGGGAUUUAUUUUCUUUUAUUUUAUUAUUUAUUUUAUUAUUUUUUUGUUUUAUAUAUUUUAAGAGUUAAAUACUCCUCAAAAUGGUCAUUCUUGCUUCCAAUUGUCAACCCUACAAUACAAAAACAACAACUUAACUUAAACACUUAUUCAAACCACAAAAUCAUACCAAAUUAACACAUAUAACAUAAACAUUGGGUUGCCUCCCAAUUAGCGCUCUUGUUUAUAGUCGUUGGCUCGACUCACAUAUUAGGGUUCUUAAAUUGAAGAGGCUCGCCCAAAAGACAUAUAAGCCCCUUGGGUACGAUUUCACCUGCCAAGUAGGGUUUCAAUCGUUGUCCAUUGACCUUAAACCUUUCAUUUCUUGAAUUUGCCACUUCAACCGCUCCAUAGGGAAAUACUUGAGUGACUUCAAAUGGUCCAGACCACCUUGACUUCAAUUUUCCUGGAAAUAACCUCAGGCGUGAAUUGAAUAAAAGCACUUUUUGCCCUACCUGAAAUUGUUUAGGAAUAAUGUGCUUGUCAUGCCAAUAUUUGAUCUUUUCUUUAUAAAUUUUGGCAUUUUCGUAUGCAUGUAACCGGUGUUCUCCAAUUCACUCAGCUCAAGUAAUCUCCUUCCACCUGCAAGAUUAAAAUCCAUAUUAAUUGCUUUAAUAGCCCAAUAAGCUUUAUGUUCAAUCUCUACAGGUAAGUGACAAGAUUUUCCAUAGACUAAACGAUACGGCGACAUCCCUAAGGGAGUCUUAAAUGCCGUUCGGUAAGCCCAUAGUGUGUCAUCUAGCUUUGUAGCCCAAUCCUUGCGUGAUUUAUUCACAGUUUUCUCCAAAAUGAGCUUUAUCUCACGAUUAGCUAGCUCCGCUUGUCCAUUGGCUUGAGGAUGGUACGGGAGUGAUGUCUUGUGCCUACAGCCAUAUUUAAACAAUAAGGAAUCCAGUUGUUUGUUACAAAAAUGUUUUCCUUCAUCACUUAUUAUGGCUUAGUAUACCAAAUCUACUGAAAAUAUUCUUUUUAAGGAAUCUAAGUACAAUCUUAGAGUCAUUAGUAGGUGAAGCGAUUGCUUCUACCCAUUUAGAAACAUAAUCCACUGCUACUAAGAUGUACUUAUUAUUAAAAGAACUAGGAAAUGGUCCCAUAAAGUCUAUACCCCAUAUAUCAAAUAAUUCAACUUCUAAGAAGGUAGUUAGGGGCAUUUCAUUCUUUCGAGAUAUAUUUCCAGUUCUUUGGCAUGCAUCACAACUUUUAACAUAUUCCCGAACAUCUCGAUACAUAGUUGGCCAAUAAAACCCUGAUUGCCAUACCUUUGCCACAGUUUUUGAAGUGCUAAAAUGACCACCUGUUUCAAGGUUAUGACAAUGAUAUAAAAUAUUAUGUACCUCAUUUUCGGGAAUACAUCUACACCAUACCAUCGGCACAAUGUUUAUACAGCAAUGGUUCCUCCCAAAAGUAACUUUUGACAUCAUGUAAGAAUUUCUUCUUUUGAUGGUAAUUAAAUCCCUUGGAAUCUCUCCACUUACCAAAAAAUUAGCAAUAUCAGCAUACCAUGGAGAAUUGAUAAUUGCUAGGACAAACUCAUCCGAAAUUCUCUUGAAUAGAACUUGAUCCUUGACUGGAAUAUAUUCUAGGCGUGAUAGAUGAUCUGCUACUAGAUUCUCCGUUCCCUUUUUGUCUUUUAUCUCCACAUCAAAUUCCUGCAAUAAAAGAAUCCACCGAAUUAUCUUGGUUUUGCAUCUUUUUUAUGUAACAAAUAUUUAAGAGCCGCAUGGUCCGUAUAUAUAAUAACUUUAGAUCCUACUAAAUAAGAUCUAAAUUUAUCCAAAGCAAAUAUCACUGCCAAUAGCUCUUUUUCUGUAGUUGCAUAAUUGAGUUGUGCCUCAUUUAGCAACUUGCUAGCAUAGUAAAUGACGUGCAACCGUCCUUCUUUCUUUUGUCCCAAAACUGCUCCAACCGCAUAAUCACUUGCAUCACACAUCAAUUCAAAUGGUAGUGACCAAUCGGGCGAAGUUAUAAUUGGGGCCGAAAUCAAUUCCUUCUUCAACCUUUCAAAUGCAACCAAACAAUUGUCAUCAAAUUGAAAAGGGGUAUCUUUACAUAAUAAAUCACAUAAUGGCUUUACUAUUUUAGAAAAAUCUUUAAUAAAACGUCUAUAAAAGCCAGCAUGUCCUAAAAAACUCCUUAUCCCCUUGACAUUGCUUGGGGGUGGCAAUUUUUCGAUAACUUCUAUUUUGGCUUGAUCCACCUCAAUUCCCUUGGAGGAAAUCUUGUGCCUAAGACAAUUCCUUCUUUUACCAUAAAAUGGCAUUUCUCCCAAUUCAACAAGAUUUGUUUCCUCGCAUCUCUGCAAAAUCAAUUCCAAAUUAUGAAGACAAUGGUCAAAAGAUGAACCAUACACAGAAAAAUCAUCCAUAAAUAUCUCCAUAAUUUUCUCAAUAUAAUCAGAAAAAAUAGCCAUCAUGCAUCGUUGAAAAGUUGCAGGAGCAUUGCAUAAACCAAAUGGCAUUCUUCUAAAGGCAAAAGUGCCAUAAGGACAUGUAAAUGUAGUCUUCUCUUGAUCCUCUGGAGCUAUAGCUAUUUGAUUAUAUCCUGAAAAACAUCAAGAAAGCAGUAAAAUUCAUAUCCAGCUAUUCGCUCCAAUAAUUGAUCAAGAAAUGGUAGGGGAAAAUGAUCUUUUCUUGUUACCGUAUUUAACUUACGAUAAUCAAUACACACUCUCCACCCUACCACAAGUCUAGAUGGAAUUAAUUCAUCAUUUUUACCCACGAUUGUAGUCAUUCCACCUUUCUUUGGUACCACAUGAAUUGGACUAAUCCAAACACUAUCGGAGAUAGGAAAAACUAUACCUGCAUCAAGCCACUUAAGAAUUUCAUUUCUUACCACCUCUUUCAUGUUUGGAUUGAGUUUCUUUGUGUUUCCACCACUGGUUUGCAACCGUUCUCCAAUAAAAUUCGAUGCAUGCAUAUAGAAGGACUUAUACCUUUAAUGUCUGAAAUUGUCCAUCCAAUUGCCUUCUUACGCCUUCUUAGAACUCUUAACAAUUUUGCACACUGCUCAUCAUCAAGGUCAGCACUAACAAUUACAGGUAAAGUAUUUUCUCCAAGAAAUUCAUACCUUAGAUGAGUUGGAAGUGGCUUAGCUCUAACUUGGAGGUUCAAUUUCUGAAGGUUGUGAAAACCCUUUUCCUUGGCCAAGACUUUCAUACAAAUUACCCCUUUUAUAAGGUGCUUGAAAAUCCAAGUACUUGGCCAAUUCUUCAAUUUCUUCACAAACAUCUUCUUGCUUACCUAAACUCAUUAAACAAUACUCAAGAGGAUCUAAGUCAAAGUUGACUUGACUCAUCUCUUGGGUUAGUUUAUCAAUUGUGCCAAUAGAAUAAGCAUGAUCGGUAAAAGAAGGGUAUUUUUUAUUUCAUUCAAAUUAAAUUCUACCUCUUCUUCACCUACUUGAAACUUAAGCUUGCCAUUUUUGACAUCAAUAAUAGUACCUGCAAGCUAGAAAUGGUCUACCUUGAAUAAUUGGCAUAGAUAUAUCUUCUUCCAUAUCUAAUACCACAAAAUCCACUGGAAUGAUAAAUUUUUGAACUUUUAUCAAUACAUUCUCCAACACUCCCAAUGGAUAUCUAAUAGACCGAUCCGCUAGUUGCAAAGUAAUAUUAGUGCGUUUAAACUCAUGCAAACCCAAUUGUCUAGCCACCGUUAAAGGUAUUAAUGAUACACUAGCACCAAGAUCACACAAUGCCUUAGAAAAAUCAACGUUACUAUGGUGCAAGGUAUAGAAAAACUCCCCGGAUCCUUCAAUUCGGUGGUAGCUUAUUUUGAAUAAUUGCACUACAUUCCUCCGUUAAUGCUAUUGUUUCGCAGUCUUCCAACUUUCUUUUUCUAGUCAUGAUUUCCUUGAGAAAUUUCGCAUAAGACGGAAUCUGCAAAAUAGCAUCGGCAAAAGGAAUGUUAAUGUGCAAUUGUUUGAAAAGUUUAACAAAUUUUUCAAAAUCUUUAUCAAACUUAUUUUGCUUUAAUCUUUGUGGAAAUGGAACCGCAGGAGGUAUUGGAAUGGUAGCGGAAGAUGAUGGUUGAUUUUCUCUUGAUUUCUCCCGGCUAUUUUCUUCCACUAUCGCCUCUUGGUUCCUCUGCUUUUCUUCUUGUUUUUCAUUCUCAUCUUUCUCAACUUCCAUCACUGGAGGAUCUUCUAAUUGCUUACCACUACGAAGAGUAAUGGCUUUGACAUGCUCCUUAGGAUUUACCUCCGUUUUGCUAGGUAAUUCUCCUUGAUUACGAUUAUUCAAAGAACUAGCAAUUUGACCAAUUUGGACCUCUACAUUCCUGUACAUUGUAGUGAGUUGGUCCAAUCUUCCUUCUACUCGCUCAAAUCUGUCUGAAGUAACUUUUACGAGCUUUUCCACUGCCAUUCCCAACCAGGUUUAGUUUCAGCUUGUUGUUGCCUUGAUUGAAAUCCCGGUGGAUUGGCUGGCCUUGGUUGAUUUCCUUGAUCCUUCCAUCCAAAGUUUGGAUGAUUUCUCCACCCCGGAUUGUAAGUAUUCGAGUAGGGGUUAUUUUGAGCAUUACGAUUGUAAUUAUUGACGAAUUGUACCUGCUCAGAAUCAACACACUUAUUAGUAUCAUGUUCACCUCCACAUAUAGAACAACAUGCUGCAUGUGCAUUAGAUGAACUUGGACCAACUCCACCUUGUCUACUUAGCAACUUCAUCACAUUAUUCAUUUGAGCACUCAGCAUAUUGAGAGUGUCCAUUUCUAUCAUACCUGCGUGACGUCUUGUAUUACCUCUCUCAUUGGCCCAUUGGUAGUUAUUUGCUGCCAUUUCUUCUAUCAAAUUAUGAGCUUCUUGGGGUGAUUUACCCAUUAAAGCUCCACCUGCAGCUGCAUCGAUUAUAGUUUUAGUAGAAAAAACUAAACCAUUAUAGAAGGUUUGUAUGAUUAACCACUCCGGCAGUCCAUGAUGUGGACAUUUCCGAAGCAAAUCUCUAAACCUUUCCCAUGCCUCAUAUAAUGAUUCACCUUCUAAUUGAUAAAACUAGUGAUAUCCAUUCUAAGCUUAGCAGUCUUACCUGGUGGAAAAUACUUAUUUAAGAAUGCUCUUGAUAAAUCAUCCCAUCCGGUGAAAGUAUUAGGAGCAUGAGAGUGUAGCCAAAGUUUGGCCUUAUCUCUCAAUGAAAAUGGGAACAAUCUUAGCCUUAUAGCAUCAUCACUAACUCCAUUCAUUUUAAUUGUAUCACAAAUUUCCAAGAAUGUAGCUAAGUGUGUAUUUGGAUCUUCUACUGCAUUACCUCCAAAUUGAGAUUGUUGAACUAUUUGGAUAAGUGAUGUUUAAUCUCAAAGUUGUUAGUAUUUACCGAAGGCCUUGCUAUGCUCGUUUGAGAUCCUUGUGUUCCCGGUAGAGCAAAAUCUCGUAGAACUCGCCCAUUUGCUUCGUUUUCUGCCAUUUCUUCUUCAAAUGGAAGCUCUAUUAAGAUUUCCUCUAUUGGUUGCCAAAUCCCUUGUUCCUCUUGCUGUAGUGUGCUCCUCCUUUGUCUAUGUAGUGUCCUCUCAAUUUCUGGAUCGAAAAGUGCAACUUCUCGAGACGCCCGGUGCAUACACUACAAAUAAAAACAAGAGAAAUUUUGCAGUUUAAAUUCAACAACUUGAAUAAAAACAAUGAAAAAUAUCUAAAUUAAUAGAGAUAAUUAGGCCCUAAUAUUGCCGCUCCCCGGCAACAGAUUUACAAGAGUAAUAAUGGCCAAAUUUCCGUGGCAUUGCAGACGUUACAGUGGAGUAAAAAAUUCAAGAGGCUGAUAAUAAAUUUCCAUAGAUGGCCAAAUUUUCGUGGCAUUGCAGACGUUAACAUGGAGUAAAAAAUUCAAGAGGCUGAUAAUAAAUUUUCAUAGAAACAACAGAUUCGCAACAAAUGAUUCUAGACCAGUUCAGUUCAAUAACAUCUGCUCCAUCAAGCAUAUCAACUUAGAAUUUCAAAACGGGAGAAAUCUCUCUUGCCUGAAGAAUUCAAGUUAUAAAGCUCAUGUUGAAUUAUUAAUAUAUUAGUAAUUCUCACCCACACAGAGUAGCAAUCACAACAUACAAAUUUCUCUUUGACAUUUCACCAAACAUCUUAUAUGCAUUCACAAAUUAAUCACAUUUAACUUAAACGCCUGGUCUUAAGUCUAUUCCUAGAUGUUUCACAUGGCUAUUAAGCAUAUUUUACCCGUAGACAAUCAAAACUACAACCAUUUCCUAGAUGUUUCAACGGACAUUUUCGGCCCCAAAAUUGCAAUAAAAUUUUCAAAUUCUUAGCCUUGAUUACCCAAGAAAAUCUUGACAAAUAAAACAAAUGAAAUAUAAAUAAAUUAUAGCAAUAUAAUCAAACGAUUUCAAGAGAACAUGAUGAUCUAACCUCGUCACUGCUAUUUUUCAUAUGCUCUUGGCUGGCUACCACCGUCGCUAAUUCUUUUGUUGUGUCUGCAUAUGGCAGCACUCAAACCCAACCGAACGAUGAGAAAGGAUAGAGGGAAAGUGUGAACUAAAGAUGAAAAUUUUGAAGUGAGAAAAUUUAUUCAAUUGUAACAAAGAAAAAGUGUGGACCAAAGUGGAAACCUUUGCCUGGGAAUUCAAUCGUAUCAUUGGAACUGAAACUGAAUAAGAAGAAGGUAGAUGACUUUAAAGAGAAAGGUGAUACCCAAAAACCGUUUUCAGGAACCAAAAACCAUUUUUUUUUACUUAAGUAUGUACAUUUUUUACUUUUAGUAUUAGUAAGUUUAAUUUAACAUAAGUAAUUUUGUCAAAUAAUAAGUAAAUUAAAUUACUCAAGGUGUAAAUUUCUGUUCUGACUAAAACUUAUCUCUCAGGCAUAACUUACUAGUUUUAAUUAAAAACUUACUAAAGUUAAUAUUAAUUAUUUUAAUAAAACAUUUAAAAAGUCACUAAAAGAUUUGAUCUGUCACUAAAGGUAAUAGAAACCUGUAAUAGCAGGUUUUCCUAAUAUCGUUAUCAUAACUAUAGGCACUCUAGCACUGUCCAUAUUCUGUAUAGGCAAAACAAGAAAAGGUUGGGUUUCUCUUUUUCCGCUUUUCACACAAGUGGUAGAGUAAAUACACAUGUUUAACGUAUAAAACUAAGCAGAAGAUUUUUAUCCUCUUUGCUCAUAGCAGCUAGGUCCCUGAUACGAGUAAGAAAGAAAGGGGAGAGACAUUUUCCCCAAUCCCCAGUUGUUUGUCAGCCACAAUCCUACGUGGCCUGCAAUAUGACCAGUUAAAGCAAUCGAUGGCCGCGACCGGAUAAGAAAUCGAUAAGGCAGUAAGGCACAGAGCUUGACAACCCUCAGAUGGAUUCAUCAGUCAAUCCAACGGACACAGAUCCCAUGAGAGAUAAUCCCUUGCACCCCAAAAUCUCUCUAUUUCUCCAUCAGCAAUUGCAUUUGCGGGCUCUAUAUGUUAUGGAACUUAUGUACCAUCUAGAAUUCUACAUAAUGUUCUAUUAAAAAUGUUUUACAUUCCAAUCAAACCAAAAUUGUUAUUAGGCCAAUAGUCAUUACUUUACGUUAAUUUUUUGUCGGUAACGAAAAUUAACCGGUAGAAUGGCCAUAUUCAUAUCACUGGCCAUCACUUCACCGUGACCAUGCAACUUUUUAAACAUAUUGCAUGAUUUCUAAGUAGGCCUGUUAGACCUGGACUAAUUAAUCCAUUUUUUCCCCACGCAUUAUCUCAAGAUUCAUCCCAUGUUUCGUCCCUUUCAACGUCUAUUUCCUCCUCUAUCUAUCAUGAUAGUAGCAUAAAGAGAAGAACACGGUGCUUGAUGCCUUUCCUGAUGCGCGCACAAUGACUUUUCAAUCAAAUACAUAUUAAUCAUUAGAUUCCCACAAAGGGCAUUUAAGUGCCUAUAAACUCAAAGCUACCAGGCUUCGACAGUCGCAACCAAUUACAAAAAUCUAUUGCCAGUCAGUCUUGCUCGCGUCCUAGCUCCUUAAGGAAAAAAUGGCCGCCGUCGGAGCCAGCGACAACAUCAACAUUUCUGAAAUCACAGCCAACAGUAAUAUUCUAUACAUAUUCUUUAAAAAUUCACGCAUUAGAUUUAUAGUUCGAUUGCAUUGCAUGUUUAUAUUCUUUUUAAAUAAAAGAGUGGUUUUUAUGCUGUUUGGAUUAAAACGGGCUUUGCUCCUUGAUGGAAAACAGUGAAAGCGGAGGGAGUCCAGUCCCCUGAGAUGGAAGCUAUAGUGAAGGCACUUUCAGACGACACGAUAUGGAAAACAAUCGAGGGAUUCAAGGGCAAGGACAUGAGCACUCAGGAGAAAAUGAUUGUAUGUAUGACUAGUUAGACCUAUUUUUUCCUUCCCCCCCAAUUUAUAUGCCUCUAUUAGUUUUUUUUUUUUUUUUGAAUGCUUACAAUUAAAUUCGCACAUGCAUAACAGUUUUUAAUUGAUUCGUUAGCAGCAGGCAAUUUGUUUUCCAAUGCUGAUUCUGCAAGUUCUUAAUUUUCAUACAUUUGAGUACCGAAAAAGUGCCAUAUAAACUUUGCAUUCUGCAUUGACUGGUUUUAACAAAUUUUUUUUUAAAAAAAAAAAUUCAUGCACAGUAGCUAUAGAUAGUGUGAAAUUCUUUAUUUGAAUACAAAAAUGAUUGAAUUUUGAGGCCAUAAUAGGACCUUACAAAAAGCUUGUAUGGAAACUUUUGAAAAAGUAAAAGGAGUUGCAAUUGAAAGUAGUUUAGUUUGUACAUUCUUAAAUUGCUUAUGCAAUUUAUUACUAUUAUUUUCUUAAAUUGUAAUGUAGUUUCAUAUUAGUUGAUUGAAUUUAGUUUUCUGGCUGUUUGUUUGAAAAAGAAAUCCAAUUAACUUUUUGUAAUCUCAAAGACUCUUUUUAAUUUGUGUUUUUUUCCUUUUUAACUAAAUAAGAAAUGUUUGUUUGGGGUUUACACUUUACAGAACAACAUGAUGGCCAGUGGUGGUCUAGCUCAACUCGGCAUUCCUGUUCCAGAGCCGGUGAACCCAGAUGACCCUCACGUGAUCACGAUCGCAAAAUUUGCAGUGGAAAAGCAGAACGAGAAUGCCGGGACAAGCCUGGUUUUCAUCCAAGUGAAUGGAGGCCUGCAGUGGAAAAUUGUCAUUGGCACUCUCUAUAUCCUUUUCCUUACAACUCAGGAUUCUAAGGGCACAUACACCGAUCAUGCAGUGGUUUUUGAGACCUUUUUGGGUCAGAAGUACCUCUUCUGGUACAAGCAUUAAUCAAGCAUCACUGCCCGUCCUGAUCGAUCAAUUGAGGAUGACUAAUGUACUCUAUUA